Molecule: long non-coding RNA, 94510 nt
Filed under: Citrus maxima (pomelo)
Lineage: Eukaryota; Viridiplantae; Streptophyta; Magnoliopsida; Sapindales; Rutaceae
Description: long non-coding RNA (CMAX_LNC004218)
Rfam family: Plant small nucleolar RNA R71 (bases 53737-53840)
Source: RNAcentral
CUUAUUUAUAAUUGUGACAUCCUAAUGUGGUAAUAACUAACCUAAUGUGACAGUUACAGAUAAAUCGUUGCACCAGUUAGCUCGUAAUUCUUUCUUUGAAAAAAAAAAUAUUUAUAUAUAUUGCCACAGAUAACAGGCUAUUAUUUCGUUUGGGAUCAUUCCAAAGGUCAACUUUGGGUGUAUUAAUUAUCAAGCAGCAGCUUGAUAAAGCCUCAACAAAAUACAAAGCCACUAUCUACACUCAAAUGUUUUGCAUAUCUUUAGUUGACGAUUGGUGUAAUUGAUCAGCAACUACAAUUUUUAGACAAGUAUGUAAGAUUGUAAAUAUACAUGGACCCUUAGGAAAUUAUAGUAAAACAAGACGUGCCAUCGUGAAAAUGAGAUCUCUUUAUUGAUUAUUUCGAAGUCUUCGUGUAGAUAUAGUAUGAUCGGUCACUUGCACAAUUCAUUGGAUUUCUAACGUACAUAACAGAUACUUUUGUUAUUUUUCUAGGUGACAUAAUUGGUAAAUCUACUAAAGCUUGCAAGCAAUCUUACGAGUCUCCGUGAUGUCAAAUAAAUCUUCUGUUGAUCCUUGAAUCAUUCUCUUUAGCUCUUCUUCAAAUCUCUUCAUACUCGGCCUCGGCAAACGUAUAGGUAUGAGAGUCCCAGUCUCCCCAUCUUCUUUUUGGUACCUGUUUAAGAAACUAAAAAUAGACUUAGCACCAGCAAUCCCAGCGAAAACUGGUUUCCCCCACCCCAAAUCAAUUCUAUCAAAUCCAACCUUGCUUAAAUCGGACACAAUGUAGUUCCCCUUAAUCGCGUGCCUCGGCCGUCGCCCUUUGACCUCCAUAAGAUCCGCCGCAGAUCUUAUAUGCUCUUCACUCAUUUCAGCCUUUGCUUUUUUCACCAAUGCAACAGCAUACCCUAAUGGAUUGUUGCAUAAAGCACCAACUUUUGAAUGCACAGCUGGGAAUGCCACUGCGUUACCAUAAUACCCGGAAGGAAUAUCCAUUUUAUAAUCUUUUGCUCGAGCGGUAACUAGACAUGAAAAUUGAACAGUGUCUUUAGGGUCUAGUUGAAGAGCAAUUGUUCUACAUCUCCACAUACAAGCAGCCAACAACUCAAAUGUUGAACAAUUUCUAAGGUGUAAUGGAAGUUGAUUUUUGAGGACUCUCACUUCUUUGGGACCAAAGUAGAAUGAUUUGUGGUCCAUUUCAUUUGGAUUGGUAGUUAUGAAGGUAUCUGAAUUGUUAUUUAUUUCUUCGUAUUCUAAGUGAACACUUGUUACUUGUGGUGGAUUUCUAGCACAUAAGCGUUCCCGUUGCCAAACAGGGAAUAGCGAAAGUGUAUUUGCACCUCUUGCCAUCUCCUCUAUCGCUUUCACAAAUUGCACCAAACCAGAUGCAUCACACAUUGUGUGGUUGAAACGUAUCGCAAGAGUGAAUCCUCCACACAUCAAACGAGUCACCUAUAUAUAUAUAUAUAUGAGAAACAAAGAAAACAUUAAAAUACUUGAAGUAGAAAUGUAGAAUUAGGUUAUAUAUAGAAGCGAGAAACUAAGAAUAACAUUUUGGUCCCCAACAUUUUUACAUAUUUUACCAUUUAGGACCAUUUUUUAAUUUCUCACUUUAUUCGACAGUAUAAUUUUAUAAAAAAUUAUUAGUGGUCCACUGAACUUUUAUCGAAAGUUCCAAAUUAAAUAUUCAAAACCUUCAAAAAUUAUUACUUGUCUACGUAAGUUUUGGAAUUGUAUAAUGAGCCAAUUUUCCGGGAACUCAAUAAGAUAAUUUAGUGUAUCCCCCCCCAAAAAAAAAAAGACUACUAAAAAGAAAUGUUCGAUUAGUACACUCGACUUCAAAAGCCCAAAAAAAUGUGUUUUUUAUAUUAUAAUGUUAUGAUGUAAUAGGUAAUUGAAAAUUAUAUAUAUGAACCGGGCUAACUGAUAAAAGUGACACAUUUAGAGACUUGAAUGUAUCCUCUCAUUAAUUAUAAAAUGUCGAAACUAUUUAUUUUGAGUAUGCAUGUGAAGUAAAUUCAAUGGUUAGUUAUGAUCGACUCACUUGAAUUAAGAGCAAUGGGCAACCAAGAAUGCCUUCAGAACCUGGAACAUUAUAGGUCAAUUGUUCCAAAUACGGGCAUGGAGGCUGAAUAGCACCGCCAAGCUGCUCAAGUUUGAAGUUAGCUUCAGCCUCGAGAAACAAGAUCCCUUCACCAUUGCAAUCCACCAUAAGCUUGCGGUUGGGACCUUCUAUAAGCCUACCAGCAAAAGGGUAAUAAUACACAAGUGCUUCACUUAUAGCUUCCUUGAUGACCUUCACGGGAUCUUUUUCUUUGAGUACUGGAGGUGAUGAUGCAGAGUUAUUCUUGUAAAGGAAUAUUACUGGAAUAUGAAACCUGAAACUUUCUUGGUCGUCUAUAUCGGAAAGUUGCUUUAAUUCACGCGGUGUUGGCCUUGCCGGAACAAUUAAUUCCGGUGCCUGCCGGGUUACUGACAAAACUAGAGAAAAUUUUGGAGCCAUUUUAAAUUUUCAAUGUUAGUUACUAGUUUGGUUGUUCUGGUAAGGCUUGAACUGUUUCACUGGUUGCCUUGGCCUCCAAAAAUUUUCAUUUAUAGCUGAAGAAAGAGGCACGUGGGUAGCGCGUAUGGAAAGUGACUGUCACCGAAUUAUGCAGAAGCACGUGUGUGGCACGUUAUACAUAAUUUUUUAAUUCAACUUCAGCAAAAAUAUUCUUGGUCGGUUAGGGUUAAGAUGAUUUAUGUAUAUGUACAGAAAGUGUCCAUCGAUAUAAACAUUUGUUUCCUACUUGAUUAAUUUCGAAAACAAUUAUAGUCUGCACCUACGGCUUGGCGGAGUGGUUGUCAAUCCAUUUUUUCUUUGAUUGGCCAUCCCAAAUUCAAAUCUUAGUUAAAAAAAAUAAUAAUAAUUUGAACUUUGUUCAUCUUUAUGCUUUGCUAUGAGAGUACUUCGUUCGUUGGAAUGGUGAUUUUCAAACACUGGAUCAUCACCUAUAUUAUAGCAUUCCAAAUUAAAAAUACGGAUCAAAUUUGAAGAGAAAUACAAAACGAUAAUGCGCUUAGAGUACCCAAGACUCUACUAUGUAUUGAACAUGAUGACGAGCACGUUUCUUGUAAAAUUAGGACGCUAUUGAAUAUGUUGUGAUAAGGUGGUGUACUGUAAUUUAGGAGGCAAAUUCUCCUUCCAAUAAUUCUUGCAACACUUGGCUAAUUGAGCUUGUUCCCCUAAAUAAACGGAAAUCCUUUUGUGUAUACUUGCACCACCGAAUGAGUUAUUUUAACUUCAAUAAUAUUAGGCAGCAACCCGCUACUGGUUUAUAUCAUUUGCAGACUUAUUUUUUAACUUUUUUAAGAUGAGGAUUAAUCUAUCUGAACCCGUUCACUGAGUAUUUCAAAUUGUUAUUUUGUACUAGUAGAUAGUUGUCGAUGGAAUAAUAUAUUUAUAGUGCAACUUGGAAAGUCAAUCGAGAAUAGCUUAAAAUUCUACUUUCUCUAGCUAAUAUUGGGGAGAUAUGUCCAUAUCUAUUCUACACUCUGCGGAAAGCAAAUAAAGAAUUCCCUUGGAAGCUCGAACUGAUUAGUCCACCAUUAAGCUAUUGUCCAUAUGUUUAGGUGGAAACCAAUGAGAAGUGAAAAUAAAAGUACUUCUCAUGCCAUGAAUUUGUAGUCAAGAAAUAAUCCUUUAGUUUUAUUUUAUUUUGCAAUAAUAACUCUUUCGAUUUUUUUUAAUAUUUUAUUUAGGAAAUAAACCCUUUAGAUUACUAAGCUGUAGCAAUAUUCAGUGAAAAGAGAGAGAGAGAGAGAGUAGAAAAACCACACAUUAAAAUCCUCAUCUAUUUCACAUUUCCAUAUUGAGCAUCACAUCAAGAGUGGGUACACUUUCAUUGAAUCGUGGUCUCUAAUGCAUAGGCGGUUUGAAAUUAAUUUUAUUACAAUUGGAUACUUCUUGUUUUUGGAUAGGAACAAUUGGAUUCAUGAACAUACAUUGUACAUACAACAUAAUGGUCAAUUUUAGGGAUGGCAAUGGGGAGGGGAAGGGAGGGGACCAAUCUCCCUGUACCCAUCUCCGAUAUUUUGCGUAUGUCCCCGUCCCCGUUAGAAUUACUUGAGAGAAUCCCCAUCCCCUCCCCGAAUAAUAACAGGGGAUCCCCGAGAGUCCCCGAUCCCCGAAUAACUAAUACAUUUUUUUUUGUUUUUGAUUUUGAGUUAAUCAUAUUAAAAUAAAAAAUUCAAAUAAAAGUAAAGUUCGAAAUAUAUCUUACAUUAAUAUCCAUUACAAAAGUCACAUACAUUAAAUUAGUAAGUAACGCAACAUACAAGGGAUACAAACUUCUUUUACAAACUAUCAUGAACAAAUUAAUAGUCUAAUACAAAAUUGUUACAAAUAAAAUCGAAUUUAGAUUCAAAAUUAACUUUUUCAAUGGUGGCGUGGGCACUUUAUAAAUGUGGACUAUUCCCUUUACAACACAAUAGUUAAAUCGGAGCAAAUCAAGAGCAAAUAUUAGAUUAGAUUAGAUUAGAUAUUAAAAUUGUGAUUCGCUGUGGGCAAUUAUAACAUCUAAAAAUAAAUAAAAAAUAGAUUUAAGUUUAAAAUAUUUAAAGAAUAUUAAAAUUAAAAAAUUUUGGGCUAAUAGAAUCUACUCAAUCUUUUUAAUGUCCUAAAUAAAAAUUUAGGACUUUAAUUAGGCCUAAAAGUUUAAUAAUAUAAAUAUUUUGAUAUUUUUUAUUUUUACCAAUAAUUAUAAUUUUAUAAUUUAAAUUUUAUUAUUUAUUUACUAGUAAUUUUAAAAAAUUAAAAUAAAAUUAAAAAUUAAAAUGGGGAAAUGGGUAGGGGAUGGGGAUUCCACCUCAUCCCCGUCUCCUCCCCGAAUAAAAAAUUGGGUAAAAAAAUUUCCUCGUCCCUUCCCCAAAUAAGAAAUUGGGUAUGAAAUUAUCCUCAUACCCUCUCCGAAUGAGGAAAAUCCCCGAGGGUACCCGUCCCGUGGGGAUUUUUGCCAUCCCUAGUCCAUUUACACAUUUUCAACGUUUAGUAAUAUGAUUAGAAAGUUCCCCUAAUUUUAAAUUAUUAAAUUUUAUAUUUAUUGAAAGUGAUAGAGGCACUCGUAUUAAUUUGUGCUCUUAAUUUUCCAUUUGAUUGCAAUAUAAGAAAAUGAGUAUUACAUGACAUUUGUCCUCAUUUGUUCUGCCUGGAUCGACCAAAAUAAUUUACUUGGUCUCAGUUUUCACCCGUGGAAUACUCUUGGCUUCUUUCUUGUCUAACCAUGACCAUAAAUGAGAAACAAUGGAGGCCAAGGCAGCCAACGAAAUAGUUCAAGCCUUACCAAACAAAAAAACUAACCUUAGUAAACUAAGUCCUCAAGCAAAUAACACAGAUUAAAAUGGCUUCAAAUUAAAUUUUCUCAAGUUUUGUCGGUAACCCGGCAAGCACCGGAAUUAAUUGUUCCGGCGAGGCCAACGCCGCAUGAAUUAAAGCAACUUUCAGAUAUGGAUGAUCAAGAAAGUCUAAGGUUUCAGAUUCCAGGAAUAUUAUUUUACAAGAACAACCCUUCAUCAUCACCUACUGUCCAAAAAGAAAAGAUCCCGUGAAGGUCAUCAAGGAAACUUUAAGUAAAGCACUUGUAUAUUAUUAUCCUUUUUCAUAUACGCUUGUAAAAGGCCCCAACCGCAAGCUUAUGGUGGAUUGCAAGUGAAGGGAUCUUGUUGCUUAAGGCUGAAGCUAACUUCAAACUUGAGCAGCUUGGCGAUGCUGUUCAGCCACCAUACCCAUAUUUGGAACAACUGCUCUGUAAUGUUCCAGGUUCCCAAGGCAUUCUUGGUUGCCCAUUGCUCUUAAUUCAAGUGAGUUUAUCUAUUACUUGUAAGCAAGUGACUUUACUUUCGCAUGCAUACUCAGAUUAUAUAGUUUCUAAAUUCUUUUAACUAAACAUAAAUGUCUAUUUAGUUCCUAGAGUUUUGAGUUAAUUGCAGAAGUAAUUCUUAUAUUUUAAAAAUUUGUCCAAAACAUCCAUGUUAUAAAUAUGUUUCCAUUGCAAUACCUACUUAAUUAUUCUCUACUAUUCUUCUAUUACAUAAUAGUUUUGUUUGAAUUUUAUCAGUAAAAAGUUAGAUCCAACAAUUAUAAAAGUAGCAACAAGGAGCCCACAAAGACUUGGUCAAAUAUUUUUCUUUAGUUACUCACCUGAGCUUAAAUCUUGAGAGAGAUACAAGCUAAAAAGUCAAUUUGAGUUUUGCCCAUUCUCCAACUUCUGAAAAAUAAUAACAAUAAUGGAAAUGAUAUUUUGCGUAAUUUUUCAAAACAUGAAAAGCAACUGAGUAAUUGGCCCCGGACUUAAAAUAAUUUAUCUUUUUAACUAAUCAUUACUUUAAUCAUAAUAUUACUCUUAAUUAAUUAUCUAAUGAUUUUCUUCCUAUGAGUGUAUAAGGUAACUCGAUGUGGGGGAUUCAUUCUUGCAUUACGUUUUAACCACACAAUGUGUGAUGCAAUUGGUUUGGUACAGUUCUUAAAAACCAUAGAGGAGAUGGCACGAGGUUAAGAUAAACCUUCCCUACUCCCUGUUUGGCAACGGGAAUACUUAUGUGCGACAAUUCCACCACAAGUAACAUGUGACGCCCAAAAUGAAUAUGAGCAAAUAAACUCCAUCCCGAGUGCCUUCACAGCUGCCAACUCAAAUGACAUGGACCACAAAUCAUUGUACUUUGGUCUAAUGAGAUAGAUAAAAAAAUAUAGAUUUUAAUAUAUUAACAGAUAAAAAAAUAAUUUUUAAUCUAUUAAAAUUUAUUUUUUAAAUUUUAAUAUGUAUCUAAAGUGAGGAUAAAGUAAAGAUGCUCUACUAGUAAGGGAUUAUAUAUAUUAAAUAUGAAAAUCAGUUCGAGCCAUCAUAAAAUUCUUUUCCUUUAUUACAAAAAACAUAUGGGACAGUAUAGAUCUUUCUCCAAUUACUAGUGAAAACAUAUUUCUAGGCUAUGUUUAACAAACCUCUAAAUUCUGAUACAAAUUAUUCUCAAUAGAUCUCAAAUUGUAAACAUAUCAAUAUGCUUUACUAUGUAUUGAACAUGAUGACGAGUACGUUUCUUGUGAAAUUAGGACGCUAUUGAAUAUGUUGUGAUAAGGUGGUGUACUGUAAAUUAGGAGGCAAAUUCUCCUUCCAAUAAUUCUUGCAACACUCGGCUAAUUGAGCUUGUUCCCCUAAAUAAAUGGAAGUCCUUUCGUGUAUACUUGCACCACCGAAUGAGUUAUUUUAACUUCAAUAAUAUUAGGCAGCAACCCGCUUCUGGUUUAUAUCAUUUGCAGACUUAUUUUUUAACUUUUUUAAGAUGAGGAUUAAUCUAUCUGAACCCGUUCACUGAGUAUUUCAAAUUGUUAUUUUGUACUAGUAGAUAGUUGUCGAUGGAAUAAUAUAUUUAUAGUGCAACUUGGAAAUUCAACGUAGAAUAGCUCAAAAUUCUACUUUCUCUAGCUAAUAUUGGGGAGAUAUGUCCAUAUCUAUUCUACACUCUAUGGAAAGCAAAUAAAGAAUUCCCUUGGAAGCUCGAACUGAUUAGUCCACCAUUAAGCUAUUGUUCAUAGGUUUAGGUGGAAACCAGUGAGAAGUGAAAAUAAAAGUACUUAUCAUGCCAUGAAUUUGUAGUGAAGAAAUAAUCCUUUAGUUUUAUUUUGUUUUGCAAUAAUAACUCUUUCGAUUUUUUUUAAUAUUUUAUUUAGGAAAUAAACCCUUUAGAUUACUAAGCUGUAGCAAUAUUUAGGGAAAAAAGAGAGAAAGAGAAGGAGAGAGUGCAAAAACCACACAUUAAAAUCCUCAUCUAUUUUACAUUUCCAUAUUGAGCAUCACAUCAAGAGUGGGUACACUUUCACUGAAUCGUGGUCUCUAAUGCAUAGGCGGUUGGAAAUUAAUUUUAUUACAAUCGGAUUCUUCUUAUUUUUGGAUAGGAAUGGAUUCAUGAACAUACAUUGUACAUACAACAUAAUGGUCAAUUUACACAUUUUCAACGUUUAGUAAUAUGAUUAGAAAGUUCCCCUGAUUUUAAAUUAUUAAAUUUUAUAUUUAUUGAAAGUGAUAGAGGCACUCGUAUUAACUUGCGCUCUUAAUUUUCCAUUUGAUUGCAAUAUAAGAAAAUGAGUAUCACAUGACAUUUGUCCUCAUUUGUUCUGUCUGGAUCGACCAAAUAAUUUACUUGGUCUCAGUUUUCACCCGUGGAAUACUCUUGCUUCUUUCUUGUCUAACCAUGACCAUAAAUGAGAAACAAUGGAGGCCAAGGCAGCCAACGAAAUAGUUCAAGCCUCACCAAACAAAAAAAAAAAAAACUAAGUCCUCAAGCAAAUAACACAGAUUAAAAUGGCUUCAAAUUAAAUUUUCUCAAAUUUUGUCGGUAACCCGGCAAGCACUGGAAUUAAUUGUUCCGGCAAGGCCAACGCCGCGUGAAUUAAAGCCACUUUCGGAUAUGGAUGAUCAAGAAAGUCUUAAGGUUUCAGGUUCCAGGAAUAUUAUUUUACAAGAACAACCCUUCAUCAUCACCUACUGUCCAAAAAGAAAAGAUCCCGUGGAGGUCAUCAAGGAAGCUUUAAGUAAAGCACUUGUAUAUUAUUAUCCUUUUUCAUGUACGCUUGUAAAAGGCCCCAACUGCAAGCUUAUGGUGGAUUGCAAUGGUGAAGGCCUCUUAUGGUGGAUUGCAAUAGUUUUAUUGCAAAAUAGAUAAAACAACACACAAAAUAUAUAUAGUAGAUUAAUAAAAGAAUAUAUUAAAAAGAAAUAAGAACAAAUAAAUAAAACAACUAAUUAAGAGAAUAAUAAAAAGAUAAAAUCUGAAAUUUCAAAAUUUGGAAUUUAUCGGUUUUGUAUGAAUUAAAACUACUAAGUACUAUAUUAAAUAAACUUUAUAGGAAUUUGAUAGUUUAUUUAGGAAAAGAUAAUUACAAAAUAAUAAUAAAUUAAAUAAAUAAUAAUGACUUUUAAAUUCACUUUCCCCUUUUAUAUACAAAAUAAUCAUCUCAUGUAAAGCGGGGCUCUAGAUAACUGCCUAAGUUGCAUGGAGGUCGAGCCGCUACUGACUACAAAUCAUUGUACUUUGGUCCAAUGAGAUAGAUGCGCUAAAAAAUUAACCUCCAUUGCACUUUAACUGUUCCACAUUUGACUUGUUAGCUGCUUUUAUAUGGAGAUGUAGAACUGUUGCACUUCGACUAAAUCCUAAAGACACUGUUCUAUUUUCAUGUCUAGUUACCUCGUGAGGAAAACAUUAUAACAUGAACUUGCCUUCUGAGUAUUGUGGUAACGCGUCGGCGUUUCCAGUUGUAUGUUCAAAAGCUGAAACUAAAAGACUGGAUACUUUUAACAAAAGUGUGAAAUCGGAUACAAUCUUGAAACUAAAAGACUUUGUCAAAAUACACACACACACAGAUUUAAUCUAAGAUUUGAACUUUGUUAAAAUCUGAAAAAGUUAUGGUUUAAUAGUGUAAAUGACAUUAUAAUAUUAAACUAUAUAACUUAAUAGAUUUUUUGUAUUUUGGAUCAGAUCAGUACUCAUAAUAAUUCUCUAGUGAAAACAUCCUCAUUUUAUUAAAAUGAGGAUGCCACCAAUAGAUAAAAAAUAUAGAUAUUAACAAACAAAAAAAUAAUUUUUAAUGUAUUAAAAUUUAUUUUUUAAAUUUUAAUAUGAAUCUGAAGUGAAGAUAAAGUAAAAAUGCUCUAAUAGUAAAGGACGAUAUAUAUUAAAUAUGAUAAUCAGUUCGAGCCAUCAUAAAAUUCUUUUCCUUUAUUACAACAAUAUGGGGCAAUAUAGAUCUUUUUCCAAUUACUAGUGAAAACAUAUUUCUAGGCUAUGUUUAUCAAACCUCUAAAUUCUGUCACAAAUUAUUCUCUAUAGAUCUCAAAUUGUAAACAUAUCAAUAUAUUAAAAUAAUUAAUUAAAAAACUGACAAGCAUCCAACCGCACGUUUUUCAUUUGUUCAUUUGUGAACUAAAUUACAUUUAUAUUCUACUCCGAAUAUGACAUUUUUUUUCACGAUGAUGGUCUUCUUUUGUUUGCGCCAUAAAUGUUUACACGUGGGGCUGGUCACAAGCAUUAUUGUACUGGACCAGAAUCCGGUGCUGAUAUGAGCAAGUCAUGAGCACCGGAUCAAUGACCCGUAAUUAUUUAGGACUUACAUAAAACAAUUGCUGACCAUUGAUCCAGUGCUCAGGAUUUACUCAUAUCAGCACCGGAUCCAUACCCUAUUGUACCAUGUUUAAUUAGAGCCACCCAAAUUGCAAAACAAAUGGAAUGCAUCGCAAUCAUGUAUUUUUUAAUUAUGAAAGCCCACGUGUUUCUCAAAAUUGAUGAAGGGCCACUUCUGUCUCGAUGUGGCUUAUCUACAGGUUAGAUGCUCGGGGAAACGUAUAAUAAUGGGUCCUCGGAAUGCAGUCCCAUCCACGUGAUACAUGCAUUCAAACUCUCUUAUAAUCUGAUUUUUUCUGGGAUUUUUUUUUAGAGGUAAUUUAAGUAUACUUAAGAGCUAAAAUUUAAUUUACUUUUAAUUUUCCUUUUUAAAUGCCAAAACACAACAUUUAGUGGCCAAUUACAAUUCGAAAACUAACGGAGUUUUAAAGUGAGACUCAUUUGAGUUCUUUCUCUGCACAUUUUAUAACCUCUUUCUUCUUCCCCGGCUUCUUCAAAACCUUUAAAAGAUUAAUUAGUUAAUUUGGUAAUGAAGAAUUCACCAAAUUAAUUUUUUUUAAAAUAAGAGCUGGCUAUUUAACUUUUUUGAGCAAUAACAUGCAAAACAAGACAUGUACAAACUACAACCCCAAUGGUCCAUCACUCAUUGUUGUGAGCAUCGGAUACUUCAACAAAAGUGUGAGAUCGCGCACUCUAAGAUUGUUCGCACAUACAAAAAUUAAAUACGAAAAUCAGUUUGAACUUUCAUAAGAUUCUUUUACCUUACCACAAAACAAGAAAUACGAUAGAUUUCUCCCCAAAUCAUUGGUGGGAGCAGAAUUCUAAAUUAUAAUUAGACCUCUGCAUUAUAUAUUACAAAUUAUUUUCAAUAGAACUCAAAGUGUAAGAUAUCAAUAAUUUGUAAUAAUUCAAAAACAUUGACAAGCAUCCCAGCCGCACUUUUUUCAUUUGUUCAUUUGUGAAAUAAAAGUACAUUUAUUUUUGUUUCCGGAUAUAACAUAGAUUUAUUUUUUUAACGAAGAUGUCUUCUUUAUCGCCAUAAAUGAUGGCAACAGCAAAGGUGGGGUUGGUUACAAGCACUAUUGUACUAUGUUUAAUUUGAACCGUCCAAAUUGCAAGGCAGAUGGAGAUUUUUUUGGUGAGUCAAUUUGUCAUAACUCGUUCUGCGGUUUGAAAGUAGGGACAAUGACAAAAGGAAAAAAAAUGGCAGACAAAUUAUCCCCACAUUUACCCUCGUGGUCUGCUGCAAUGCAUGAUUUUUAAUUAUAAUUAAAAUUAUUUUUAUUUUUAUUUUUAUUUAAAGUGAAAUAAGGUCUCUUUCCAAUAAUAAAUAACAGUCUUUUAAGACCCCGAUCCAAAUUCGACGAUGCGUGAAUUAAAUUAAAAAAAAAAAAGAGGGGUCAUCCAAGUAACUCAGUCCCUAAAUGGCAUCCAAAAUUUCUCAAGUUCUAUCGGUUACCUGGAAGGCAGCGGGGCCUAAUUGCUCCGGCGAGGCCAACACCAAGGGCAGUGAAGCAACCUUCAGAUAUUGAUGACUUAGAAAGGCGAAGGAUCAGAUACCAAUAAUAUUCUUUCACAAGAAUGACCCUUCACCUUCGAUGCAAGGAAGAGAUCCUGCAAAGGUAAUUUAAAAAGCAGUAAGUAAAGCACUUGUCUUUUAGCAUCCUUUUGAUGUAUAUACACGCAAAAGCAGUUAUUCUUGAUCGAACUGAAACUGAUCAGCUUUUUGUAAAACAUAAUCCAAACCGAUUGUCAAUUCGGUUAAGUUUUUCCGGUUUUAAAUCGUAAAUUUCUUUUUAUUUUAUAUUUUUAAAUUUUUUUUAUAUAAACUGAUUUCUUUAAUUUUUUAAACUGAACUGAGUAGAACGAAACCGUCAAUUCGGUUCGGUUUUUAUGGGAGUAACAAUUUCUUUACCCACCCCUAAGUGUAAUCAAAAGCAAGUAGUUGAGUGAGGCAAAUUUUUGCUUCGGCUAAGGAUUAAUAUGGUAAAUAUACUCAUUCAAGUAGUCAAGCUUACAGUAAAGAUAAAUAGAUAAAGAUUAAUGGCCGUAGUUUAAUUAUGUAAAUACAAUAUACAUAUGCCAUAAAUUAUUAUGAAAUGUGAUAAAAGUUUAAUUAUUUUAAAACGAGAUGAAUAUGUAUAAUUAAACUACAGCUGUUAAUUCGUUGUCUACUUAUUUUCGCGGUUAGUUUGGCUACCUUGAUUUUCUUAAAAAUAAUUAAAAAAAAAAGUUAUUACUGGUUGAUUUAUUAUUAAGAAAAUGAUAUUCUCACUUUUUACAAAGUGAGAACAACACUGAGCACCAAAUACUGUGUUUUGUGCUCAAUAUAAAAACUCACUGUUGUUCUCAAAAUACAACACUCUCAAUCUAUCUCUUGUCUCGCUCCCUCACUCUCUCUUUCUCGUGUUGCCCAAUUUUCUAAAUUUUCCGCAACUCUAGAUCUUCAACUAUAGUGGCUUUUUCCAUAUUCUUUAUUUCUACAAAAUAAAUAUAAUUCAUAUUAAUAAACUGAAAACAACUAAAGAUUGCUAAAGUGAGCCACAUACAAGUAUGCUAUAAUUUAAAAAAGAAAAAAUAUCAUUUAUUGCAAAUUCUUAUAUGGAUUUCGAAAAUGUCCGAUUGCUUGUUUCCUCUAUAAAUUUCUAAUCCGAAUUGAGAAUCAAUUCGGUUAAUCCUUUUCUGGUUUUAACUCGUAAAUUUCUUUGUAUUUUGUGAUUUUUUAUUUUUAUAUAAACUAGUUUUUUUAUUUUAUUUUUAAACUCAUUGCAAUAAACUUUCAAUUCGGUUUGAUUUUUUUUGGAGCAACGAUUUUUUAACCCACCCCCAUUUGUAAUCAAAAGCAACUAGUUGAGUGAGGCAAGUUUUUGCUUCAGCCUUAAGAAUUAAUAUGGGAAAUAUACUCGUUCAAGUAGUCAAGCCUAUAAUAAGGAUAAAUAGAUAACGGAUCAACGGUUAUAAUUUAAUUAUACGAAUGUGGUGUGCAUAUCUAUCAUAAAUUAUCAUAAAAUAUGGUAAAUCUCAAUUCUCUUGAAACAUGAUAAAUAUGUGCAAUUAAAUUAUAGCUGUUAAUUCGUUGUUCAUUUUUUUUUAUUGUCAGCUUGCCUACCUUGAUUUUCCUAAAAAUUGGGAAAAAAAAAACUUAUUGUUUGUGUCAAAGGAUUGCCUUAUUAUUAUUCUAUUUUUUUGGCAAAACUACAAUUAUGCUAAAAUUGUACACAUCAUAAAUAAAAUUAUAAGUAGUUGAAAAAAAAUUUUAAAAAAAGGGAAGAUAGAGUAGCAUCUAUGAAAGUAGUUGAAUUCUUGCAAGGUGUGGAUGUAAGCAAGUAGUAAGUUUGAAUUUUCUGUCAUUGGUAAAUAUUGGUUUUGAUUUUGGGAAAUAUUUUAAUUAUUGGGUUAGUUUUGAUGCAGAAGUAAAUUUGACGUUUGUGAAGUCAAUCGUGAUAUUAUUUUUGACUAAUAAUGGUAACGAAAAAAUAGCAAAUUGUUAUCUUUUUAUAGUUAAUAUAAUAAAAUGUUAUAAUUUGAUAAUUCUUGUAGUAAGAUAGUAACCCAUUACAGAAAAUCAAGCUAAAGGUCUUGUUCAUAGUAAACAUUCCAUAAGUUCUUUCGGUAGAAAUAAGAAUCUCUUUUAAUGAGAAUAUCUCUUUCGUUCAAUAAUUUAAACGAGAAUCUAAUUUCUUCUAUAUUUAUCAUAAUUUUUUUUUAACCAAUGAAAGAAAAGUCUUUUUCUUGCCAUGAAUUUCCUGUCAAAAAUAAUCCUUUAGUUUUAUGUUGUUAUGCAAUAGUAUGAGAAGAUUCUUUUUUAUUAAGUCGAUGCUUUAGGCCUUUAAUAAAUGCAUUAAAGAUGCUACUUAAAAACAAUUGGUUAUUGCUAGAGAUCUGAUCAGUGUGUGUGCGCGGGCGGUUGUGUAUAUACGCGCACGCGUGUGCGCGGGUGGGUGGGUGCGCGUAUGGGUGUGUGUGAGUGGUUUUUCAAUCCAGAAAGUAUCCAAAAUAAGAUGAUGUCCACCAAUUAGUAUGCAAUAACUUAAAAAAAAAGGGGGGGGGGGGGAGGGGGGAGGAAUUUUUAAAGAGUGGGACUAUUGGCACCCCUCUAAAUACCUCUUAAUACCCUUUUAAUUAUUUUAAAAUUUUAACCUUUAUUAAAAUUACAUAAUAAGACAAUUUCGAAUUAAACCCCCACUCAAAAUCAAAUAAUUUUUUCCCCUUAAAAAUUCCUUAUUACUAUUAGAUUUGUUAAUAGAAUCAUUGAUAUUAUCAAUUUAUCAUUGACAUAAAAUCAUUCAUUCCUCUUAGAUUUGUUCCAUUAUCAUGCUCUUCACAUAAAAUCAUUGCUAUUAUAUUUGUUAAUAGAAGUCAUUUCAUAGAGGCAUGUAAAACUUUGGAAAUUCAAAUUAUGCUACAAUAUCUUUAUUAUUGGACUAAUUUUUCUAUGGCUUUUUUCUACAGGUGUUCAUGCUUCCAGCUUCACCUAUUCCUCCUAUUGCGAAUGGUUGGAUCAAGUAUCAUGAACCAUGUGCAGAAGGCUGGGCAACACCAUACGAAACUAAUAUAAGUGCUUUUAAGGAUUUGGUGUUUGAAGUUACCACACAAGAAAUAAUUGAUAUAGCUAGUCAAUGACAAUAUUAGACAAUUUGAUACUAAUAAAUUAAACAAGGGAUCAAAAAUUAAGUUUUAUCCACAAUUAAGGGAUCAAAAAUUAAACAAUGGGGUUUAUACUAAUAAAUUUAAAUUAAGGGUAUUUUUGUCAUUAAAGGGGUGUUAAAAGAAUUUUAUAAUAUUUUUAAAUAUUUUAAUGGGGUUAAUAAAGAAAAGAGGUGUUGAGAGAUAUUUAAAGGGGUGCCAAUAGUCCUACUCAUUUUUAAAUACCUCAUUCGGGCUGUUAGAUUCCCAGGCCCCUUUAUUGACUGCAUAUGAUGGAGUCUACCAUACAUAGACAAAUGUUGGCCUUUAAAUUUUUAAUCCAAAACUUUUAAUCCAGAACUCUCGGAUUGAAAAAGCACCUAUAUAUAUAUAUACAGUAAUAAAAAUUAGGUCGAGCUAUUAGGGGCUUCUCUUUCCUUACCAUAAAAUGUAGAAUAUGGUAAAUUUCUCUCUAUUUGUUAGUGGAGCAGAUUUUCAAAUUAUGUUGAAUAGAUGGUAGAAUUACAUAUAUUACAUAUUAUUCUCAAUAGAUCUCAAAUUAUAAUAUGUUAGCUAGCAUGUUGUAUUACUCCUAAAUAAAAAAAAUAAAAAAUUGAGAUGCAUCCCAACCUUACUUUUUCCAUUUGUUGAUUUGUUAUAUGUUGCUUAAUUUGUCACAAAAAGAAAAUGACAGAAAGAUUUAAUUUAUAACGGCACGUGCUUGAGGAACAAAGCACCAAUCAAUUGUCAAUCCCAUGAAAGAGUAUAUUUGUCGGCUAUUGCACUCUAAAGAUUUUGCAGCUACACCCAAAGCUUAAUUGUAAUCAUUAUUACAUUUAUAAUUCUACUCCACUGUUUUCUAUUGUUUAAUGCAAAAGUUUUGAUUGCCUCUUCUAAUUCACUUGGGAUUUUGUUCGCUCCUAAACAAAAUUUUAGUUGGAUGCAAAUGGGUUAAAUGAAUUUUAAAAUUUUUCAGAUUUUCGCCUUCAUUGCUACAAACCAAGAUUAGCAUCCGUUUCAUCGAUGCUGGUAUUGUCAUCACAAAUACUUCCAGUCAUUUGGUUCAAUAGCGUUUCGUUUAUGCUAAACUUUCUCAUGCUUGUAGAUUGCAAAAAUCUAUUCAAGUUUGAAGAGCUACGUACAAAUUAGGGAUGGCAAACAGCGGGCCUGGGCUGGACCCGAGCGGGCUUGGGCCGGUCCGGACUUUUUUACCACCCCUAGGCUUAAUCCAUUUGCCUUAUGGAAAGGACAAGUGCAAUAAUUGCCUUUGCAUCUAUGGGAUUCUACUCUCUCUGCGCUGCUUGUACAAAAAGUCCACUAUUCGCCCUGAUUGUGGGAACAUAUGUCAAUAAUGCUAUCUUAUUUGACUUGAAUUUUUAAUAAUGUGUACAUAUUAGUUAAUUUUAUUAUUAGGCCACUGCUAAGUUACGUUUAAAGUAACUUAGCACACACACAACAAUAGUAGCAGGCUCUACUAAUGGUACUGUUGCUGUGUGUGGGUGUAUGUUACGUUAAUCGUAACAUAAGGAGAUCCUUAUUAUUAAUUAUUAACUUUUAUUUUUAUAAUCUAUAAAAUUGUUAUAGAUAAAUGUUGUAUCAAUAAGUAUUUUAAUUAAAAAUUUAAAGUAAGUAUAGUGUUACUCAAACACAUAUAGAAAGAACUAAUAAUUUGACAUAUAUGCUCAAAUUAUGGGAUGGAUUCCGACUGAUCUUAAUACUUCAAACCCCAUAUUCAUUAUACUUUAAUAUUUUUAUUCAUUCAAUUUUUCACAAUAAAGCGGCAUAUAGUCUAUAAACUAAGAUCCGGUGUUUAGAUGAACUUGAGCUUGUUUUGUGCAUCAAAUCAACAAUCAUGAUUUGUUUAACAUGAGUUCUAUAUAAGUUUUAAUUAACUUUUGAUCCUUAAUUCAAUACUUAACACAAAUUCUACUACUUAUUGAAUCCUUAUCCUUACAUUGAUUAUUUUUCUCAAAAAUAAUCCUUAUACUUAAUAUCCUUAUCCCAAAAAUAAUCCUUAUCCUUAUGCUUAAUAUUAUUAAACUCUUUUUUAUAGGGAUGACAAUAAUCAUGAUUCCGGACGUGGAUCAUGAUCCCUGGCCCCAUCCCCGAACCCACCUCAUAGAUGAAAUUGAUUAUUUUUGGGAUGGAUGGGAAUGUAGGAGAGAAUCCUCAAAUGAGGCAAGGAGGCAAGGGAUAAAACGAGGGCCAAAUGCCCAGCCUAUCAAUAUGUAGAUUUUUCUCAGCAGAGAGCAUUGAUGUGUCUUUACAUUGAAAGAAAUUAUUUUUACGUACUUUACGGUUCAGUCGAUUUUCAACCAUUUUUUUUUUUCGGUUGUCACUCGCGUCUACUUUAUUCAAAUCAACCCAAUAAUUCAAAUCCCGAAAGAAAUUAAUAAGAACUACAAAAUUAAUGGAAAAUUUACACAAAUAACCUAAAAAAAUUUGUUAUUUUCACAACUAACCCCUCAACUUUUUUCCUAUCAACAUUAGCCAAUAAUCAUCCCUAGUGCCAAAAAUGCCCCUCCCAUAACUCUACCUCUCCUUCCUCUCUCUCUCUCUCUCUCUCUCACCGUCGAAUUCACUGCAAGAUCUACUUGAUGCGUUAUCAAGAUCAUCAUCUAUAUAUGCAUCAGACUCUAGCGUUGCACCAUCCUGAUCAUCGUCUUCAUAGGACUCAUCAUCAUCAGUAGCCUUUUCAGUUCCACUUCCACUUAGUUCUGAUUAUAAGUACAAUUCUUCAAGGGCUUGAGGAAAUAUGCAUCACCCAAGUUUUAACAGAAAAGAAAUCAUUACAGCUUACCCCAAAUAUCUUAUCAUAUUCCUCCAGCAAUGUUAUGAUAAUGGCUUGAGCAUGAUUUACUGCAGCUGCUGCUUGCAGCAGUUGAGCAGAACCGUCACCACCCACAUUGAAAUCAAUUUCAAUCUCACAUUCACCAACUAGAAGGGGACGACGAAGUAGAGGUGCCAUGCAAGCCGCCACUGCUGAAGUGCUCAUUCGAUUUUGAUUUUUGGAAGAAGCAACAAUUUUCAUCAUCAUAAGUAGGUGCGACAGGCACCAAAUUCGUGCGACAGGUGCCUGUCGCACAACAUCUUAGUGCGACAGGCACAUGUCUGCACUUGCACAAAAUCUUAGUGCGACAAGCACAUGUCUGCACUCGCACUGAAUCAAGUUCGCAAGUUGAGAAAAUAUCUCUUACUGCUCGCUGAUACGGAUUAGUGUUGGAUUCGGAUGGAUUACGCUGUAUUUGAUGGGAGUUCACUUUUUACCGUUCGCCGUUGCCGUUUGCCGUUGCUAUUUGUCGUCGCCGGUGAUAAUUCAAUAGUAUAAGACUGCGUUUCGUUUGAUCAAGGGGGAGAAGAAAAGUUGUUUUUGGUUUGUAAACAAGGGUAAUUUGGGGAGAAAAUCUUGUGUUUGGCUAAUGUUGAUUGAAAAAAGUUUGAAGGGCUAAUUGUGAAAAUUACAAAAAUUUUUAGGUUAUUUUUGUAAAUUUCCCAAUAUAAAUCGUAUCGAAUAUGCUUUACUUAUAGAUCCAGCUAAUGGUAGCAAAGCCGGCAAACAAUGGUGUUUAUCUAAGCCGGCAAACAAUGCUCCCCUAAAUCGAAUCGAAAGAUAGACAUUUAAUGGCCAACUGUCAAGGAUGGUGGCAAAGCAUUGAAGGCCAUAAUCCCCCCCCCCCCCCCCCCCCCCCCCCACAACAAAAAAAAAAAUGUCAUCAAAAUUGCGGCAAUUAUUCUCAGUGAUUCGGAAAACCCCGGAACUAAUUGGACCGGCGAGGCCUACAGCUCGUGUAAUAAAGCAACUAUCCAAUUUAGAUGACCAGCAAUGUGUAAGGUUUCAGAUUCCAAUGAUAUUCUUUUACAAGAAUGAUCCUUCGCCUGCAAUGGAAGGCAAAGACCCAGUUAAGGUCAUCAGGGAAGCCCUAAGCAAGGCGCUUACGUUUUAUUACCCUCUAGCUGGGAGGCUUAAGGAAGUGUCCAAUCGCAAGCUAAUGGUGGAUUGCAAUGGUGAAGGCGUCUUGUUUACAGAAGCUGAAGCUAACAUCACACUUGAGCAGCUUGAGGUUGGUGAUGCAGUUCGGCCACCGUGUCCAUACUUGCAUGAAUUACUGUAUAAUGUUCCAGGCUCUGAAGGCAUCCUUGGUUGCCCAUUGUUGUUAAUUCAAGUAAGUCAGCUUCACUAGCAACUUCAUUCAUAAUUGCUUCUAUAUAUAUAUAUAUAUAUAUAUAUAUAUAUAUAACUUCAGAGACUUUGAACUAAUUACUCAGUUAAUCAACGUAUUUUAAAGAGCUAUUUUUAUAUUUUUCAAAUGUUUUCAUAUUUAAAAUGUUAGGUGCAAUUACUAUGGAAAUAAUAACUGUAGGAACAUCUUAAGUAAUUUUCUAAAGGCAAAUUUCCUCUUAGUUCCGAUGAUUUGGAACAAUUAAUUACCCAUUUAGUCUUGUAUAAUUAAUUGUAGGAAAAUUAUUUCUUAAUCACCUCAAAAUAUCAAAAGUAUAAAUGGCAACCACGAGCUUUUGAUAAUAUCUCAGAGCCAUCAGAAGUUUUAGUUUAAUUUAUAUGAACUAAUUACUUUUUCAUUAACUCUAUUAACGCACAUUAAAAAAUAUAAGAUAAAAGAUUAUUUUGUCCUUAAAUUCUUUGAAGAAGGUAAAACAAUGCUUUGGGAUGGUCUAGGGAUAAAAUAUUACUUUAUUUUAAGUUAUUUAUCUGUGACUAACAAAGUUAAAAAAAAAAAAAGUGACUGAUUAAUAUAAAAUAAUACUUUAGGUGGUUCUACAAUAUUAUCAUAUAUACAUUGUCGUUUUUUGCAUUUUUAAUAUUCUUGAAGUGGUUGAAGGAUAAUUUUCUUUAAUCAUACGUAUGAAAUUAAUCAAAAGUUCUAUAUCGUUACUUCUAUAACUAUGAACUCUGACUGUUCAUGAGCAAAAUGGUGUUUUUCUCUAAUAUAUUUUGAAACUCAAAUAAAUCUAAUACGCAACCCUAGAAUAGGAAUUAUUAACUAGGUUGUAACAGCGAUAAAAGAGUAUUUAUUCAUUUUGAACUUAGGGACUAAAGAGAAACGUACCCUUAUUAUGGUGACAGGCAAUAUUGAAUAAGUAUCUUUUUCUGAUUUUGACUUUGACUUGUCUUUCUGAGACCUAACUAUUCAUGUUAUUCUGAAUGAGCUACUUUGCGAGACUCACGUGCAUCGGCCGAGGCCACAUCCAAAAAGCCAACCAUACGUAUACCACAAGGAAGUCCUCUGUCACCCGUUCUAGAUAACAUCUACCUUCAUGACCAUAAUUUAUUUUUUGAUUUCUUAAUUUAAAACACAUAGAAAUGUACCAAAGAGUGAGAUAACACUUCAAAAGACAUGGAAAAUGUAAAAUGAGUGUAGUGGAUACGAGUCAACAUUACGUCUUACUUAACCUUUGAAUUUUGUAUUUGUUUUCCACUGCGUAAUAUAUAGGUGACCCGUUUGGCAUGUGGAGGAUUCAUUCUCGCAUUGCGCUUGAACCACACAAUGUGCGACGCAUUCGCUUUGUUGCAGUUCAUGAAAGCCAUUGAAGAUAUGGCUAAGGGCGCAAAUGAACCAUCAUUGCUGCCUGUUUGGGAACGUGAACUCCUAAGUCCUAGAAUCCACCAAAAAUCACAUGUACCCACCAUGAUACGAUGACCAAACAGAUUCCACUUUGGCCAUGAACCCAAAUGAUCAUAUCAUAAACCAUAAAUCAUUCUAUUUUGGCCCCAAAGAAAUCACAGCAUUAAGAAACCAACUCCCACAACAUCUUAGAGACGGCUGCUCAACAUUUGAGCUAUUAACCGCUUGCAUAUGGAGGUGCCGUACUAUGGCACUACAAAUAGACCCCGAUGAGAUAGUUCGAGUUACAUGUUGUGUUAACAUCCGAGGCACAAAAUAUAACAUGAUGCUACCUAAUGGAUAUUAUGGGAAUGCAAUUGCAACCCCAACAGCAUGUUCAACGGCCGGAGAUUUGAGUAAAUAUUCAUUGGCAUAUGCUGUGGACCUGGUAAAGAAAGUGAAGGCUACAGCGAGUGAAGAGUAUGUAAGAUCUUUGAUAGAUUUUAUGGAGAUCAGAGGCCGACCGAUGCCUGCCGUAAAGGGAAGCUUUGUUGUUUCAGAUAUAACUCGAGGUGGUUUUGAAGAGGUCGAUUUUGGGUGGGGGAAACCUGUGUAUGCUGGACCUCCUGAGGCUGUGUUGUUCAUGAGCUUCUAUAUCAAGUAUCAAAAUAAAGAUAGUGGAGAAUAUGGGACUUUGGUGCCAAUAUGCUUGCCGUUGAGAGCUAUGGAGAAGUUCGAAGAAGAGCUAAAGAAAAUGACUCUCCAAUGACCCAAGGCCACCUUGAUGUAGGAAGAAGUAUAGGGGUCAAAUAAAUUAAAAAUUAUCUUUGUUGAGUAUAACUAUUAUAUAUAUUAUUGGAACUUAUCUUAUUUCGGGAUUUAUAUUUGAGUCAGAUUAUAAUUCCAUCAAGUUCCCUAGUAAAAUACUAAGUUUACCUUUUAACGAAAACUUUUUGUGCCAAAUUAAGGGUUAGUUUGAGAUUGCGGUAACUGUUGAAAUAAGUCGCUUGUAUUGUAUGGAUGAAAUAAAUUGUUGAUUAAAAAAGUAACUUUAGUAAAUUGUAUUGUAUGUUUGAAAAAUGGAGUACAUGCAUUUGGUAAUCUUAUUACGAAAGAGUUAGUUUAUUAUAUAAUAACCAAAAUUGUCUUUUAUUCAUACACUUCAAAUUGUCUUUUAUUUGUACAUUGGAAUUUAUGAAAAUAAGAUGUAAUUGUCUUUUUGGUAAAAAUAUUAAGAUUAUAAUAAACAUUUUAGAAAUGUGUGGUGACUUAUUUCAUUAAUUGCUUAUAAAGCGACCCUUGCUUGUGAAAUUUACGGUCAAAAUAGAGAAACUUAUGAAAUAAAUAAAUUUAAAAAAUUUACUGAACACCACUUUUGUCAAAUCUUAUGGAAUAAGCCUUCUACGACAUUUCAACCUUAAUCCCAAAUAGGGCUCAAUGGCUAGUUUGAGAUUGCAGUUGUUGAUGAAGGCCCAAUUUUAUAAGCUACUUAUUUCAUAAUUUUUGACAAAACAUAGUGUUUGAUAAAUUUUGUAAAAACUAUUUAUUUCAAAAUUUUCUACAUUUUGACUGCAACUUUUAAAACAUCUCUAUCGUUAAACUAUUAACACUCUUGCCGUAACUUUUGUUCCUUUUAACUAGUUUUUACAAUAUUACCUCUUAUAACAAUUUUUUAAGGCAUUAAUAAAAAAAAUUAAAUUACCAAUUUAACCCCAAAAAAAAUUAAAUAAAAAGAAUAUAUGUUAAUUUUUGUGGAAGCUCACAUAUGUCUCAAAAAAAUUAAUAAUAUAAAAAAUUAAAUUAUGAAUUUUUUGGACAUUAAUAAAAUAAUUAAUAUAUUAAUUCCUCAGCAGAGUAUUCAACAAAAAAUAACAUAUAUUCUUUCUAUUUUAUUUUUUAGGGGUUAAAUUGAUAAUUUAAUUUUUUUUAAAGAAACAUUAUUGUAAGAAGAUAAUAUUGUAAAAGCAACACAAAAGUAACAAAAAGCAAUAGCAUGGGGGUUAUUUCCACCCAACCCCCAAAUGUUUCGACAUUUUCCACCGCGGACCCAAUUUUGUUAAUUUGACCAUUAUUUUUAACGGAGCUAUUUGAAAUUUGCUUAAAUAUCCAAAAAUACCCCUUAUCUUGAAUUAGAGAAGAAUUAAAUGAGAUAAAAUGUUAAUCCAAUAAUUAAUAUUUACAUUAAAAAUUCUUAAUUAAAGGUAAUUAAUAAUAAUCUCAUCAAUUAAUUUAUCAAAUAAAUUUAAUUUAUCAUCAUCAAUAAUAUUUAGGGUAUGAACUUCCAAAUUUACCAUUUGACUGUUAGAAUAACGGUCAAAUUAAUAGAUUUGGGUGUGGGGUGGAAAUUGUUUGAAACAUUGGGGGCGCGGUGGAAAAUGUUGAAAUAUUUGGGGCAUGGCGGAAUUAACCCUAGCAUGGGUGUCAAUAAUUUAUAGUUGGGAUGUGUUAAGCUAUUUUUAAACAUAUGAAGACUAAAUGAGCAUUAACUUUAAAAUAUAGAGACUAAACAAGCUUUUUAUCUUUUAAUGUUCAAUCUACUUAUAUUUUUUCUAUGGUCAUGGUUUCUAUUGCAACAAGUUUAAUGUGAAUGUAAUGCAUAUUACUUUUUAUUUUAUUUUAUUUGGAUGUAUUAGUAUGAUUUUUUAUCAUAUUCUAUGUAGCAUACUAUGAAAUUCAUUUGAUUUUAUUUAAUUGAGUUUUUUUUCACUUUAUCGUUUUAAAAAAGAAAAAAGGCAUAAAUAUUACUAAACAUACUCCAAAAAAUAAAAGAUAAUUUAAAUUUAUGUCUAUUUUAGUUAUUAUAUAAUAAAACAACACUUUCAUAAUAAAAUCUAUCAAAUACAUGUGUACUGCUUUUGAAAUUCACAACAAUCACAAUAAUAAAGUUUACUAAAACACCAAUAUGCUUUUUUAAUUAAUAGCUUAUUUUAUCCGCACAGAAGAAACAACUUAUUUAAUCAACCAUCGCAAUUCCAAAUGACUCAAAAAUAAGCUGCUUGUUUUGUACGGAUAAAAUAAGCUCCUGAUUAAAAUAGUGGAUUGGUGUUUGGUAUUAUUAUAGCGGUAGAUGUAAGUUGAAAAAGAAAAGUGAAUGCAUUUAGUAAAUUUUAUUACAAAAGUGUUAUUCUAUUAUUAAUGAUAAGAAUAGGCAAAUAUUUAAACCGCCUUUAUUUAUACACUUGAGUUUGUGGAAAAAUAAGAUAGUAUUGUCUUUUAUUAAAAUAUCAAGAUUAUAAUAGAAAUUUUAAAAAGGUGUGACUGCUUAUUAAUAAGCUACUUAUAAAAAAUAACUCCCUAACUACUUUUAAAAGAUUCAGUUAGAAUCUAGGCACUUAUGAAAUAAAUAAUUUUAAAAAAUUUACUAAUAUUAUUUCAUCAAAACUUAUAAAAUAAGGAGUUUUAAUAUUUCAAUCUUAACCCCAAAUAGAAACCUAAAUAGAAUGACAUAUAAACUAAUAGAAUAUUGGCAAUUCAAAAUAUAAUCUAGCUAAAUAACAUACGAAGCAAUAUAAUUUUUUAUGUGUUUGUAAAAUAGUAUGGAAAGAUUUUCUAACUGGGAGGUUGACAUAUCAAAUUUAUGUUCAUAGAUUUUAGUCAUAAUUGAAAAAAAGGAUUUUAAGAGAAUUUUAGAAGGGUGCUAAUAUCAAGAUGCCCUUUUCUUUCUCUCUCCUUUUUCCAUUUUUGAAUGCAAAAUGGUGCUGAAAAUUAUGAAGCAUCAAAAUUUCAAGAUCAAACUAAGCAAAUUAGAAUCUUAGAACUUGAACUUGCUUAUUUCGACGAAAAUUGGAUCGACCAUCAUAAAUAUAUAAUAUACAGAUUGAAAAUUAAUAUGGACAUGUGAAUAAUGACUGAUAUUUUUGACUAUUUUAAGCAUAAAAAAGAGUAUUUUCGAUUUUCUGUAGUUGUUGUUUUGCAAUAUCAAUGCCAAUUUGACUAUCUACUAUUAAAAUACAGUAUUUUCUAGAGGCAAACACAAUUAAAAAAAAAUUACAGUCGAAAAAAUAAGUUCUAAUUGAUUAUGCAAUAAAUAAAAUAUGUUGUGUUAGUAGGAAUAAAUUAUAUUUCUAAUUGAAUUUUAGUAUUUCCAAGAAGUGAUUGUUGAAAUUCAUUUUAUUCUACUUUCAUAGUUUAAAUGAUCAUUUUUUAUUAAUUGCUCUAAAAAAAAUCAAAAAAUUAAUAGACAAAUUUUAUGGUUGAAAUUGAUUUUCUUAAUUGACUAUAGGAAAACAAUCAAAUGAAUCAAUAGCAAAUAUUCUUUUAUACAUAAUUUUCAACAAAUACAUGUGCAAUUUAAACAAAAGUCAAAUAAUACAACAAAAGCUACACGACGGUGUCGCUUCUUACGGUGGCUUUGGUAAUCAAUGAUCAAUUGAUAAAUAUUCUUUUGUAAAUGAUUUCAACAAAUACAUGUGCAGCUUAAACAAAAUUACAAAUAACAUAUCAAAGCUACAUGGCGCUAUUUACGAUGGCUUAGUGUUGUUAAAAGAUAAAAUCAAUGUGGAUUAAUCAUUGAAUCCUUGACAAAUACUUGAAUAAAAUAAUACACCAAAAGCUACAACGGCACUACUACAAUGAUAUUUUGAUGUUGAAAAAGAUAGAAUCAUGUGGAUUGAGCAACCCAAAUUCUUGUGGAAGAUUGAAUACCAUAAUUUAUUGAUUUAAUUCACAAUUUAUUUAUAACAAAUAAAAGAGACGUUAAUUAGGAUAGAUUCAUAAUUGAAUCUAUCCUAAUUAAUUCUUACCUGCAAGUGACAAUUAAUCAAAAAUUCUCACCGAACAACCCGACAGAAAAAGCUGCAAACCAACCUUAUGAGAGUGAGGCCAACAAUAAUUGACGUCAAACUUAAGAAAUUAAAGGUAAUGGAAAAAAUUUAAUAAAUAUUUGGAAAUAUCUCCCCAAUUCUAUAAAGCUUAGUUCAAAAGAAUUAAGAAAAUGACCCUAAAAAUAGAGUUGAAAACUUUGGAGAUGAAGAAUAAUACAAAAGAAGAGGAGAUGAAUUCAUCAUUACGCUUACUGUUGGUGGCCUUAUUUAUUUACUUAUUCCAUUAAUGGAUAGGAUUUGGUGGCUGAUUGAGAGAAUGGAGAACGUGGUUAGAGUAAACAUAUCAUUUGCACUAAAAACUUUAGUUAGGUGGCAUUAUAAUAGCUAAGUGGACCAAACGGUUACUAGAGAUACUACAAGAUAUUCAAAUUCUUAAAAAAAAAUAAAUUAAUUUAUAUAUCCUUAGUUAGUUAGUUAUUUCAUACUGAUAAAUAAUGAAAAUUAUUAGCAUAUGAUUCGAUUAACUGCAAAACAAAACUUCUUAUCAUAUUAAUGCAAAUUUAAAGUUUGUUAUAACUAAACAAUUAUAUAUAAUAUCUAUUAUGUGAUUGCUGGUUAGAUUAUUUAAUUACUUUUUAGCCUAAAUUGAUUGAUAGAACAUCUUUAACAUAGAUUUUAAAUUUAAAUGAAAAAUUAGUAAGAUAAACAAAAGAUAAAAAUAGAUAUUGACCCACAAAUUAUAAAGCUAUAUUAGUUUUAAUAAUUCAUAGUUAAGUUAUGUUUCAAAAGAUAAAUAAAUUAUUGAAAUAGUUCUAAUUAUAUGUUGAAAUUAAUUGUAUGACCGUUCUUAGACAAUUAGACUAAUUUAAUAAACAAUAUUUCAACAAUAAUUAAAUUUUAAUUACUAAUUAUCUAAUAUUUUUUAGUAUAUGCAAUGAAUGUUAAGUAUGAAGUAUAUGUUCCAUGUUCCACAAUCAAGAGUAUAAUACAAUUAUGAAAACUAUUAAACUCCAUUUAUUAAAAUUGUCACUAGAGUACAUUAGUUUUAAAAUUAGCUAGUCUCCAUAUUGAUUCAAUAACAAUUAUGAUCAUUCAUAGACAUUAUUUCUAUAAAUGCUUAACUAUAAAGUACCAAUUAGUUUGAUAAUGAAUCUCUAAAUUGAUUAUUAAUACAAUCGAAAUUAAACAUUAAUGCAAGUUUCAAGUUUGUUUAUAAAAUUGAAUGGGAUCAUAAAUAUUUUAGAGUUUUCUUGGACUACAAUGCUAUUUUGAAAUUUAUUUGAUGUUUAGUUGUAAGACAUCGUACAUUAUAUUUAUGUUGUAAUCAAUCAAUCGUACUUAUAAGUUAAAUAAGGUAAUUCAAUUUUAUUGUUGCACCAAGUAAAACCUUAAGAAAAAGUCAAUUCCUUAAUAAUCAUUUAAUAUAUAUUGCUAAUUACUUCAAGGUUACGUAGUAGACACUCUCAUAUAUUUUUUUUUGGUUAAGGGUUGAAAUUCUGUGUUCAUUGUAGAAUUUAAUUUUAUUUUAAAAUUAAGUACAUUAAAUUAAUCAUUUAUUUAAUUAUCUAGUUCAUGUUUGAUUAAAAAAAUAGUAAACUAAGAAAAAAAUUACAAUUACUUUUCUGUUAGAUGAUAUCUAAUUUUAUAUUAUGUUUUCUUGCCCUUAUAUCUUUGCUUUGACUGACCUUGCAAGUUAUACUAGUGAAAAAUAUAUUGGCACUUAUGUUGCCUCUCAAAAUUGUAUAUCCUUUGGAUAUUUUUUUUCUACUAACUCUUAGUUACAGUUAAAAAAAUUUUCUAUUUCUGACAAAAAAGAGUCAUAGAAGAGUUAAAAUUUUCAGAAAUUUCUUAUUGUUUUACUCCACUGUUUUCUAUUGUUUAAUGCAAAAGUUUUGAUUGCCUCUUCUAAUUCACUUGGGAUUUAGUUCCCUCCUAAACAAAAUUUUAGUUGGAUGCAAAUGGGUUAUAGGAAUAAAAAAAAAAAAAUAUAUAUAUAUAUAUUUCAGAUGUUAGCCUUCAUUGCUAGAAACCAAGAUAAGCAUCCGUUUCAUUGAUGUUGGUUUGUCAUCACCGAUACUUCCAGUCCUUGGUUAAACUAACUACAAUUCAAGAGGGUGUCGUUUAUGCUAACUUCUUCUCACGUUUGUAAAAUGUUAAUUGCUCUCUUAAUAAAAAUUAUUAUUAUUGUUGCUAUUGUUGUAGUAGUUGUGUUGAUAUUAUUAGGCUGAUGAACUUAAAAAAACACGCCAAACAUGUGGGUUUAAAUAAAAUACGUUAGGCACGUGAACUUUUUUAAGACAUUUGGCUUUGAGGGGUAAAAGAAAAAGUUGAUGGACCUUUUUUUGGAGACAAUCCAUUACACCACCCGAGUGGCUCGAUCCAUGAACCGUGCUGGGCCUUAAUAAAAAAUUUGGGUACGACGCAAUAUGGCCCAUCAGUUUAAUGGGCCGUGCCGUGCCGGCCGAUGGGCCCUAAUGGCCGUGGUUUGCCGUUGGACACCUUCAGGUCCAAAAUCCGAAUUGGCCGUAAUUGCAAAAUAUAUCCCAUAAAAUAGCUUGUUUUCUAAAAUACACCUCUAUAGAGUGCUAUUUUCACAAAUGCCCUAAUUUAUAGGUCACUACUUCAAAUUUCAGUCAAGAGCCACCACCGGUCCACCGCUCUCUCUCUUUCUCUGUUCCUCUUCGUUAAGCCACUGAAACGGCGAAGCCUCUAUCAAAAAAAAAAAAAAAAAACAAUGUAAGUUGUUCACUUCUUAACUCUCUUAAUUAACUAAUUUUUUUAACUUUCUUAUUUCCUUUAUUAAAAAAAAAGAAUUAAACUUGAAUUUGCUCGGACGAUUUUGAAUGUACAGGUCGAGAAUUUGCGUGAAGAAUUUACCAAAAUACGUGACGGAGGAUCGCCUGAGAGAUUUUUUUUCUCAGAAAGGAGAAAUAACUGACGCCAAGCUUAUGCGCACCAAGUAAUUUUUGAAUUUUUUUUCGUUUUUUAAUUUUGCUGGAAUUUUAUUGAUUGAUUUAUUUUUUAAUUUGGUUGUAUUGCUGUGUUUUGAUUUUUGUUUAGAGAUGGCAAGAGCAGGCAAUUUGCUUUUAUUGGUUUCCGUACCGAGCAAGAAGCUGAGGAAGCUAUAAAGUACUUUAACAAAUCUUAUCUUGACACUUGUAGAAUCUCUUGUGAGGUCGGUUUUUGUUAUUACUCUGUUUUAUUUUAUUGAUUUUAAUUUUUAUUUUCAGAGUAGGUGAAUUUUGUUUUCUUAUUAUUUACAUGCUUUUAGCGGUAAUUGGGAGAUUAUUGAGUGAAAAUUAACUUAAGUGAUUUAGUUAUCAUUUAAUCUACUUCAUGAAUCUGAAAUGAAUUUGAUGUAUGCCUGUGGCUAAUAUACUCAUGGAAUGUAAAGGAUUAGUAAUUUUGGUUGGUCUGACUAAUGUAGAUUUGGUUGAUUAAUAUAUCUUUUGCUGAUUAUAUUUUGUCAAGUACCCAAGUGUACAUAAAAAAAUUGAAGACUCAUANUAAAGUUGGGGAUCCAAAUAUGCCUCGUCCAUGGAGUCGAUAUUCUUUGAAGAAAGAAAAAGAAGUGUCAGAAGAUGAGAAGAAUCCUGUUCUUGCUGCUAAAAGAGGAGAGAAAAAGACCAUUGAAAAGGUUACUGAGAAUGACGAUCCUCAGCUUCAAGAAUUUCUUCAGGUGAUGCAGCCGAGGGUCAAGUCAAAAAUGUGGGCAAAUGAUACCUUGAUUGGUCUCAUGGCUGACCAGAAGGCCAAAGUCUCUGAGAAUAUAUCACAAGCAAUCAAAGGAGGGGAGAAAUCAAUUACAUUGCAUGUUCAGUCAGAUAAAUCCAAUGUGAUAACAGAUAGCCAGGCAACUGAGAAAUCAAAAAAUGCUGCUGCUGAUGAAUUAAUGUCAGAUAUGGAUUAUUUUAAGAGUCGAGUGAAGAAAGAUUGGUCAGAUUCGGAAAGUGAAGAUGAUUCUGCUGGUGAUGAUGAUGAUGAUGAUGACGGGGAGGAGGAGGAGGAGGAAGAGAAUGACCACAAUGGUGAUUCUAAUGAAGAAUGUGAUAGUAUUAUAAAGGAUUCAAUUCAUUCUGGGGUUGGAGAAGAAGAUGCCAAUGGUGAAAUUGUUGACCCAGGGAAUCCAUCAUCAAGUUCGAAAGAUGUGCAACAAGAAGUUUUGGAAAGUGGUCGUCUUUUUGUCCGUAAUCUUCCAUAUACAGCAACGUAUGUACCUUACUGCCUCUUUUUCAUAGUGGUCAUAUGUAUGACUAUAAAUAUACUUACAUAAAUCUUUAUGUAACAGUGAAGAUGAGCUGAGGGAGCACUUCAGUAAAUUUGGCAAUGUCUCAGAGGUCCACAUUGUUGUUGAUAAGGAUACAAAACGGUCCAAAGGGAUAGCUUAUGUUCUUUAUGCAAUUCCAGAAUCUGCAUCAAGGUACUUGUGUUUGGGUGUUUUCUGUUACCUAAAACUUCUUGGUGUUGCUUUGAUACUUUUAAAUUCAUCAGUGGAUUAUUAGGAGGUCUCUGAAACUUAUCCUUAGUUGAGACCUCAUAAAUAUGCUCUCAUAUGUGACUUGGGAAUAAGAAAGAUAGUUGGAAUACACAUACGCGUAAUUUUCUUAUUAAAAAAUGGGAGAAAAAUUGGAGAUAUGGUAGUUCAUAGGAGAGAGCUAGGAGAUGUUGGAUUUUUUCCCAUUCUUGGGGCGCUUAUCUGCGAGAGGCUUUUUUGUUUUUUUUGGGCUAAGACAGUGCCAUUGUAUUGGUGUUUCUUUUGGCAUAACUAACCAUUUUAAGCUUUGAAUUUCUGUACAUGGUUUGCUGACAUGGUCAAAGUGCAGUGAUAACUAACACAUGUUAGCCUUUCAUCCUUUUCUUGUAUACUUAAUUUUUCUCAGAAUACUGUUAAUUGUUAUUCUUUCCUUUUCUCACUGCAUUAUUCAUAGUUAUUGGGGUCCAUGAACUUUUUCAGUUUGCAGAUUGUUUACUGUUGGAUCAUAUGGUAGAUUACAAUUUAUUGUACUAGCAAAUUCUUCUUGGCCACUGGUUUGAUACAUUGCAGGAUGGAUGUGCUGUUUGAGUCAGUUUUGGAUCUUAUCCUGCACUUGUUUAUUUAUCUUCCUUCCUGUUUUUGUUCAAGUCAUUGAUUACUUGGUUGUAUGUGCAGGGCCAUAGAAGUACUAGAUAAUUCAAUUUUCCAAGGUAGAUUGUUGCAUGUUAUGCCAGCGAGACACAAGAAAUCCUCAGACAAACAAGAGUGAGUUUGCUUUUGAUUCCAGGCUUCAAGGUUUGUGGUUUUACUUAUGUAUGAUGGAACUUGACACUGUUUUCUUUCUAGGCUUCACAAUUCUACAAGCCAGGGUACAAAAACGUUGAAACAACAGAGGGAGGAAGAAAGGAAGGCAUCUGAAGCUAGUGGAAAUACAAAAGCAUGGAAUAGUUUGUUUAUGCGCCCUGAUACGGUAUGCUAACCUAAAAGAAAAAAAGGAGACACAAUUUUUUUCCCCCCUUCCCCUGUCCUAAGAAAUUACUUUUUCGAUGUUGAUUUGUCUUUUUAAAAAUUCAUGACCAUUUCACCAUGAAGUAAUUAUUCUAUCAUAAAUAAGGCUCUUUUGUUGUCCUAUUUUGGCCAGAUGUAUAAAGCAGUUGCAUUUCCAUGUCUGUGGUUAUGGUUGAUGUAAAUUUUUCUGUUUGAAUUCUGGCCUCAUUUUUGUGUUUCAUCUUGCCUGUUAAUAGGUUGUAGAAAACAUUGCUAGGAAACAUGGUGUUAGCAAGAGUGAUUUACUUGACCGAGAGGCCAAUGAUCUUGCUGUGCGUAUUGCUUUGGGCGAAACUCAAGUUAUUGCGGAGACCAAAAAAGCUCUUACGAAUGCUGGGGUAAAUGUUUCAUCUUUGGAGGAAUUUUCUGCUGGGAAAACUGAUGGUCUGAAAAGAAGCAACCAUGUAUUUUUAGUGAAGAACUUGCCUUAUGAUUCUUCUGAAGGUGAACUAGCUAAGAUGUUUGGUAAAUUUGGGAGUUUGGACAAAGUUAUUCUCCCUUCAACAAAAACAUUGGCCUUGGUAAGCAUCCUUUUCAGAUCUUAAUUAUUUUCCAUGUAUCCUGUUUUUUGAACAGCCACAGUUGGUGUUUUAAGACUGCUUGUAUGUAGAAUUGAUACCUCCCUAACCUGAUCCUUAUAGAAUGAAUAAAGAGGUCAGGAAAGAAUGCCGAAUGUCAUGAAUAAGUAGGUUGUCAGUGAUUUUCAUCAAUGUUGCAUGUAGCUGACUGAGGAUUUCAUUUUCUAGAGGAUACAGGAUGAAGAUGUAUAAAUCUGGGAAUAUACUGGGACGUUAAAUGUGGCUCUGUAUUAAACUGGGAUUAUGUUGUUUGGUGCAAUGAAGACUAUUCAAUUAAAGACGGCAAAAUGGGCAUGACUUGAGACUGUUACUUAACAGUGUAAUCUGCCAUUUGCAGGAUAUAAAUCUUGUGGUGACAUUUUUUGUUUUUGUUUAUAAGACUGAAGGCCAGGCUUCAUGUUCAAGUGACACUGGUGGCUUUUGAUUGAUGCUUUUCUUUGACACAAGUGGAAUUGGAUGCAACUCCAAUCAUUUAGAGGUGUAACUUACAAUUGAAUAUUGAAACAUAGAGUUUGAUUGCAUUUGUCCUUUUUUUCUCUUAGGAAGCAAUCUGAUUGAGUUGUUGGUGUGCCUCCUGAGACUAAUUUAGACAUUGGUUUACAUAGUUAGACUCGUAAAAAAACUUUUCUUUUUUUUUUUUCCCCAUUUUUUACCCCUUGGUCAGUGGCUUUGAAAGUUUAACGAGUGGAUAGAAAAGUAGUUGUUUAGCUUCCAUUCAUUACACUUCUAUUUGGAGUAUUACCUGUAUUAUUCCAGGAACAAUUUUUAGAUGUAUUUAAUAAUGAUUGUAUCAAUCUUGCUUCUAGAAAUGCCAAUCUUUGAGGGUUAAGUACUUCAGACUUGACUGAUUUUUAAUUUACUUAACCAUAUAUGGAGAAGAUGCUGCUCUAAAGAACCACAAUUGCUAUAUGCCUGAAUUAAUGCUGUUGUGUAGCCUAAUAGAAUUAGUAUUACAUUUCAGGUUGUUCUCCUCUUUCUUCCCCUCUUAAAUAUCUCCGUGCAUUGUUUUUCAGGUUGUUUUCCUCGAACCAGCUGAAGCAGCUGCUGCUUUCAAGGGUUUAGCAUACAAGCAUUACAAGUAUGUAUAUCUUUGUUUCUUUUAAGGCCAUUGGUUGAGCCCCUUGCAAAAGACAUGGAUAAUCAAUUUUUUAUGUGAAGUCUGACCAAAAGACUUCAGCUUCUAGAUUGGAACAUGGACUUGACCUGCUAACUCUAUAUUAAAUAUUCAAGAAAAGAUUUCUUAGCUAAAACUUUAGAACAUUGAUUUGACUUCACACAGCCAGACAAACACAUUCUCCUAUAUAUGCGUGGUCAGCACACCCGCAAACAGUAGAUAUGUUUGCUUGUUAGAUGCAAUUUUAUUUAUUUAUGUUUUUUUCCCCCCACACAGCAAUACAUCAGUUGUUUAUGAUAAGAAAAUGUAGUAUCGCUUUUGAUAUGAACUACCAUUUACGAUAGCAGAUUAGAUAAGUUUGAGUUGGUUAUUAAAGAAAAAUAACCUUCUGCUGACAACUUUUUCCAUACCUUUUCUUUUUUAAAGUUUUCGUGUUUAUAGGUAGUUAAGGAAUAAAUAAAACAUAUCUGUAGAAAACUGUAAGAGUUCUUUCCUUACUAGACAUUAUAGUAGAGAUGAACGAAAUUGCAACACCCUUUAUGCAUAUCAAGUAGAAUAAUGCUAAGAAUACAAACUCUCAAAAACUAUUUUCUACUAAUUGGCAUGGCACUAUUGUAUGAUUCCCGUGUGGAUUAUAUUAUUUGCUCUUAUUAAAUGGAUUGACUUUUGUGUUUCUGUCCAGCCAAUACUUUAAUGUGAAAUCAGUUUGUAUGUAAUAUUUUGUUCCAAGAGUUUGUGUCUGUAGCAUCUAUCUAUUGAAUAAGAGGCAUACAAUAGCUACUUAAACAGUAUUUUUUUCUUGUAUUGAUAAUGAAGGGGUGUUCCAUUGUAUUUGGAGUGGGCUCCUAGUGAUGUCCUCAGUCAAAGUUCUACUUCCAAGGGUAAUCAAAAGAAUGAUGCUGUGGUUGGUGAACAUGAUGCCAAGAGAGCUCUUCUAGAGCAACAACUGGAAGGAGUAACAGAUGCUGAUAUUGAUCCUGAUAGAGUUGAGGUGUGUCAUAUUAAUGAAUUCUUAUCUUGCUUCUUUUCCCUGUUCUGCUUCAUGCCGUAUAAUUUUUAUGCUAAUUGUUUUCGUGAUUAUGCCUUGUUUUAUCUUGUUCCUUUAUGGUCCUUAAACAUGUCAAAUGUAUUCUUUCAAGUUGCUGUUAGUUUAUUGGCCGUAAGGUGGCUGUAGAUGAUUACAAUUCCUCUAGUCAAUAUCUUUGGGUCAUUUUUCUUUGUUCAUCAUUUAUAUGUUGGCGCACAUCGCAAAAAGAUUUUUGUCCAUUUGUCCAUUGCUUGUUGAUUGGAGAUCAACAACAAUGUUGGUAUGAAUCAUGUUAAACCACUGCAUUUGUGAGGUCUUUUCUUUAGAUUUAUAGCCAUCUUUUACUAUUUUAUUUUUAUGUAGAUGUCAUGGAUUUCUGGCAAUCUUAGAUUUGUGUUAUUUGUCUCAUUAUUUUUAUUUUUUUCUAAGUUCAUUCUCCCACGGCCCAACCCCAACACCACCACCCAAAACAACAAAUCCGUAUGUGCUCAUUCUGUUGCAGCAUCUUGUUUUUCUUAUGAAUUUAACUAUUCAUCAAAAACAGAGGAAAACAGUGAAUUCUUUCCAUAUGCUUGGAUUCAGCAAUUUCAGUUGCUCAGUACUAUUUGUUCUAUCUGUGAUUUGAAAAGGAGGUUGAUACAUAUUAUAUAGAUUGUGUUGCAUCGUUUUUCUCUUAACUUCACUUUUUACGACAUAUGGUUGCUUCUAGAAAAGUCACAUUAUCAUAUUUCUUGAAUCAUAAAGUGACAAGAGUAAAUCAUAUGCUUACAGUGCUUCGAUAGAAACUUUCUAUCUCUAUGGAUUUGCGGUGUCUUUGCUUUUUGUUUCUGUUUAUGGUUUUUUCAUUCAUUUCUCUUUUUGCCUAUCAUGUUUCAGUCAAGAUCUUUAUUUGUCAAGAACUUGAAUUUUAAGACUUCUGAUGAGAAUUUGAGAAAGCAUUUUGGUGAACACAUCAAGGAGGGAAGAAUUCUGAGCGUCAAGGUAAUUAUCUGGACACUUCAAAGAUAAUACAUGAUUUUCUUGAUUCUUUAAUUCACUCAUUUUAUGGUUCUGUUCCACCCUGUUACAGGUAAAGAAGCACCUGAAAAAUGGAAAGAAUGUUUCUAUGGGGUUUGGUUUUAUAGAGUUUGAUUCUGUGGAGACAGCAACAAAUGUAUGCAGAGAUCUACAGGUGGCUAGCAGAUGCUAAGUUAGGUUAAUAUCAUUAGAAUAUAGUUCAAAAUUUUGGAAACUGAUGCAUCGUCGACAAUGUCUCGUCUCUUUUUUAGGGAACUAUUUUGGAUGGGCAUGCUCUCAUCUUACAACUAUGUCAUGCCAAGAAGGAUGAACAAGUGGUGAAAAAGGCUGAGAAGGAUAAGAGUUCAACAAAAUUACUUGUGAGAAAUGUUGCUUUUGAGGCAUCAGAGAAAGAUCUGAGACAGCUGUUUAGCCCAUUUGGCCAGGUGGUUAUUUUUCUUUUGAUGAGUAAUGAUGCAUUUCAUUAAAAAUGCCUAGCAAGUAAAAAGGAAGGAACAGGACCAUGGAAUCUAAGACAAGUUGGAAAGAGUUAUUGCUAUAUUACAGCAAUAUUAAACUAUUGUUUGAUUAACCAGAUAACGAGACAAAAGUAAAGGUUAUAUGUAGGAUAAUAGAAGUUUUCAAUUAAAUAUCUAAAUUUGUUGCAAGAUGUGCACAGGUAUAAUCCCUUCUCAAGUAUUACCUGCAUUUAAAUUCAUUUCAGCGAUGCCGAAAGACUUAUAUCUGAACUUGCUGGACAUGCUUUUUCUCUUGUUGAUUUCUAUGUUUUUAUAUUUUUUUUGUAGAUAAAGAGCUUAAGGCUGCCAAUGAAGUUUGGAAAUCAUAGGGGCUUUGCAUUCGUUGAGUAUGUAACAAAGCAAGAGGCGCAAAAUGCACUUGAAGCACUUUCAAACACCCAUCUCUACGGUCGGCAUCUGGUAAGCUGUCUGCCAGUUCUUAUAGAUAUUCUCUGUUGCACAUGAUCAGAUAAUAUCUAUAAUUGCCCCCACAUUUCAGGUGAUGGAGAGAGCAAAGGAAGGGGAGAGUCUGGAAGAAUUGCGGGCUCGAACUGCUGCUCAGUUUACCGAUGAGGUAAAUGGGUUUCAAAAUUCAACUAAGUUGUCUAAGAAGAGGAAGCACAUGACAAUCUUGGACGAAGGUACAAUGAAGUUUGAAAGAAUUGCUGAGUAGAGUGCUUUAUAUGAAUUUUUCUCGUGUGUUGAGAGAAAUGAGGUUUGUCAUGUAGUUACUUUUUAAGGUUUAUUAAUUAUAUUAUAAGUUAUGUUGGCUCCAUUUUUGUCUGUUGGGAGUCAAUAUCUGUUUGUAAUUGUUUCUUGUAGGUGAGGGAACAAAGCAUAUUUUGUAGAAUUUCUUGAUGUAAAUCAUCUAGAUAUGUCAUAGAAGAGUUAAAAUUUUCAGAAAUUUCUUAUUGUUUUACUCCACUGUUUUCUAUUGUUUAAUGCAAAAGUUUUGAUUGCCUCUUCUAAUUCACUUGGGAUUUAGUUCCCUCCUAAACAAAAUUUUAGUUGGAUGCAAAUGGGUUAUAUGAAUAAAUAAAAAUAUAUAUAUAUAUAUAUUCAGAUGUUAGCCGUCAUUGCUAGAAACCAAGAUAAGCAUCCGUUUCAUUGAUGUUGGUUUGUCAUCACCGAUACUUCCAGUCCUUGGUUAAACUAACUACAAUUCAAGAGGGUGUCGUUUAUGCUAACUUCUUCUCACGUUUGUAGAUUACGAAACUUCUUCUCAUGUCAAAUAAGUUUUCUGUUGAUCCUUGAAGGAAUCAUUCUCUUUAGCUCUUCUUCAAAUCUCUUCAUACUCGGCCUCGGCGAACGUAUAGGAAUGGGAGUCCCAGUCUCCCCAUCUUCUUUUUGGUACCUGUUUAAGUAACUAAAAAUAGACUUAGCACCAGCAAUCCCAGCAAAAACUGGUUUCCUCCACCCCAAAUCAAUUCUAUCAAAUCCGACCUGCUUAAAUCGGACACAUUGUAGUUCCCCUUAAUCGGGUACCUCGGCCGUCGCCCUUUGACCUCCAUAAGAUACGCCGCAGAUCUUAUAUGCUCUUUACUCAUUUCAGCCUUUGCUUUUUUCACCAGUGCAACAGCAUACCCUAAUGGAUUGUUGCAUAAAGCACCGCCCUUCAAACGCACAGCUGGGAAUGCCACUGCGUUACCAUAAUACCCAGAGCGUCAACUAGACAUGAAAAUUGAACAGUGUAUUUAGGGUCUAGUUGAAGUGCAAUUGUUCUACAUCUCCACAUACAAGCAGCCAACAACUCAAAUGUUGAACACACUUGGCCUUUGGCCAAGUGUUAAGAGCUACUCCCUCAUAAGUGUGAGGGUAGCAGUUCGAACCUCAACAAAAACAGUUUUCUCCCCACAAAAGCAUUUGUGGGGGUUUAAUUUGAGUGAAGGCAGUCAGACAGUCUUCUCCCUGUCCCUCAAAUAUCAGCGAGAGAUUUCUAAGGUGUAAUGGAAGUUGAUUUUUGGAUUGGUACCUAUGAACGUAUCACACUUGUGGUUGAUUUCUAGUGCAUAAGCGUUCCCGUUGCCCAACAGGGAAUAGGGAAGGUGUGUUUGAACCUCUUGCCAUCUCCUGUAUGGUUUUCACAAAUUGCACCAGACCAAGUUCAUCACACAUAUUGUGGUUGAAAUGUAUCGCAAGAGUGAAUCCUCCACACAUCAAACGAGUCACCUACACAUAUGAAACAAAGAAAACCAUGAAAUUUAAUGAUUAAAUACUUAAAAAGUACAGAAUUAUGUAAUAUAUAGAAGUAAGAAUGACCUUUUGGUCCCUAAUAUUUUACAUUUUUACCACUAAAUUAGGACCAUUUUUCAUUUACUCACUAUAUUGGACAAUGUAAUUUUAAAGAAAAUUAUCGAUGGUCCACUGAAUUUUUAUAGAAAGUUCCAAAUACUCAAAUUCUUUAAAAAAUAUUUCUUUUUUUGAGGAGUUUAAAAAAUAUUCUUUAAAAAAUAUUUCUUAUCUACUUAAGUUUUCGAAUUGUAUUAAGAAGCACUUUUCUGUGAACUCAAUGAGAUAAUUUAGUGCAUCUUUGUAAAAAGACUAAUAAAAAUAAUGUUCAAUGAGUACACUUGACUUAAAGAACCCAAAACAAUGUGUUUUCUUUGUUAUAAUGUUAUAAUGUAAUAGGUAAUUGAAAAAUAUAUAUGAAUGAGAAAAAAUAGUGAGAAUAUAUUUUUCUUAUUCAUACAAGUUGCAAUCUUUACAUUAUAUACUUGUUUGACUAGGCUAUAUAAGGAAGCUAUAGGAAACUAGGAAAAAUAAAUAUAUGCUAUACAAGGAAAAAAUAAAUACAUGUACACAAAAUUAGGAUAUAAUCUUUGACUUUCAACACUCCCCCUCAAGCUGGCUCGAAGAUAUCUAUCAUUCCCAGCUUGGAAUUCAGUGAUUGAAAAACUUGUUUUGAUAAUCCCUUGGUGAGAAUAUCAGCUACUUACUUUUGAGUAGUAAUAUAUAGAAUGCAUAUUAGGCCUUUCUCCAGCUUCUAUUUUAUAAAGUGUCUAUCAAUCUCGAUAUGUUUUGUCCUAUCAUGUUGGACUGGAUUAUGAGCAAUGCUAAUGGCAACUUUAUUAUCACAAUACAAUCUCAUUGAUUCAGUUUUCCACACCUUCAACUCUAUUAGAAACAUUCUCAGCUACAUAAGCUCGCAAAUUCCCAAUGCCAUUGCUCUAAACUCAGCUUCAGCACUUGAUCUUGCAACCACUGGUUGUUUUUUGCUUCUCCAAGUAACUAGAUUUCUCCCAACAAAUGUACAAUAACAUGAUGUUGACUUUUUAUCAACAAAUGAUCCAGCCCAAUCUGCAUCUGUAUAUGCCUCAACCCUUAGGUGAUUAUUCUUAGAUAAUAAAAUGCCUUUUCCUGGAGAUGUCUUUAAAUAUUCCAGUAUCCUAAACACAACUUCCAUGUGCUCUACAUUAGGAGAAUGCAUAAAUUGACUCACAACGCCUACUGCAAAUGUAAUGUCUGGACGAGUAUGACACAAUAGAUUAGCUUUCCAACUAAUCUUUGGUACUGUUCCUUAUUAACCAACCUGCUUUUAGUAGUUGCCCCAAGUCUAUGGUUGGAUUCUAUAGGAACAUCGCUAGGUUUGCAUCCUAACAUCCCAGUUUCUUCCAAGAGAUCCAGAAUGUAUUUCCUUUGUGACAAAAAUAUACCUUUCUGAGACCUAGCCACUUCAAUUCCGAGGAAGUAUUUCAGAGAACCUAGGUCUUUAGUUUCAAACUCUUUGGUUAACAACAUCUUGAGUCUUUCAAUUUCAUCUCUGUCAUUUCCAGUCAAGAUGAUAUCAUCCACAUAUAUAAUAAGGACAACGAGCUUAUCUUCUUUACCAUGCUUAAGAAACAUGGUAUGAUCAUUAUGGCUUUGUCGAUAUCCACAUUUGAGAAUAAAUCUUGUAAAUCUGUCAAACCAGGCUCUUGGUGAUUGCUUGAGCCCGUAUAAAGACUUUUCCAGCUUGCAAACUUUUCCUCUUUCAAACAUAUUCUCAAACCUUGGUGAUGGAUCCAUAUACACCUCCUCUUCUAAAUCUCCAUGGAGAAAUGCAUUCUUCACAUCUAGCUGUUGUAAUGGCCAUUCUAAAUUUGCAACAAGUGACAAUAGGACCCGAUUAGAGUUCAUUUUUGCAACGGGGGCAAAUGUCUCUUGGUAAUCAAUUCCAUAUGUUUGAGUAUAUCCCUUAGCCACCAGCCUAGCCUUGAAUCUCUCAAUUGAUCCAUCAGCCUUAUGCUUAACUGUAAAUACCCAUUUACAACCCACAAUUUUCUUUCUAGAAGGCAAGUCUGCAAGACCCCAAGUUCUAUUUUUAUAUAAUGCUCUUAGUUCUUCAUGAAUCGCUUCUCUCCACUUUGGAUUUGCAAGAGCAUCAUGUACUGUUCUAGGAAUAGUUACAGAUGACAAAUUAGUAGCAAAAGCUUUAAAUGAUGGUGACAAUCUAUGAUAAGAGACAAACUUAGAAAUAAGAUGUUUAGUACAAGUUCUAACACCUUUUCUAUGAGCAAUAGGCAAAUCUAAAUCUAAAUCAAGUGAUCGAAUAGAGUUUAAAUGCAAUUUAGACUCAGAUUGAACAGUACCUGUGUCUUCCAAUACCUGUAUGUUCGGUUCAGAAUUUUGGCAGUCAGGAGAUGUACAAAUUAUUUUAUUUCGUCGAGAAUAUACCUUUAGCUUUUGAGUAUCCUCUUGAUUUUGUGCGGUGGAUGGUUGAAUUUGUGAAAACACUUGCUGGUCAUCACUUGGGUCAGGCUGUUUUUGUGGGGAAGAACAAUGUUGUUCUUUUUGCUAAUUGUUAUUAGAAGGUGGUAGAUUUUGUGGAGAGCAAACUAUCAAAGGUGGAGUUGAAUUUGUGAUAUCAUCUCUGAAAUAUAGCUCAUCUGAGUGUGUGGAUUUUGGAAAAAAUUUAAAAAACUAAUCUUUAAUAUUAUAUUCCUCCCCCUAAAGAGAGGUUUUGGAGAAAUAAUGGUUAAUUUCAAAAAAAGUCACAUCCAUGGUUACAAAAUAUUUCCUAGUUGGAGGAUGAAAACACUUGUACCCUUUUUGUGUAGGAGAAUAACCCACAAACACAUAUUUAAGAGGCCUAGGAUCAAGCUUACUUUUGUUAUGAUUCUUGUCAUUAACAACAACAACACACCCAAAAACCUUAGGAGGAAGAGAACUAAAGGACCGAGACAUGGGAUAAAGUUGCUGAAGAAGUUCGAUUGGAGUUUUAAACUUCAAAGUACUAGUAGGCAAUCUAUUUAUGAGAUAACAGGCAGUUAAAACUGCUUCACCCCACAAAUAAUUUAGUACCCCCAUAGUAAACAUCAAAGAUCGAGCAAUUUCAAGUAAAUGUCUGUUUUUUCUUUCUGCAACUCCAUUUUGUUGAGGAGUAUCAACACAAGAGGAUUGAUGAAUAAUUUCAUUCUCAGUCAAAUAAUUUCCCAACAUAGAAGAAAAAAAUUCUUUGCCAUUGUCAGUUCGAAACACUUGAAUUUUUGUUUGAAAUUGGGUUUGAACCACUUUACGGAAGAUUUGAAAAGUUUUAGAAACUUCAGAUUUUUCUUUUAAUAAAUACACCCAACAAACUCGAGUGUGAUCAUCAAUAAAAGUGACAAACCACUUAGCUCCAAAAUUAUUGGGAAAACAUAGAGGACCCCAUACAUCACUAUGUAUAAGAGAGAAUGGUUGUGAAACUUUGUAAGUUUGGGCAGAAAAUGAGUACGAUGAUGCUUGGACAGUUCAGACACUUCACAUUUAAAAUUAAUGUCACUUUUAUUCUUAAACAAUGUCGGGAAUAACAACUUUAAAUAUGAAAAAUUUGGAUGUCCUAAUCUGAGAUGCAUCAAACUAAUUUCAUUCUCACUAGGCACUUGAGAAACAAUUUUGUCAACUAAAGAUAGAUUACUCAAAGCUUCAGGCUUCUCUUCGAAAUAAUAAAGUCCAUCCACCUCCUUAGCACUGCCAAUCUUCUUCCCUGUACACAGGUCCUGAAAUUCACAAUUGGAAGAAUAAAAUUUAGCCAUACAGUUAAGGUCUUUUGUAAGUUUACUGACAAACAAAAGAUUACAAGACAGAUUAGGGACGUGCAAUACUGAUUUUAAGAUCAUUGUUUUAGAAACUGAAAUUGAACCUUUUCCUGCAACUGAAGAAAGAGACCCAUAAGCGAUUUUCACAUUUUGUUUACUAGAAAGUGGUUUGUAAGUAGAGAAUAAGUUGGACAAACCAGUCAUAUGAUCGGUUGCCCCUGAAUCAAUGAUCCAAGGGCAAGAAGUAUUUGAAGAGAUGCUGAAAGCAUUUAGAAAAUUACCUAUUUGGGCUAGAUGAGCAGAAGGUGUUUGACUCAUGAACCUGACAAGUUGCUCAAGUUGUUCUUUAGUGAACAGAUUUGAUCCCUGACCCCCUGAGUUUGCAUUGGCAUUAUCAAUUGCAUCUUGAAAGCCCUUUGAAUUUUGUCCAGAAGACUUGGUACCUUUCCCUGAGUUUUGUAGCCUUUCAUGGAGCUUCCAACAAAACUCUUUGGUAUGUCUUGGGUUAUGGCAAUGAUCACACCAAAGUUUAUCUAUGUCAUCUUUCUUCUUGCUCAUAUUCUUUUGUUCACUUACCAAUGCUGAAUCAGUAGCACAAGUAAUCAAGGCAGAAUUAUCAGUAUUAGAGCUAUUCGUCAUUAUCUUUUUUCUACUUUCUUCCCUUCUCACAUAUGCAUAGACUUCCCUAAUUGCGGGAAUAGGUUCUUUGCUUAGUACUCGUCCUCUAACUUCAUCCAAAUAUGGAUUCAAACAAGCCAAAAAUUCAAACACCCUCUCCUUCUCCCGUAACUUCUUAAAUCUUUUACUGUCAUCUCUACACUUCCAUUCUCCAUCAUAAUACAAACCCAAUUCUUGCCAUAAGCUAUUCAUGAUAUUGUAAUAUGCAGUCACAAUGUCACUUCCUUGUUUGGUUUCAUGAAUACGAUACUUAAGUUCGUACAACUGUGCAGUAUUUCCAAGAUCAGAAUAUGUCUCUGUGACUGCAUCCCAUAAAUCUCAUGCUAAUGGUAAGAAAAGAAACGCAUGACUAAUGUGAGGAUCCAUUGAAUUAAUAAGCCAUGACAUUACCAUAGAGUUCUGUUCAUCCCAUAUUUUAUACGAAGGGUCAUCAGCCUCUGGUAUGUCUAUUGACCCAUCAAGAUAGCCCAUUUUACCUUUUCCCUUCACAUACAACUUCACAGACUGUGACCACUGCAGAAAAUUCUGGCCAUUCAAUUUGUGAGUUGUAAUUUGUAAUGACGGAUUGUCAACAUAAUUAUUGGCUUGAACAUGUUUAACAUUGACGCCAGAGCUGGAUUCGCUCACAUCUGACAUUUUAAAUCAGAAUUUUAAAGUCACAACGUAAGAUAAAACCCUAAAGGUAUUGGCGGCUGAAAAUUUGUUGAAAAAAAAAAAAAAUUGCCCAGAAACCCUAACUUGGGCUCUAAUACCAUGAGAAAAAAUAGUGAGAAGAUAUUUUUCUUAUUCAUAGAAGUUGCAAUCUUUACAUUAUAUACUAGUUUGAAUAGGCUAUAUAAGGAAGCUAUAGGAAACUAGGAAAAAUAAAUAUAUGCUAUACAAGGAAAAAAUAAAUACAUGUACACAAAAUUAGGCUAUAAUAUUUGACUUUCAACAAUGAACCUAUCCAACUUAUGAAAGUGACAUAGUAGAGACCUAAAUGCAUCCUCAAACUAUUUAUUUUGAGUAUGCAUGUGAAGUAAAUUCAAUGGUUAGGAAAUAAUAGACUCACUUCAAUUAAGAGCAAUGGGCAACCAAGAAUGCCUUCAGAACAUGGAACAUUAUAGAUCAAUUGUUCCAAAUAUGGGCAUGGAGGCUGAAUAGCAUCACCAAGCUGCUCAAGUUUGAAGUUAGCUUCAACCUCAAGAAACAAGAUCCCUUCACCAUUGCAAUCCACCAUAAGCUUGCGGUUGGGACCUUCUUUAAUCCUACCAGCAAAAGGGUAAUAAUACACAAGUGCUUCACUUAUAGCUUCCUUGAUGACCUUCAUCUUUUUCUCUGAGUAUUAGAGGUGAUGAUGAAGGGUUAUUCUUGUAAAAGAUUAUUUACUGGAAUAUGAAACCUGAAGCUUUCUUGGUCAUCUAUAUCCGGAAAGUUGUUUUAAUUCAUGCGGUGUUGCCCUUGCCGGAAAAAUUAAUUCUGGUGCCUUUCUGGUUAUUGACAAAACUUGAGAAAAUCUUGAGAUCAUUUUAAAGGUGCGUUUAGAAGUGAUGUGUAGUAAUUGGGCUGCUAAAGCCCAACUGCUAAGGUGUUUGAUAACACCUUGUAAGUUGUAACCGAGUUUUGGUAGGUUAGUAGCCUUUUUUUUUUAAAAAAAUUUUAUUCCAAAGCUAUGAUUUUUACUUCAUAGCAGUUAUAUCUUAAAAACUACAGUCCCAAACGUACCCUAAUUUAAGUUUCUAGAUUAAUUGUUUUGGCAAGGCUUGAACUGUUUCACUGGUUGCCUUGGCCUCCAAAAUUUUUCAUUUAUAGCUGAAGAAAGAAGCACGUGUGUACCGCGUAUGGAAACUGACUAUUACCAAAUUAUGCAAAUUUCCUGCCAUUUCGUGAUAUUGGACGAUAUAUAGACAAAUUAAGACCAAUUUAUGGCACGUGAUACAUAAUCUUUAAAAUCAACUUCAGCAAAAAUAUUCUUGAUUGAUUAGGGGUACGAUAAUUUAUUUGUAUGGACAGAAAGUGUCCGUCGAUAUUAACAUUUGUUUUCAACUUGAUUAAUUUCGAAAACAAUUAUAAUUUGCACCUAGGGCUUGGCAGAGUGGUUGUCAACGCAUUUCUUCUUUGAUUGGGCAUCCGAAAUUUGAAUUUUAGCUUAAUAAUAAUAAUAAUUUAAACUCUGUCCAUUCUUAUUUAUACUUUGUGUUGUGCAAAUUUUAAUGUACUCGCAAGCGCACGAAUCUAUUGUAGUAUAGACUAAUGGUGAUGAGUGUCGAUCCCACGAGGAGGUGGAUUUUAAUUAUAUGUAGAAUUAAUUUUGUAAAUGGGUGGUUGGAAUUGUGGUGGAAGUGAUUUAAAUUAUCCUAAAAUUGGAAUUGCAAUGGCAAGAAUAAAUUGUAGAGAAAAUCGAUUAAAUUGACGUACUUGGGUAUCUGGAUCCGUAUCAACAUGCAUCAUGGGCUAAAUAAUCCGUAUUAAUGCCAAUUAAAUCAUGAGGGGGGAAUCCACACCUCAUGAACCACGCUCUAAUUAAUAUGGUGCUAAGGGCUUAUCGUGCCAAAUAAUAAUAACCUUAUACUAGAGAGCCGGUGUAACCAAGGCGGUAUCUAGACAAGAUCAGUAUUAUUUGUCGACGACAAGUCAAAUCAUCCACAAAAACUAGAGGGGAAAAGAAAAUAAAUUUACCAAAUAAAGCCCAUGACACAUGUUGAGACUUCACCUUCAACCCAAGCUUGAAAGAAAAUUAGCCACUCAUAAUUGAACUAAGGGCAAAAUGGGAAUUUAUUAAAAUACAAAGAAAAUACAAGAUGGAGAAGGAAUUACAGAAAAUGGAUCCCAAAAAUGGAUUCAGAGAUAUCAAAUUAGGGGGGAGGGAGACCCCCUUUUUAUAGAUACAUGGAGUAAAUCAUGGCCAUCGGAUUAAAAACAGUUUGGACGCUCAGGAUUGCGCCACGUCAUCAGUCAACAGUCCACGGUUUGACCACGCGGAUGAACAGUAACACGGUUUGGUUGAAAAUAAUCCUGUGUGAUGCAUGCACCGUACGCGAGAUUUUUCGUCCACUGAUAUGCUGCCACGUCACCGUCAACAGGUCAUAAGAAUUUUAGUCCAACAGGAUCGUGACACCUCAUCAGUCAAUGCCACAUCAUCGGUCAAUGCCACGUCAUCGAUCCGUCUAUGUGAACAGUGUCGUGAACAGUAACGUAGACAGUACCGUAUACGUGAAUAGUACCGUUUUUCCUUUUAUGCUCCUCCUAAGGUUUUCGAUCGUCCUGAGUUCAAAAGUGAUGUCCGUUUUGCCGUCUGAUCUCUCCUUUAUUGUGAAAUGACUAUAAUGCCCCUAAAAUACAUAAAAUACUUAAUUAAAAUAACACACACGUAAUUACAUCAUAAGAAGGUUAAAUACAUAAAAGUAAGGGUUGUUAGUAAGACUUGAAAUGUAAAAUGAUGGUUUUCUCCUUUAUAAAUAUGCAUUUUCUAACACUCAACACACCCCCCAACCAGCUUAUUGCUAGUCCCUAGCAAAUAAAGCGAAAACAAAAUUCAAAUUCAAAAUGAUUUUUUUUUUUUUUUUUUUUUUAGAAACACUCGUGUUUAUUCAAUCAGAUUAAUGAUAGCAAUCAAAUAAAAGUAUAAGCAUUAUCUCCAGUCUAAAGCAACAUCACACCCACAUCAACCAUCCACAUGAAUUAGCCCAGUAGACUUUGUUAUAGCUACUUUCAAGAAUGACAUGUCAAACCCCAAAAUCUCACUGGAAGUAGUGACACUCUCACAAAGAGAUUAAAACCCAAUAAACAUAGUCACUCCAAUGAAUGGUAAUUGAGAGAGAAAAUAAUAAAGAAAUGAUAUCACAUGCUCUCACCAAGAUGAAAUAAAUAUGCCCUCAGCUUAGAAAUAAUACGAUCUCAAGUCAAAUAAAAUGUUAGUCAACCCACUUUAUUUAUCUUUUUUUUUUUAUUAUGCAUCACUACAUCUUUUUAGCCCAUAUAACUAGCUUCUACUUCAAACUAUAGUUCCCUAAAAUCAAGAAGGACUUUUAUUAGGACGUAACGUAGGCUAGGGAUAUGGCUAACAAAGAAAGGAAAUAAGGAAAACAAAGUGUAUGUUUGAGAAAAAUGCAGAAUUUUUUUUUUUUUUUUUUUGGAACUUGCAAGGUGGAUUUCACCUAUUAUUGUUAUUUUUAUUCUUUUGAAACAACAACUUUUGUUUUUGUUUUUGUUUUUUUUUUUUUUUUGCUUUUAUUUGGCAUAACUUCACUGAACAACAUAAUUAUUUACAUUUUCUCAAACAUAAAUAGGUGAUGGAACUUAAAAGACAUUGGGUAAUACUCCAAAUCGGAGUGGGUCAAGAUGAUAAGUUGACAAAGAAAAUGUUUUUGUUCUUUUUUUUUUUUUUUUUUUUUUUAAAAGGCUCAAAAUGGGUAACUAUGGAUAUUUAAUAAAAGGGAUGGCUAGAAAGGCUCAAACGGAUCAAAGAUGGCCUUUCCAUCGUCUUUUAGGGCUCUAAAUAAUUAUCCAUAUCUACUAGUUAGAUGGGCCUCCCAAUGUAGCAACACACAUUUUUUUUCUUUUUUUUUUUUUAAUUUUACCAUAUUUUUUUUUUAAAGGGUUAACUUAAAAGAAAUCUAGAGAUCGUGUAUAAAAUAAUAAACUGCUAAACUGUAUAGAGAAUGAGCAAAAGGGUUACUCUCCAAGAAAAUGAUAGGCUCAACUACUCACUUGGCACUUAUUUAUGACAUGUUCAUUCCUUCAAGCAACUCAUAUUUGUCUCCGACAUCAACAUGUAAAGUAGCAAACAUAGCGUAACAUCACUUAAGACCAAAGAUAAUACAAAUACUAAAAUUUGAAAUUAAUCAUGUCAUCCAAUGUUAAAACAAAUAACACAAAUUUUUUUUUUUUUUUUAAACAACAUUCUACCCCCCAACCUAUUCUAAACAUGAAAGGAAAAUAUGCAUGCAGAAAUGUGAAAAUGAUGUAGAAAAAUUAAUUAGAAAAAGAAUUUUUUUUUUUUUUAAACUAAGAAGAUGCGUUUCUAGAGGCACUACACUCCAUAUUCAGCCAUCUUCGACUCAAAAAUUUGAAACUACAUAUUUAUAAAGGAGAAAGAGGAAGAAAACAAGUUUUUUUUUUUUUUUUUUUUUUUUUUUAAAACGAUGAAGAUGCGUUUCUAGAGUAACUACACUCCAUAUUCAGCCAUCUUCAACAUAAAAUGUUAGCAACAGUUAGUUUCUACAACAAAAAAUCAGUAAAAACUUAACCAAGAUUCCACAAUUGUCGACUAUUCCCUCCCCCCAACCAGAACGAAACAUUGUCCUCAAUGUUUUAAAGGAAAGAAGUAGAGUUUAGAAGACAUCACCUGGGUGGUGCAACACAGAAGAAAAUAUUUACAGGCGGAGAGUUAAAUCUAAUUUGUACUUCUUACUGCGGCUACUGUUACCAUCAUUAUUUGGUCGCUCCAACACAAAGGUCCAGGGGUCUGGCUCCGGUUUAUAAGCUUGUAACAUAUCAAGUAGCUCAUUAGCAGUGUGAGUACAAAUAAAGAGUUUUUUCACAUUAGAAGGAAUGAAAUAGUUUUUUAUUGCAUGGUUAAGAAAUGCGAUAAAGCCAUCAUAAAAGUUAUUGACAUUUAACAAACCGAUGGGUUUCUGGUGGAUGUGCAGAUGGGCCCAAGAUGCUAGUGUCAUAAGUGCCUCUAGUGUUGCAAGAUCUCCUGGAAGGAAAAUAAAAGCAUCAGCAUGAUUAAGCAUUUCAGUUAUUCUUUCUUGCAUACCUGAGACGACUAACUCUUCUCCAGUUGAUGAGUCAGACGAAUUGCCCAAUGGUUUUAGGACUCUGGGGAUGAUGCCUAACACUUGACUUCCUCUGAUAAAAGCUGCUUCUGAGACCAUUUUUGAUAACCCUCGGUUACCUCCUCCAUACACCAAAUGUAAUUUUCUCGCUGCUAUGCUUCGACCAAAAUCUAUGGCUGCCUCCACGAACUCUUUAUGUUUGCCAUAGGUAAAUCCAGAAAGCACACAAAUGUUCUUGAAUUGUCUAUUGGGAGUAGCUGCCAUUGUGAUACUUCUCAAAAACAAUUUGUGAGUGCUUGACAAAAAGUAAAUCACAUUUAAGAAUCUUGGUGACAAUGGAUCACAGCUGUGAAUGAGGUAACAUGUCAGUGUCAAAUAACGCGUAAAGCACGUGGCUCGCGAGUCAAAAAGAAAACAGUAAAAAGGAAAAAGCAAACAGUAAUAAAAUUAUUAAAGGCAAUAAUGCAAACGAUAAAACAAUAGUGAAAUAAAAUAACAGAAAGUAAAAGGAUAUUUACACGUAGUUGCGACUGUGGCUCACAUCUUCCUCUGGUUUUACGUCUAGAAACGGCUUGAACGCCCUCUAUGGGUUGAGGAUGGGCUUCCCAUCCAGUUUUCUUAUAAACUGGCAAACAGGGUCGUUUAUAGUCAGAUUCCCGAGACUAUAUCGUGCAUGCUCUUUCUGGAAUAAUGGCCAUAACCGGAGAAUCGCUCCUUGCACAUAUCCACUGGGAUGCGUUUCAAGAGACAAAAGGAUAUCAUCCAAUGACUCCUUAUUCAAGCCAUCCCUAAUGAAUUGAAUCUUAUCUUCCCUGUUAUCAGACACCAUUCCUACAGAACAUGGGUUUCUAUCGCAACUCAUUCUGGCACACUUAUGACAAGCAACAGAAAUUCUUCGAGCUCGUCGUUUUCUUGCAUAAUUUCCUUUACCACAACCAGGCAUGUAUGCAAUAAAUUUAGGAGGUAACUCACCUGCCAAUCGUACUUUAGCCUCGAUUAACCAACGGAUGUCUGCAGGUAUGUUAUUCUUCAUGAGCAAUCGCAUGCGUUCAGACCGGGCUUUAUAGAUCGUAAGGAGGGCAUUCUGAGGAAGUGAAGGGAAUCGCUUGUGAAGCUUCGCUAGAAUCUCGUUUCUGUCCAUACCUUCGCCUCAGAAUAUCAGUUAUUAUGGGAAACUGAAGUUAACCGACUUGAUUGUCACGGAGUACCGUUAUCCGCCACUUCACCGGGGUAACAAACUAAAGCACACAAACAGAAAAACAAAUUAAAACACACAAAGAAAAUUAAAAUCGUCCUCUUAUUGAAUUUACCUCAAGCUCCAACUGGAUGUCGUAAACACUUCUCUCAAUGUCUCUGAGUUGGCGUUCUAAACCCUCAACAUAGGCUACUAACUCUGGUGGUUGUAGAGCCCAAAUGCGUUGUGUUUUACAAAAUAGAAUCUGCCUUUUGAGAUGAGUUUUGACACGUUGAAGUGGUUUAAGAAUGUUCAGGAGGAACGGUCUAAGUAGGAGACUCAUGAUUAAAAAUGAUAAGAGAAAACUUAAUGGUAAAAUAAACACACUUAUGCAAAAACAAUUUCAAUUAGCAAAAGAAUAAUAAAAAAAAAAUAAAGAAAAAUCAAAUCAACGAAAAGAAAAAAAAAUCAAUUCAAAUUUGGUGGGUCACUCAAAUUUAUUUCGAUGUUUUCUCCAUGUGGUUGGUACUCUAGAUAUGGCUUUAAUCUUUGACCAUUAACUUUAAACGUGACACCGUUCUUUGGGUCCUUAAUUUCAAUUGCCCCAUGUGGAAAAACAGUAUGUACAAUAAAUGGGCCAGACCAACGAGAGCGUAACUUACCUGGGAAUAGGUGCAAGCGAGAAUUGAAUAAAAGCACUUUCUGACCUGGAGUGAACGAUUUUCUCAUAAUUUGCUUAUCAUGGAAGACUUUCAUUCGUUGCUUGUAAAUCUUGGCAUUUUCGUAUGCAUCAUUGCGAAUUUCUUCAAGUUCUGCCAGCUGUAAUCUUCUUUCUGAGCUGGCUUGCUGCAUGUCAAAGUUGAAUUUCUUGAUGGCCCAAUAUGCACGAUGCUCGAGUUCCACAGGUAGGUGGCAAGCUUUUCCAUACACUAGCCUGUAGGGUGACAUCCCAAUCGGGGUCUUGAAAGCCGUUCUAUAUGCCCAUAAUGCAUCAUCAAGUCGUAAUGACCAAUCUUUCCUGUCUGGCCUCACCGUCUUUUCUAAUAUGUACUUUAUUUCUCGAUUGGAGAUCUCAACUUGGCCACUGGUUUGCGGAUGAUACGGGGUCGCCACUUUGUGUGUGAUUGAAUACUUUGUCAAAAGAGCCUUGAAUGCUUUGUUACAAAAGUGGGCACCACCAUCACUGAUUAUCGCUCGAGGGAAUCCAAAGCGUGAAACAAUGUUGCUUUUCAAAAAUCCUAUCACCACUUUGUGAUCAUUGGUUCUGCAUGGAAUUGCUUCCACCCAUUUCGAUACGUAGUCAACAGCAACCAAUAUGUAUUGAUGGCCAAAAGAAGGGGGAAAGGGUCCCAUGAAGUCGAUACCCCAUACGUCAAAAAUCUCAACCACUAAAAUUGAAUUUAGUGGCAUCAUGUUCCUUCGUGUAAUGCUCCCCAUUCGUUGACACCUAUCACAUGAAGAACAGAAAGUGUAAGCGUCUCGAAAUAUAGUUGGCCAAUAGAAACCACAUUGUAAAACUUUUGUAGCUGUUUUCUUAGCACUGAAGUGGCCUCCACAAGCUUGUGCAUGGCAAAAUGAAAGAAUAUUCUGAAUUUCAUUUUCAGGGACACAUCGUCUAACAAUUUGGUCUGCACAAUACUUGAACAAAUAUGGGUCAUCCCAAAAGAAAUUCUUUAUUUCCGCAAAGAAUUUAGCCUUGUCUUGCUUGGUCCAAUGCUCUGGAAGCUUACCUGUAACAAGAUAAUUAACUAUAUCAGCAUACCAAGGUAAUAUUUCCACACUCAUUAAUUGUUCAUCUGGAAAUGACUCAUUUAAUAUUAAUGGCUCUGUAAUUGUGUCAAAAUAGAGACGAGAGAGGUGGUCCGCCACAACAUUUUCUGUGCCUUUCUUAUCCUUGAAUUCCAAGUCGAAUUCCUGCAAAAGUAACACCCAACGAAUUAGUCUAGCUUUUGCAUCUUUCUUUGUGAGAAGAUAUUUAAGAGCAGCAUGAUCUGUGAAUAUAAUUAUUUUACAACUAAUGAGAUAAGAUCGAAAUUUUUCCAAUGCAAACACUACUGCUAGCAUUUCUUUUUCAGUAGUUGAAUAAUUCAACUGUGCAUCAUUCAAUGUCAUACUAGCAUAGUAAAUAACGUGGGGAAUUCGAUCAACUCUUUGUCCUAAUACUGCUCCUACUGCAUAAUCAGAUGCAUCACACAUGAGCUCAAAUGGUAAGUUCCAGUUUGGGGCCUGAAUGAUGGGUGAUGAUGUCAACAAUUGCUUUAAUUUUUCAAAAGCCAUAAGACAUGAAUCAUUAAAGAUAAAAGGUACAUCCUUAGCAAGUAAAUUGCAUAAGGGUCUAGAAACUUUGCUAAAAUCUUUAAUGAAACGUCUAUAGAAACCAGCAUGCCCAAGGAAAGAUCUUACUUCUCUGACUGUUUUAGGUGGAGGAAGAUUAGAAAUGAGAUCCACCUUGGCUUUGUCAACCUCAAUACCUUUGCUCGAAAUGAUGUGACCGAGAACAAUACCUUGUUUUACCAUAAAAUGGCACUUCUCCCAAUUCAAGACUAAGUUCUUCUCGGUACAUCUCUGCAGAACUAGCGUUAGAUGAUGUAAACAUUGAUCAAACGAGUCACCAAAGACAGAAAAAUCAUCCAUAAAGACUUCAAGGAAUCGUUCAACCAUAUCAGAAAAAAUGCUCAACAUACAUCGUUGGAAUGUAGCAGGUGCAUUACAUAAUCCAAAUGGCAUUCUCCUAUAUGCAAAAGUGCCAAAAGGGCAAGUGAAAGUAGUUUUCUCCUGAUCUUUUGGUGCUAUGGGAAUCUGAUUAUAUCCUGAGUAGCCAUCUAGAAAGCAAUAAAAUUCGUGGCCUGCUAAUCUAUCAAGCAUUUGAUCGAUAAAUGGUAAAGGAAAAUGGUCUUUACGUGUGACAGAAUUCAACUUUCUAUAAUCAAUGCAUACACGCCAUCCUGUAGUUACUCUAGUUGGUAUCAAUUCAUUAUCAGCAUUGGUAACUACUGUGACUCCUGACUUUUUGGGGACGACUUGUACAGGACUGACCCAUGAACUAUCAGAAAUUGGGUAAAUGAUACCUGCAUCUAAUAGCUUAAGGACUUUAGUUCUAACAACUUCUUUCAUGUUAGGAUUUAACCGACGUUGCAUCUCCCUAGUAGUUUUAGCAUUUUCAUCAAGGUGAAUGUAAUGCAUGCAGUCUACUGGGUUUAUACCUUUUAUGUUUGCUAUGGUCCAUCCUAAUGCCCCUUUGUGCUCUUUUAAAACAUCCAACAACUUACCUUUUUGUUCGUCAUUUAGGGAUGAUGAGAUGAUUACCGGCAGAGUACUUUCUUCUCCCAAAAAUGCAUAUUCCAGAGUGUUGGGUAAUGGUUUGAGCUCGAGUUUCGGUGGUGAUUCUGAUGAUGGAAUGAGUUUCUUCUCUGAUGGUGCUAGUUGUUCAACUCUUGACUUCCAUUUAUUAGUGUCCAUGGAUGGUGCUGAGUCAAGUAGGGCGUUGACCUCUUCGACCGAUCUGUCAAUAUCAAAAUCCAAACCAAAGUGAGUUAAACAUGUUUGUAAAGGAUCAUCACUAAGGUUUGAAAGAAAAGUAUUAUCAACUAUUGUUUCUAUCAAAUCCACAUCAAUAAUUCCAUCAUCUGCACUGUGAGGUUGUUUGGCAAUGUUGAAGAUGUUUAGCUCCAUAGUCAUGUUGCCGAAGGACAAUUGCAUAUUUCCGGUCCUACAUUGAAUAUGAGCAUCUGCAGUUGCCAAGAAAGGUCGGCCUAGAAUAAUGGGGAUGUGCUUCCUUGAGUCCUGUAUUGGUUGAGUGUCAAUUACAAUGAAAUCAACAGGAAAAUAAAACUUGUCUACCUGGAUAAGCACGUCCUCCACAAUACCACGAGGUAUUUUUGUGGACCGAUCUGCAAGCUGUAACACCACUGGAGUUGGGUGUAAUUCUCCCAGUCCAAGUUUCACGAAUACUGAAUAAGGCAAGAGAUUUACACUAGCUCCUAAAUCCAACAAAGCAUUCUCAAUUGUGUGGUUCCCUAUACUACAUGAGAUAGUGGGGGAGCCUGGGUCUUUGCAUUUUAAAGGAAUUUUAUGUUGGAGUAUAGAACUAACGUUUUCUGUUAAAAAUGCCUUCUUUUGAACAUGCAUAUUUCUCUUUUUAGUACAAAGGUCUUUAAGAAACUUGGCAUAAGAUGGAACUUGCUUAAUAGCAUCAAGUAAAGGGAUGUUGACACUUACCUGUUUGAAGAUUUCGAGAAUCUCACCUGUGGAUUUUUCCUUCUUUCCUUUAGCUAACCUCUGAGGAAAUGGAGCUUUCGGAACGUAUUCUCGUGGGUUGGUUUCUUCUUUCUCCUCCGGUGGUGAGUCUUCAACAUUCACAGGUACAAUUUGAUUUUCUUUUGUCACCGGCAUCUCCACUUUGUUGUCGACUUCCUUUCCUUUUCGCAAGGUCAUGACUGCUUUGACCUCUCCAUGCUGUUGUGGUGAACUGGUACUUGCUUCAUGCACUCCUUUAGGAUUAGGCACUGGUUGACUUGGAAACUUGCCUUUCUCAACAGUCAUUGCCAAGGUCUGAACUGAAGAAGCAAGCUGUCCCACCAUCUUCUCGAGGCUUGAAACUGAUUGGGCUUGUGAAUUGAAGCCCGCUCUCAAUUCAUUUCGUAGUCCAUCAAUGGUGCGGUUCUGUUGCUCAAUCGUGGAGUGAGUAACAUUCUUGAAAUUCUGGAAUGCAUCCUCCCAUGGUCUGGGUUGAGAGUAGUUCUGGUUUUGAUUGAAUGGUCUAAAUGGGGGCUGAGAGGCUUGAGGAUUUUGAGGAAUUGGUUGCAUUGGUGGAGCUGGAGCUGCUGGUCCAUUCUGUUGAAAUCCUUGAGACCAUGAAAAAUUGGGGUGGUCUCUCCAUCCAGGAUUAUAUGUGUUGGAGUAUGGGUUGUAAUUAGAUGACUUUCUCAUUACACCUAUGGCAUUGGCUUGAUCUGGAUAUGAGUCAGGGUCAUGUGAUUCUGUUGAUUUAGCAGUCGAUAACGAUGCUAUUUGUCGAGCAAGACCUUCAACCAUCUCCUUGACUUCUUUGAUUCCCGAAGUUGACUCGCCAAUGUGAACCUCAUUCACUCCUUUAAUCCUUCUAGUAUUCCUGAGUGAUCGACUCCGUUGUUGGGAAUUGUCCGCUUGUCGCUGGAAGAAUUCCCAAAUCUCUGUUGCGCUUUUUGACAUUAGCUCUCCUCCACUUGUUGCCAUUAGCCAUUCUUGCACAUUCGGCAAUAAUCCCUCCAAAAAGUAUUGGCAUUGGUGCCAUUUUUCGUACCCAUGAUGUGGACACUUCAAGAGUAGCCCAUUGAAUCGCUCCCAAGUUUCGAAAAACUGCUCGUCCUCUCUUUGUGUAAACUCUGAAAUUUCCCUGCGAAUAGAAUUGGUUUUAUGCACUGGGAAAUAUUUAUUUAGAAAUUUUGUAACCAUUUGUUCCCAUGAUGCAAUACUAUUAGCAGGCAAAGUAUUUAACCAUGAACGAGCUCUAUCCUUUAAAGAAAAUGGGAAUAAUCUAAGUUUAACAUCAUCGUCUGAAAAAUUUUCAUAUUUAAAAGUUUGACAAAUGGCAUGAAAAUCAUUCAGAUGAUUAUAUGGGUCCUCAUUUUCUAGGCCAUAGAAUGUGGGGAGACAAUUUAGCACACUAGGUUUUAAUUCAAAACUCCUAGCAGCUACAUUUGGGUAUCUUAUACAUGAUGUGCUCAAAUUAGCUAAGGGACUAAAAUAGUCCUUAAAUGGCCUCUCCUGUGGUGCUUGUAAAUCCAUUUCAAAUUUAUUUUUAUCGUUCUUGUGUGUGCGAAGUGUUUUUUCUAAUUCAAGGUCUAUAGGUUCAAGAUUAGGUAAUAAUGACCUACGACCAUGCAUGCAAAAUAAAAUAAAAAUAAAAAUAAAGAUGCAAACAAAACAAAAAAUAAAGAUGGGAACAAAACAAAUAAAAAUAAAGAAGAGGGAGAAAUUACGAUACUAACCUUAUUGCGCUAUUACAACCUUACUAUAAAAAUACACAAAAAUAAAUACGUGAAAUAAAUUAACUAAAAAUUAAAUUAAUAAGAUAAACAAAAAUUACAAAGAAAAAAUAAAUUGAAAAUUAAAUUACAGAAUUUUAAAGAAAAGAAAAGAAAUACUAACCUUUAAAUGUAGAUUUACUUUUUUUUUUCUUUUUUUUUAAUAAUAAAAAAAAUACAAGAAAACAAAUAAAAGAAAUUAUUCACAAAAAAUUAAUUCUAUGAAUUAAAAUUACUUACCUCCCCGGCAACGGCGCCAAAAACUUGUUGUGCAAAUUUUAAUGUACUCGCAAGCGCACGAAUCUAUUGUAGUAUAGACUAAUGGUGAUGAGUGUCGAUCCCACGAGGAGGUGGAUUUUAAUUAUAUGUAGAAUUAAUUUUGUAAAUGGGUGGUUGGAAUUGUGGUGGAAGUGAUUUAAAUUAUCCUAAAAUUGGAAUUGCAAUGGCAAGAAUAAAUUGUAGAGAAAAUCGAUUAAAUUGACGUACUUGGGUAUCUGGAUCCGUAUCAACAUGCAUCAUGGGCUAAAUAAUCCGUAUUAAUGCCAAUUAAAUCAUGAGGGGGGAAUCCACACCUCAUGAACCACGCUCUAAUCAAUAUGGUGCUAAGGGCUUAUCGUGCCAAAUAAUAAUAACCUUAUACUAGAGAGCCGGUGUAACCAAGGCGGUAUCUAGACAAGAUCAGUAUUAUUUGUGGACGACAAGUCAAAUCAUCCACAAAAACUAGAGGGGAAAAGAAAAUAAAUUUACCAAAUAAAGCCCAUGACACAUGUUGAGACUUCACCUUCAACCCAAGCUUGAAAGAAAAUUAGCCACUCAUAAUUGAACUAAGGGCAAAAUGGGAAUUUAUUAAAAUACAAAGAAAAUACAAGAUGGAGAAGGAAUUACAGAAAAUGGAUCCCAAAAAUGGAUUCAGAGAUAUCAAAUUAGGGGGGAGGGAGACCCCCUUUUUAUAGAUACAUGGAGUAAAUCAUGGCCAUCGGAUUAAAAACAGUUUGGACGCUCAGGAUUGCGCCACGUCAUCAGUCAACAGUCCACGGUUUGACCACGCGGAUGAACAGUAACACGGUUUGGUUGAAAAUAAUCCUGUGUGAUGCAUGCACCGUACGCGAGAUUUUUCGUCCACUGAUAUGCUGCCACGUCACCGUCAACAGGUCAUAAGAAUUUUAGUCCAACAGGAUCGUGACACCUCAUCAGUCAAUGCCACAUCAUCGGUCAAUGCCACGUCAUCGAUCCGUCUAUGUGAACAGUGUCGUGAACAGUAACGUAGACAGUACCGUAUACGUGAAUAGUACCGUUUUUCCUUUUAUGCUCCUCCUAAGGUUUUCGAUCGUCCUGAGUUCAAAAGUGAUGUCCGUUUUGCCGUCUGAUCUCUCCUUUAUUGUGAAAUGACUAUAAUGCCCCUAAAAUACAUAAAAUACUUAAUUAAAAUAACACACACGUAAUUACAUCACAAGAAGGUUAAAUACAUAAAAGUAAGGGUUGUUAGUAAGACUUGAAAUGUAAAAUGAUGGUUUUCUCCUUUAUAAAUAUGCAUUUUCUAACACUCAACACACCCCCCAACCAGCUUAUUGCUAGUCCCUAGCAAAUAAAGCGAAAACAAAAUUCAAAUUCAAAAUGAUUUUUUUUUUUUUUUUUUUUUUUAGAAACACUCGUGUUUAUUCAAUCAGAUUAAUGAUAGCAAUCAAAUAAAAGUAUAAGCAUUAUCUCCAGUCUAAAGCAACAUCACACCCACAUCAACCAUCCACAUGAAUUAGCCCAGUAGACUUUGUUAUAGCUACUUUCAAGAAUGACAUGUCAAACCCCAAAAUCUCACUGGAAGUAGUGACACUCUCACAAAGAGAUUAAAACCCAAUAAACAUAGUCACUCCAAUGAAUGGUAAUUGAGAGAGAAAAUAAUAAAGAAAUGAUAUCACAUGCUCUCACCAAGAUGAAAUAAAUAUGCCCUCAGCUUAGAAAUAAUACGAUCUCAAGUCAAAUAAAAUGUUAGUCAACCCACUUUAUUUAUCUUUUUUUUUUUAUUAUGCAUCACUACAUCUUUUUAGCCCAUAUAACUAGCUUCUACUUCAAACUAUAGUUCCCUAAAAUCAAGAAGGACUUUUAUUAGGACGUAACGUAGGCUAGGGAUAUGGCUAACAAAGAAAGGAAAUAAGGAAAACAAAGUGUAUGUUUGAGAAAAAUGCAGAAUUUUUUUUUUUUUUUUUUUUGGAACUUGCAAGGUGGAUUUCACCUAUUAUUGUUAUUUUUAUUCUUUUGAAACAACAACUUUUGUUUUUGUUUUUUUUUUUUUUUUUUGCUUUUAUUUGGCAUAACUUCACUGAACAACAUAAUUAUUUACAUUUUCUCAAACAUAAAUAGGUGAUGGAACUUAAAAGACAUUGGGUAAUACUCCAAAUCGGAGUGGGUCAAGAUGAUAAGUUGACAAAGAAAAUGUUUUUGUUCUUUUUUUUUUUUUUUUUUUUUUUAAAAGGCUCAAAAGGGGUAACUAUGGAUAUUUAAUAAAAGGGAUGGCUAGAAAGGCUCAAACGGAUCAAAGAUGGCCUUUCCAUCGUCUUUUAGGGCUCUAAAUAAUUAUCCAUAUCUACUAGUUAGAUGGGCCUCCCAAUGUAGCAACACACAUUUUUUUCUUUUUUUUUUUUUUAAUUUUACCAUAUUUUUUUUUUAAAGGGUUAACUUAAAAGAAAUCUAGAGAUCGUGUAUAAAAUAAUAAACUGCUAAACUGUAUAGAGAAUGGGCAAAAGGGUUACUCUCCAAGAAAAUGAUAGGCUCAACUACUCACUUGGCACUUAUUUAUGACAUGUUCAUUCCUUCAAGCAACUCAUAUUUGUCUCCGACAUCAACAUGUAAAGUAGCAAACAUAGCGUAACAUCACUUAAGACCAAAGAUAAUACAAAUACUAAAAUUUGAAAUUAAUCAUGUCAUCCAAUGUUAAAACAAAUAACACAAAUUUUUUUUUUUUUUUAAACAACAUUCUACCCCCCAACCUAUUCUAAACAUGAAAGGAAAAUAUGCAUGCAGAAAUGUGAAAAUGAUGUAGAAAAAUUAAUUAGAAAAAGAAUUUUUUUUUUUUUUAAACUAAGAAGAUGCGUUUCUAGAGGCACUACACUCCAUAUUCAGCCAUCUUCGACUCAAAAAUUUGAAACUACAUAUUUAUAAAGGAGAAAGAGGAAGAAAACAAGUUUUUUUUUUUUUUUUUUUUUUUUUUAAAACGAUGAAGAUGCGUUUCUAGAGUAACUACACUCCAUAUUCAGCCAUCUUCAACAUAAAAUGUUAGCAACAGUUAGUUUCUACAACAAAAAAUCAGUAAAAACUUAACCAAGAUUCCACAAUUGUCGACUAUUCCCUCCCCCCAACCAGAACGAAACAUUGUCCUCAAUGUUUUAAAGGAAAGAAGUAGAGUUUAGAAGACAUCACCUGGGUGGUGCAACACAGAAGAAAAUAUUUACAGGCGGAGAGUUAAAUCUAAUUUGUACUUCUUACUGCGGCUACUGUUACCAUCAUUAUUUGGUCGCUCCAACACAAAGGUCCAGGGGUCUGGCUCCGGUUUAUAAGCUUGUAACAUAUCAAGUAGCUCAUUAGCAGUGUGAGUACAAAUAAAGAGUUUUUUCACAUUAGAAGGAAUGAAAUAGUUUUUUAUUGCAUGGUUAAGAAAUGCGAUAAAGCCAUCAUAAAAGUUAUUGACAUUUAACAAACCGAUGGGUUUCUGGUGGAUGUGCAGAUGGGCCCAAGAUGCUAGUGUCAUAAGUGCCUCUAGUGUUGCAAGAUCUCCUGGAAGGAAAAUAAAAGCAUCAGCAUGAUUAAGCAUUUCAGUUAUUCUUUCUUGCAUACCUGAGACGACUAACUCUUCUCCAGUUGAUGAGUCAGACGAAUUGCCCAAUGGUUUUAGGACUCUGGGGAUGAUGCCUAACACUUGACUUCCUCUGAUAAAAGCUGCUUCUGAGACCAUUUUUGAUAACCCUCGGUUACCUCCUCCAUACACCAAAUGUAAUUUUCUCGCUGCUAUGCUUCGACCAAAAUCUAUGGCUGCCUCCACGAACUCUUUAUGUUUGCCAUAGGUAAAUCCAGAAAGCACACAAAUGUUCUUGAAUUGUCUAUUGGGAGUAGCUGCCAUUGUGAUACUUCUCAAAAACAAUUUGUGAGUGCUUGACAAAAAGUAAAUCACAUUUAAGAAUCUUGGUGACAAUGGAUCACAGCUGUGAAUGAGGUAACAUGUCAGUGUCAAAUAACGCGUAAAGCACGUGGCUCGCGAGUCAAAAAGAAAACAGUAAAAAGGAAAAAGCAAACAGUAAUAAAAUUAUUAAAGGCAAUAAUGCAAACGAUAAAACAAUAGUGAAAUAAAAUAACAGAAAGUAAAAGGAUAUUUACACGUAGUUGCGACUGUGGCUCACAUCUUCCUCUGGUUUUACGUCUAGAAACGGCUUGAACGCCCUCUAUGGGUUGAGGAUGGGCUUCCCAUCCAGUUUUCUUAUAAACUGGCAAACAGGGUCGUUUAUAGUCAGAUUCCCGAGACUAUAUCGUGCAUGCUCUUUCUGGAAUAAUGGCCAUAACCGGAGAAUCGCUCCUUGCACAUAUCCACUGGGAUGCGUUUCAAGAGACAAAAGGAUAUCAUCCAAUGACUCCUUAUUCAAGCCAUCCCUAAUGAAUUGAAUCUUAUCUUCCCUGUUAUCAGACACCAUUCCUACAGAACAUGGGUUUCUAUCGCAACUCAUUCUGGCACACUUAUGACAAGCAACAGAAAUUCUUCGAGCUCGUCGUUUUCUUGCAUAAUUUCCUUUACCACAACCAGGCAUGUAUGCAAUAAAUUUAGGAGGUAACUCACCUGCCAAUCGUACUUUAGCCUCGAUUAACCAACGGAUGUCUGCAGGUAUGUUAUUCUUCAUGAGCAAUCGCAUGCGUUCAGACCGGGCUUUAUAGAUCGUAAGGAGGGCAUUCUGAGGAAGUGAAGGGAAUCGCUUGUGAAGCUUCGCUAGAAUCUCGUUUCUGUCCAUACCUUCGCCUCAGAAUAUCAGUUAUUAUGGGAAACUGAAGUUAACCGACUUGAUUGUCACGGAGUACCGUUAUCCGCCACUUCACCGGGGUAACAAACUAAAGCACACAAACAGAAAAACAAAUUAAAACACACAAAGAAAAUUAAAAUCGUCCUCUUAUUGAAUUUACCUCAAGCUCCAACUGGAUGUCGUAAACACUUCUCUCAAUGUCUCUGAGUUGGCGUUCUAAACCCUCAACAUAGGCUACUAACUCUGGUGGUUGUAGAGCCCAAAUGCGUUGUGUUUUACAAAAUAGAAUCUGCCUUUUGAGAUGAGUUUUGACACGUUGAAGUGGUUUAAGAAUGUUCAGGAGGAACGGUCUAAGUAGGAGACUCAUGAUUAAAAAUGAUAAGAGAAAACUUAAUGGUAAAAUAAACACACUUAUGCAAAAACAAUUUCAAUUAGCAAAAGAAUAAUAAAAAAAAAAAUAAAGAAAAAUCAAAUCAACGAAAAGAAAAAAAAAUCAAUUCAAAUUUGGUGGGUCACUCAAAUUUAUUUCGAUGUUUUCUCCAUGUGGUUGGUACUCUAGAUAUGGCUUUAAUCUUUGACCAUUAACUUUAAACGUGACACCGUUCUUUGGGUCCUUAAUUUCAAUUGCCCCAUGUGGAAAAACAGUAUGUACAAUAAAUGGGCCAGACCAACGAGAGCGUAACUUACCUGGGAAUAGGUGCAAGCGAGAAUUGAAUAAAAGCACUUUUUGACCUGGAGUGAACGAUUUUCUCAUAAUUUGCUUAUCAUGGAAGACUUUCAUUCGUUGCUUGUAAAUCUUGGCAUUUUCGUAUGCAUCAUUGCGAAUUUCUUCAAGUUCUGCCAGCUGUAAUCUUCUUUCUGAGCUGGCUUGCUGCAUGUCAAAGUUGAAUUUCUUGAUGGCCCAAUAUGCACGAUGCUCGAGUUCCACAGGUAGGUGGCAAGCUUUUCCAUACACUAGCCUGUAGGGUGACAUCCCAAUCGGGGUCUUGAAAGCCGUUCUAUAUGCCCAUAAUGCAUCAUCAAGUCGUAAUGACCAAUCUUUCCUGUCUGGCCUCACCGUCUUUUCUAAUAUGUGCUUUAUUUCUCGAUUGGAGAUCUCAACUUGGCCACUGGUUUGCGGAUGAUACGGGGUCGCCACUUUGUGUGUGAUUGAAUACUUUGUCAAAAGAGCCUUGAAUGCUUUGUUACAAAAGUGGGCACCACCAUCACUGAUUAUCGCUCGAGGGAAUCCAAAGCGUGAAACAAUGUUGCUUUUCAAAAAUCCUAUCACCACUUUGUGAUCAUUGGUUCUGCAUGGAAUUGCUUCCACCCAUUUCGAUACGUAGUCAACAGCAACCAAUAUGUAUUGAUGGCCAAAAGAAGGGGGAAAGGGUCCCAUGAAGUCGAUACCCCAUACGUCAAAAAUCUCAACCACUAAAAUUGAAUUUAGUGGCAUCAUGUUCCUUCGUGUAAUGCUCCCCAUUCGUUGACACCUAUCACAUGAAGAACAGAAAGUGUAAGCGUCUCGAAAUAUAGUUGGCCAAUAGAAACCACAUUGUAAAACUUUUGUAGCUGUUUUCUUAGCACUGAAGUGGCCUCCACAAGCUUGUGCAUGGCAAAAUGAAAGAAUAUUCUGAAUUUCAUUUUCAGGGACACAUCGUCUAACAAUUUGGUCUGCACAAUACUUGAACAAAUAUGGGUCAUCCCAAAAGAAAUUCUUUAUUUCCGCAAAGAAUUUAGCCUUGUCUUGCUUGGUCCAAUGCUCUGGAAGCUUACCUGUAACAAGAUAAUUAACUAUAUCAGCAUACCAAGGUAAUAUUUCCACACUCAUUAAUUGUUCAUCUGGAAAUGACUCAUUUAAUAUUAAUGGCUCUGUAAUUGUGUCAAAAUAGAGACGAGAGAGGUGGUCCGCCACAACAUUUUCUGUGCCUUUCUUAUCCUUGAAUUCCAAGUCGAAUUCCUGCAAAAGUAACACCCAACGAAUUAGUCUAGCUUUUGCAUCUUUCUUUGUGAGAAGAUAUUUAAGAGCAGCAUGAUCUGUGAAUAUAAUUAUUUUACAACUAAUGAGAUAAGAUCGAAAUUUUUCCAAUGCAAACACUACUGCUAGCAUUUCUUUUUCAGUAGUUGAAUAAUUCAACUGUGCAUCAUUCAAUGUCAUACUAGCAUAGUAAAUAACGUGGGGAAUUCGAUCAACUCUUUGUCCUAAUACUGCUCCUACUGCAUAAUCAGAUGCAUCACACAUGAGCUCAAAUGGUAAGUUCCAGUUUGGGGCCUGAAUGAUGGGUGAUGAUGUCAACAAUUGCUUUAAUUUUUCAAAAGCCAUAAGACAUGAAUCAUUAAAGAUAAAAGGUACAUCCUUAGCAAGUAAAUUGCAUAAGGGUCUAGAAACUUUGCUAAAAUCUUUAAUGAAACGUCUAUAGAAACCAGCAUGCCCAAGGAAAGAUCUUACUUCUCUGACUGUUUUAGGUGGAGGAAGAUUAGAAAUGAGAUCCACCUUGGCUUUGUCAACCUCAAUACCUUUGCUCGAAAUGAUGUGACCGAGAACAAUACCUUGUUUUACCAUAAAAUGGCACUUCUCCCAAUUCAAGACUAAGUUCUUCUCGGUACAUCUCUGCAGAACUAGCGUUAGAUGAUGUAAACAUUGAUCAAACGAGUCACCAAAGACAGAAAAAUCAUCCAUAAAGACUUCAAGGAAUCGUUCAACCAUAUCAGAAAAAAUGCUCAACAUACAUCGUUGGAAUGUAGCAGGUGCAUUACAUAAUCCAAAUGGCAUUCUCCUAUAUGCAAAAGUGCCAAAAGGGCAAGUGAAAGUAGUUUUCUCCUGAUCUUUUGGUGCUAUGGGAAUCUGAUUAUAUCCUGAGUAGCCAUCUAGAAAGCAAUAAAAUUCGUGGCCUGCUAAUCUAUCAAGCAUUUGAUCGAUAAAUGGUAAAGGAAAAUGGUCUUUACGUGUGACAGAAUUCAACUUUCUAUAAUCAAUGCAUACACGCCAUCCUGUAGUUACUCUAGUUGGUAUCAAUUCAUUAUCAGCAUUGGUAACUACUGUGACUCCUGACUUUUUGGGGACGACUUGUACAGGACUGACCCAUGAACUAUCAGAAAUUGGGUAAAUGAUACCUGCAUCUAAUAGCUUAAGGACUUUAGUUCUAACAACUUCUUUCAUGUUAGGAUUUAACCGACGUUGCAUCUCCCUAGUAGUUUUAGCAUUUUCAUCAAGGUGAAUGUAAUGCAUGCAGUCUACUGGGUUUAUACCUUUUAUGUCUGCUAUGGUCCAUCCUAAUGCCCCUUUGUGCUCUUUUAAAACAUCCAACAACUUACCUUUUUGUUCGUCAUUUAGGGAUGAUGAGAUGAUUACCGGCAGAGUACUUUCUUCUCCCAAAAAUGCAUAUUCCAGAGUGUUGGGUAAUGGUUUGAGCUCGAGUUUCGGUGGUGAUUCUGAUGAUGGAAUGAGUUUCUUCUCUGAUGGUGCUAGUUGUUCAACUCUUGACUUCCAUUUAUUAGUGUCCAUGGAUGGUGCUGAGUCAAGUAGGGCGUUGACCUCUUCGACCGAUCUGUCAAUAUCAAAAUCCAAACCAAAGUGAGUUAAACAUGUUUGUAAAGGAUCAUCACUAAGGUUUGAAAGAAAAGUAUUAUCAACUAUUGUUUCUAUCAAAUCCACAUCAAUAAUUCCAUCAUCUGCACUGUGAGGUUGUUUGGCAAUGUUGAAGAUGUUUAGCUCCAUAGUCAUGUUGCCGAAGGACAAUUGCAUAUUUCCGGUCCUACAUUGAAUAUGAGCAUCUGCAGUUGCCAAGAAAGGUCGGCCUAGAAUAAUGGGGAUGUGCUUCCUUGAGUCCUGUAUUGGUUGAGUGUCAAUUACAAUGAAAUCAACAGGAAAAUAAAACUUGUCUACCUGGAUAAGCACGUCCUCCACAAUACCACGAUGUAUUUUUGUGGACCGAUCUGCAAGCUGUAACACCACUGGAGUUGGGUGUAAUUCUCCCAGUCCAAGUUUCACGAAUACUGAAUAAGGCAAGAGAUUUACACUAGCUCCUAAAUCCAACAAAGCAUUCUCAAUUGUGUGGUUCCCUAUACUACAUGAGAUAGUGGGGGAGCCUGGGUCUUUGCAUUUUAAAGGAAUUUUAUGUUGGAGUAUAGAACUAACGUUUUCUGUUAAAAAUGUCUUCUUUUGAACAUGCAUAUUUCUCUUUUUAGUACAAAGGUCUUUAAGAAACUUGGCAUAAGAUGGAACUUGCUUAAUAGCAUCAAGUAAAGGGAUGUUGACACUUACCUGUUUGAAGAUUUCGAGAAUCUCACCUGUGGAUUUUUCCUUCUUUCCUUUAGCUAACCUCUGAGGAAAUGGAGCUUUCGGAACGUAUUCUCGUGGGUUGGUUUCUUCUUUCUCCUCCGGUGGUGAGUCUUCAACAUUCACAGGUACAAUUUGAUUUUCUUUUGUCACCGGCAUCUCCACUUUGUUGUCGACUUCCUUUCCUUUUCGCAAGGUCAUGACUGCUUUGACCUCUCCAUGCUGUUGUGGUGAACUGGUACUUGCUUCAUGCACUCCUUUAGGAUUAGGCACUGGUUGACUUGGAAACUUGCCUUUCUCAACAGUCAUUGCCAAGGUCUGAACUGAAGAAGCAAGCUGUCCCACCAUCUUCUCGAGGCUUGAAACUGAUUGGGCUUGUGAAUUGAAGCCCGCUCUCAAUUCAUUUCGUAGUCCAUCAAUGGUGCGGUUCUGUUGCUCAAUCGUGGAGUGAGUAACAUUCUUGAAAUUCUGGAAUGCAUCCUCCCAUGGUCUGGGUUGAGAGUAGUUCUGGUUUUGAUUGAAUGGUCUAAAUGGGGGCUGAGAGGCUUGAGGAUUUUGAGGAAUUGGUUGCAUUGGUGGAGCUGGAGCUGCUGGUCCAUUCUGUUGAAAUCCUUGAGACCAUGAAAAAUUGGGGUGGUCUCUCCAUCCAGGAUUAUAUGUGUUGGAGUAUGGGUUGUAAUUAGAUGACUUUCUCAUUACACCUAUGGCAUUGGCUUGAUCUGGAUAUGAGUCAGGGUCAUGUGAUUCUGUUGAUUUAGCAGUCGAUAACGAUGCUAUUUGUCGAGCAAGACCUUCAACCAUCUCCUUGACUUCUUUGAUUCCCGAAGUUGACUCGCCAAUGUGAACCUCAUUCACUCCUUUAAUCCUUCUAGUAUUCCUGAGUGAUCGACUCCGUUGUUGGGAAUUGUCCGCUUGUCGCUGGAAGAAUUCCCAAAUCUCUGUUGCGCUUUUUGACAUUAGCUCUCCUCCACUUGUUGCCAUUAGCCAUUCUUGCACAUUCGGCAAUAAUCCCUCCAAAAAGUAUUGGCAUUGGUGCCAUUUUUCGUACCCAUGAUGUGGACACUUCAAGAGUAGCCCAUUGAAUCGCUCCCAAGUUUCGAAAAACUGCUCGUCCUCUCUUUGUGUAAACUCUGAAAUUUCCCUGCGAAUAGAAUUGGUUUUAUGCACUGGGAAAUAUUUAUUUAGAAAUUUUGUAACCAUUUGUUCCCAUGAUGCAAUACUAUUAGCAGGCAAAGUAUUUAACCAUGAACGAGCUCUAUCCUUUAAAGAAAAUGGGAAUAAUCUAAGUUUAACAUCAUCGUCUGAAAAAUUUUCAUAUUUAAAAGUUUGACAAAUGGCAUGAAAAUCAUUCAGAUGAUUAUAUGGGUCCUCAUUUUCUAGGCCAUAGAAUGUGGGGAGACAAUUUAGCACACUAGGUUUUAAUUCAAAACUCCUAGCAGCUACAUUUGGGUAUCUUAUACAUGAUGUGCUCAAAUUAGCUAAGGGACUAAAAUAGUCCUUAAAUGGCCUCUCCUGUGGUGCUUGUAAAUCCAUUUCAAAUUUAUUUUUAUCGUUCUUGUGUGUGCGAAGUGUUUUUUCUAAUUCAAGGUCUAUAGGUUCAAGAUUAGGUAAUAAUGACCUACGACCAUGCAUGCAAAAUAAAAUAAAAAUAAAAAUAAAGAUGCAAACAAAACAAAAAAUAAAGAUGGGAACAAAACAAAUAAAAAUAAAGAAGAGGGAGAAAUUACGAUACUAACCUUAUUGCGCUAUUACAACCUUACUAUAAAAAUACACAAAAAUAAAUACGUGAAAUAAAUUAACUAAAAAUUAAAUUAAUAAGAUAAACAAAAAUUACAAAGAAAAAAUAAAUUGAAAAUUAAAUUACAGAAUUUUAAAGAAAAGAAAAGAAAUACUAACCUUUAAAUGUAGAUUUACUUUUUUUUUUCUUUUUUUUUUAAUAAUAAAAAAAAUACAAGAAAACAAAUAAAAGAAAUUAUUCACAAAAAAUUAAUUCUAUGAAUUAAAAUUACUUACCUCCCCGGCAACGGCGCCAAAAACUUGUUGUGCAAAUUUUAAUGUACUCGCAAGCGCACGAAUCUAUUGUAGUAUAGACUAAUGGUGAUGAGUGUCGAUCCCACGAGGAGGUGUAUUUUAAUUAUAUGUAGAAUUAAUUUUGUAAAUGGGUGGUUGGAAUUGUGGUGGAAGUGAUUUAAAUUAUCCUAAAAUUGGAAUUGCAAUGGCAAGAAUAAAUUGUAGAGAAAAUCGAUUAAAUUGACGUACUUGGGUAUCUGGAUCCGUAUCAACAUGCAUCAUGGGCUAAAUAAUCCGUAUUAAUGCCAAUUAAAUCAUGAGGGGGGAAUCCACACCUCAUGAACCACGCUCUAAUCAAUAUGGUGCUAAGGGCUUAUCGUGCCAAAUAAUAAUAACCUUAUACUAGAGAGUCGGUGUAACCAAGGCGGUAUCUAGACAAGAUCAGUAUUAUUUGUCGACGACAAGUCAAAUCAUCCACAAAAACUAGAGGGGAAAAGAAAAUAAAUUUACCAAAUAAAGCUCAUGACACAUGUUGAGACUUCACCUUCAACCCAAGCUUGAAAGAAAAUUAGCCACUCAUAAUUGAACUAAGGGCAAAAUGGGAAUUUAUUAAAAUACAAAGAAAAUACAAGAUGGAGAAGGAAUUACAGAAAAUGGAUCCCAAAAAUGGAUUCAGAGAUAUCAAAUUAGGGGGGGGGGGAGACCCCCUUUUUAUAGAUACAUGGAGUAAAUCAUGGCCAUCGGAUUAAAAACAGUUUGGACGCUCAGGAUUGCGCCACGUCAUCAGUCAACAGUCCACGGUUUGACCACGUGGAUGAACAGUAACACGGUUUGACCCGGAUGAACAGUAACGCGGUUUGGUUGAAAAUAAUCCUGUGUGAUGCAUGCACCGUACGCGAGAUUUUUCGUCCACUGAUAUGCUGCCACGUCACCGUCAACAGUACAUAAGAAUUUUAGUCCAACAGGAUCGUGACACCUCAUCAGUCAAUGCCACAUCAUCGGUCAAUGCCACGUCAUCGAUCCGUCUAUGUGAACAGUGUCGUGAACAGUAACGUAGACAGUACCGUAUACGUGAAUAGUACCGUUUUUCCUUUUAUGCUCCUCCUAAGGUUUUCGACCGUCCUGAGUUCAAAAGUGAUGUCCGUUUUGCCGUCUGAUCUCUCCUUUAUUGUGAAAUGACUAUAAUGCCCCUAAAAUACAUAAAAUACUUAAUUAAAAUAACACACACGUAAUUACAUCACAAGAAGGUUAAAUACAUAAAAGUAAGGGUUGUUAGUAAGACUUGAAAUGUAAAAUGACGGUUUUCUCCUUUAUAAAUAUGCAUUUUCUAACACUCAACACUUUGUUAUGAGAAUAUUUGGUUGGUUACAAUGGUUAUUUUGAAACACUGAACCAUCACCUAUUUUAGCAUUCCAAGUUAAAAAUAUAGAUCAGUUUUGAAGAAAAAUAUGGAACACUGCUAGAAAAAAUGGUCUUUACUAACAUUAGAAUAGUGUCAGUAAUUACUUUUAGUGACACUUGCUAAUUGUGUCAGUAAUUUGGCAGUCAGAAAAAUAGUGACACUUGUAAGUGGUGUCAGUGAUUACUAUUACUAUAGCAUCACUAAAAUCAUAACACCAUGGUAUCAAAAUAUUACAAUACUAUAUUAGUAUUUGUGAUUACUAUUACUAUAGUAUCACUACUUUAUGUAUUAUUUAAAAAAAUAAUUAUAUAAAAUGACAUAUUGCCCAUUGAUUUGUUGAUAUAAUUAAAAGGCUGUGAGAAAUAAGAACAAAAAUCAAUUUAUUUAUCAAAACCUUUCAUAACAUUUAAAUAUUAUCAAUAUAUAUUACACAAUCCAAAUACUUUAAUACACAAAGACAUCUUACUACAAGACAUCUUAUUCUUAUAAUUGAAUAAUCUUAACUGCUAUUAUCCAAUCAAAUUUCUUCUACUCGUAGCUGAAUUUAAGGGCUAAAUUUACCAAAUCUAAAAGCUAAAUUUAGAAGGAUUAUUAUUUUUCACUCCAUGAACAUAAGUACUGCAAUCAUGCAUUAUCACGUACAUCUUCUUCAUUCACGGACAGCUUCUUCAUUCGAUAAAUUUGAUGGGUUAGGGAUAUAAGUUGAAGAAGAAACACUUUAAACAUAUUAAUCAUAUCUGCAAACAAAUAAAAGAAAAAGGAAAAGAAAUUGGUUGCCAAAUUCCAACAGUUGCAAAAUAAAUUAACAAGCAAUACAGAGACAAAAGUUAAUAGAAAUAAACAUAUUUUGCUCGAAAACAAAAAAAAAAUUCAUAAGCUAUGAACAGAUCAACUCAAUUAUCUUAAAGGAAAAUUAGAGAAUAAGAAUGUUGUAGCUCAUUUGAUUAGAAAUAAGGUAGAAUAUAUUUAACUAUAGAUAUAAAUUAAAAAAAAAGGUGAUGCUGAAUUCAUUCUCUUAUAUAUAUAUGAAUAAGAGAGAGUGAGAGAGCAAAUUAUAGCAUUCAAAUUUUCAGUAUAACAUCUAGUUUCAAGAAAGUGUAUUUAUUUCUCAUUAUAUAAAAAAUAAUGAUUUUCCAGCUAAAAAAAAUUCAUAAUAAAAUUUAAUAUCUAAUACAACAUAGUAUGUUUUUUUUUUUUCAAAAAAAUGCUUGCAAUUAUGUCUUUUAGCCACCAAGCCUAAGUGUGAGAGUAAAGCAUUUAACUCUUGAUAAUUACACACUUUCUGCAUAAUGCAAUUAGUGUCAACUCAUUCUAAAUUACUCUACUUGAAUAAUAAAACAUUUCAGCCAUUGUAUUGAUGGAGCUACUAAUCCAGAAUAUUCACAAUAAAUAUAGGGUUCAAGGCAAUUAAGAGAUGUACCUCUUAGGGCUAUGCAUAUUCUCUAUCUUUCUAAGGCAAUCUUUAAUUCAUAUAGUUCCACCCCCUUUGAAUUCACAAACCAAGACUUUACAAACAAAGGCCUUAUAUCAUUAAUCUUAAUACAUUUUUACCAAAAAAUCACUAUAUUCAUAAAUAAAAAUCACAAGUUAACGCUUUAACCUCGUGUUGGGCUGUCUUAGUUUUCACAUGGCAGAGGAAUCUACGAUAAUGUGUAUGUUUUCCUGAGAAGAAAAAGGAACAAAAAAUAGGGAAAGGAAGUCAAGACUAAAAAAUAAUUAUUCAAUAAGCUGAAAAAUUAUCAUAUAUCAUGCAUGUUUUACACAAUCCCCUUAUAAAGUUGAAAAAAAAACUACUUUAUUUUACACAAUCAAACGAUUUUAACAGGAAACAUAACUUAGUAGGACAAGAAUGCAGCUAAAUUAUGAAAGCCAUUUUGCUUGCAGAUAUUAAUUAGACAUUUCAGUUUUUCUUAUAUUUUUCACAAUUUGAGCAGCUUUACUUUAAUUUUAUCAGGAAUCGAGUAUGGCGAUGUCACAAAAAGAAAGCAUCAGGGGGUUUGCAACAGACAGCAAAAUCAUUCAAGAAACUAGUGAGUUAGAGAAAAGCACUUGUGCAACAACUGAAGCAGAUCUCAUUGAGCGCCCAUACACACCAGUUCAAACUGGCGAUGAGUUUGCGCCAAAAUUUUUUGAGCAGUAAGGAACCAUAGAAACUCCACAGAAAGCAAAGAUUAACCUCGAAGGAGAGCAACAACCACAAGAAUCAGGGGAAACAAAAACUGAGGAAUCAGCAUUGAUGGACUCAGCUCAGCUUCAUUGACUGACCCCCUUCAGAGCUCCAGAAUUGAAACUACGAAAGUGGCUGAACAAGUCGGCGAAGGGAGAGAACCAAAAGGCAGGACUGAAGAAAAUCAAACCAAAGAACCAGAAGCCAUUCAUGUAGAAGAUGCAAAAAUGGAUGAAGAACAAGACGAAGAUGAACAUAAAAGGAUAGACUCAAGCUCUGAUGCUCCGGUCAUGAUUGAAGCGAAAAGAGGUGCUGUGGAUGUUAGGGUUGCACAACUUGGUCACUGGCAAAGGAUGAGGAACCUAUUUGAAAUAAACUGAAACUAAUGUAUCGUUAUUUACUAAAAAUAAAAAUAUAGGGAACUCAAUGUUAUUCACUCGAUAAUCAAAUAUUUCGAUUUCUCAUAGUUACAUGUCACCUCUCGCAAGUCACAGGACUCGUCGUGACUCGAGUCGCUUCCUUCCCUCUUGCUUGCAGUCUCCGCCCAUUUUUGUAGCACAGAAAAAAAAAAAACUAAUUUUCAUUUUUCAAUUCAAAGUCUGUGACUCUCAUCGAUCCAUAUAACACAACAAAACAACAAAAUUUAACACGGAAAAAAAAAGGAAUGUGUAAGCAAGUAUCCAAGAGAAUAGAAGAAAACCGAGCUUACUGAGUUACUUGGAGCUCCGAGACCUUUCGAAGAUCGAAUUAGCGGAAGAAAACAAAACUUCAGCUAACAAGAAAUCCCGAGAAGUCGAAGCGAGAGGGGCGGUGUGCACUCGAGUAGGGUGAGCAAAAUGUGGAGAUCUAAAGCGGGUCUUGUGAGCUUGUGGCAUAGCGGCAUGGUGGAUGUUUUGCAUAAUGUAGAUCGUUAGGGUUUCGUAUGGUAUGGGUCUUAGAAUUUGAGCAGUGGUGUUAGGAUUUCUUAUGGCAUGGACCCUUGAAUUUUAGGGCUCGAAGUUUUAGAGGUAUGAAGAAGAAGAAGGAUAUCGCCAGAGAGAUGAGGCGGCUGACCAUGGAUUUAGGAGUUAGGGAAUUUUAUGUUUAUGUUGAUUUAGGGUUUCUUGCUUUUGCUUUUAUAUUGUUGUUUUCUAUAUUAAUUUAAUUUGAUAAUUUCAACAUGUUCAACACAAACUAAUGUAUGAAUUUGGCCUGGUGGUUUGUUCGUUGAACAUAAAGCACUUUAGUUUUGAGGUCCUAGGUUCGAGUCGCAACUAAAACAAAAAUAUAAUUUUUUUUUUUUUUUUUGUUUCUGAUACCUUAGUGUUAACAAUCUCUGAUGUUUAAUGUACAAACACCAUAGAAUCAGUAAUUUGUGACACUUGUUUGUUAAACACGGAAAAUGACCCAAAUAUAUGUAAUUACUGAUACUUUUUAGAAAAGUGUCACAAGACAAAUAUCAGUAAAAGCUAUUUUUCUAGUAGUGGAAGCGAGAUCAAGAGUAAUGUUCUUGGAGUACGCAAGAAUACUAUGUAUUGAAUAUAAUGUGAUGAAGGUGUGUCUUGUAAAAUUAGGACCCUAUUGAAUAUGAUAUGACGAGGUGGUGUGCUGUAAAUUAGGAGGCAAGUUUUCCUUGCAAUAAUUCCUGCAACACUUGUCUAAUUGUGCUUGUUCCUCUAAAUAAGUGGAAGUCUUUUUUUGUGUAAACUUGCACAAUCGAAUUUGAGAGUUAUUCUGACUUCAAUAAUAUCAGACAGCAACCCGCUUCUGCUUUAUAUUUUACAUUGAACUAUAGUUGCCUUGACUUUAAUAAAUCUCAAAAAUACAAAUAAGAAGACUUAUCCUAAUUAAGUUCUUACAUUGAACUAUAGUGGGAUCUCCCAAUUUAAUUAAGAGUGAUGCUACUGACACUCCUCUAUAUCUCUUAUGAAACUCGUCUUGUUCUUUAUUCACAAAUUUGUAAAACUUAUCUAAUUAAACCCACCUAUGUUUUCUUAUUUUUUCUCCAUUAUAAACUCAUUAAAUCUAUAAAAUUUGAAAAAAAAAUGAAUUGUUAUAGAAUAAGAAUUUGAUCAAAAUAUAAACAAAGUUUUUGUAGGAAAGAUAAUUUGGUAAAGUUUAUUUACUUAGGCCAAUUUUUUUUUUAAAGAUUUGCACACAUGUCUUUAUAUAUAUAUCAAGGUUAUUACCUACUAGAAAAAAAUAAAGUAAAUACAGAGAAAAAUAAGAAAUUUAUGAAUGUUAUAAUUAAGAAGAUAUUGAAAGUGGCUUGAAAUGGGAGAAGGGUAAGAGAGAGGGCCUAAUAAUUUUUUUUUUAAAGUAUUGAUACAAGAGUUUAUUAAAAAAAUACAACAAAUGAAUAUUAUUUUAAAAAUUAAGAAGAAUAUGCAGAGAAAAUGUGUUUUAAAAGAACCUUAGGAGUGUGCCCAUAGUCAAACUCUUUAAUUAAUAUGCAGGAUUUCCUGGCACAAGUGACAUAACAAUGUGGGAUCCUGAUACAUAGGGGCUGUUUGUUUCGUUUUUGCCUUUUCUUUUUUAUUGAAAUUUACUGUCCCAUCAUACGCAGUAAAUAUUGUUGGAGUUGGAAACUUAUAAGAAAAGCGUGAGAUCGCACGCUAAAAUUAUCCUUUGCAUAAAUAGAGAAAUUAGUUCAGAGUCUUUAUUGAGUUUUUUUUCCCUUAUCACAAAGUAUCGGUUGGUGUGAUUUUUUCUCCAAUUAUUAGUGAGAGUAAAUUUUUAAAUUAUAUUUAAUACGCAUCUGAAUUUUAUUACAAAUUAUUCUCAAUAGAUCUCAAAUUACAAAUAUAUCAUUAUAUUGUAAAAAUUAAUUUAAAAAAUUGACAAGCAUCCAACCGCACGUUUUUCAUACGUUCAUUUGUGAAAUAAAAAUACAUUAAUAUUUUACUCCGAAAUAACAUAUUUUUUUCGCGAAGAUGUCUUCUUUCGUUUUCGCCAUAAAUGAUCGCAACGUUAAAGGUGGGGCUGGUCACAAGCAUUAUUGUACUAUGUUUAAUUUGAGCCACCCAAAUUGCAAAACAAAUGGAGUUAUUUUUUAUGAGUCAGUUUGUCAUCACUCGUUCUGCGGUUUGAAAGUGGCGAAACGAGAGAUAAAGACAAAGUAAAAAAAAAAAUAUAUUAGCAGACAAAUGAUGCCGACAUUACACUCCUGGUCUGGUGCAAUGCAUGAUUUUUAAUCAUAAUUUUAAUUAUUUUUAUUUUUAUUUAUAUUGAAAUACGGUCUCGUUCCAAUAAUAAAUAGCAGUCACUUUAAGACUCCGAUCCAAAUUCGAUGAUGCGUGAAUUAAUGAAAAAAAAAAUGUUAGUGAAAGUGUUAGAGGCUCUCGGGUUGACUUGGUUACCACUAUAAAUGGAACACUAUGGGGGAGCAAAUGGUAAGUUUAAGUAACUCAGUCCCUUGAUGGCAACUAAAUUUUCUCAAGUUCUAUCAGUUACCCAGAAGGCACCGGAACUAAUUGCUCCGGCCAGGCCCAGACCAAGAGAAGUGAAGCAACUUUCAGAUAUUGAUGACUAAGAAAGCCUACGGUUCGGAUACCAAUAAUUUUCCUCGACAAGAAUGACCCUUCACCUUCGAUGCAAGGAAGAGACCCUGUUAAGGUAAUUAAAAUGGCAAUAAGUAAAGCACUUGUGUUUUAGUAUCCUUACGAUAUACAUACAUGCAAAAGCAGUUAUUUGUAGUUAUUUUAGGACUGCCACUUUUUUUUUUUUUUGCAGGUGUUUCCUAAAUCUUCCAUUCAAAAUAGAACUCUUCCUAGGUUGGUUCGGUUCUGAAUCGAACUGAAACGAUCUUUUUUUUUUUUUUUUUUUAUAAAAUAUAAUCCGAACCAAUUCUCAAUUUGGUUAAGUCUUUUUGAUUUAAAAUCAUAAAUUCCUUUGUAUUUUAUGAUUUUUUUAUAUAAACUGAAUUUUUUUUUUUUAAAAAACUGAACUGAAUCAAACUAAACUGUCAAUUCGGUUCGGAUUUUACGGGAGCAGCGAUUUUUUUACCCCGUAAGUGUAAUCAAAAGCAAGUAGUUGAGUGGGGCAAGUUUUUGCUUUCGCCUUAAGGAUUAAUAUAGUAAAUAUACUCAUUCGAGUAGUUAAGUCUACAGUAAAAAUAAAGAAUCAUUCAAGUUUUUGUUUUUGCUGUGUUUUGUGUCAAUAUAAAGAAUCAUUCUUGUGCUCAAAACGCAACACUCUCGGUUUUCUCUCUCUCUCUCUCUCUCUCUCUCUCUCUCUCUCUCUCUCUUGUCUCGCUCCCUCACACACUCUUUAUUACAUCUCGCUCCCUCUCUCUCUCGGCUAUCUCUCUCUCUUGUCUCGCUCAAUUUUCCUCGAUUUGUCCUCAUCAAUUUUCUCAAGUCUUCAACUUCAAUGGCUUUUUCCAUAUACUUUAUUUCUACAAAAUGAAUAUAAUUCAUAUUAACAAACUGAAAACAACAAAAGAUUGCGAAAGUGAGCCACAUACAAGUUAGAUAUGCUAUAAAUUAUAAAAAUAAUCAUGUAUUGCAAAUUAUUAUAUGGAUUUAAAAAAAUGUCCAAUUCUUUGUUUCCUCUAUAAAUUUUAUAAUCCGAACUGAUUCUCAAUUUGGGUUAUUUUUUUCAGUUUUAAGUCGUAAAUUCUUUUGUAUUUUAUAUAUUUUUUUAUAUAAACUAUUUUUUUUUUAAUUGAACUAAAUCUCAAUAAACUGUCAGUUCGAUUCGAUUUUCCUGGGAGCAACUUUUUUUUAACCCACCCCUACGUGUAAUCAAAAGCAAGUAGUUGAGUGAGAGGCAAGUUUUUGCUUCGGCCUUAAGAACUGAUAUGGUAAAUGGGUGUGGAUAUUUCCACCCCAUUAUUUUUAUAAAUCCACCCCACCUUCAUAAAAUAAUUACAAUAAGUUCACAUUAUUUUAUAAAAUUAUAAAUUAAUAAUAAUUUUAAAUAAUUAAUUAAAUCAAUCUUAUAAUAUUUUUUUCUUACUUUGUCUUUCAACAAUCUUUAACAAUUUAAGGUUGUUUUAAGAUAAGUUUAAUUUAACUAAUUUACCCUUAUAAUAUAAAAUAACCAAAUUACCCUAAGAAAUAUAUAUAUUAUUGUAACUUAUUGUUUAGGCAUUUAGUUUUAUGUUUUAUAAUCUAAUAUGCCUUAUAUAAAAUUUAAUAAUUUUCAAUACUUCAGAUGUCCUAAUUACAUCUCGUUAGUUUAGUGGAAUAUUAAUAAUCAUACUAAACAACACUACUUAUACAUUAGUAAAAUAUAAAAAAAAAUUGUAUAAAAAUUUAUUAAAGUUAAAGUAAAUUUUUAGAUAUUUUUGGUACUUUUACCUUAUAAGGUUAGAAUAAUUAUAUUAAUUUAUGUUAAAACAACCUUAUUGAUCAAAUAUAAUAAAAAAAACAGUCUCAUAAAAAAAUAAUUAAUGAAUAUGGAUUUAAUUGGUUAAAUUGUUAAAUUUCUUCUUAAUUUGAAUUUUUAAAAAGUAAUGUGUACUUAUUGUAACAUUUUUUUAAAAUCGGGGUGGAUUAAUAAAAAUUUUGGGGUGGAAAUAUCACCACCUAUGGUAAAUAUAUUCAUUCAAGUAGUCAAGCCUACAGUUAAGAUAAAUAGAUAACAGAUUAAUGAUUGUAGUUUAAUUAUGCGAACGUGACAUACAUAUCUAUCAUAAAUUAUCAUGAAAUGUGGUAAAGCUUCAAUUCUUUUGAAACAUGAUAAAUAUAUAUAAUUAAAUUAUAACUGCUAAUCCGUUAUCUAUUUAUCUUCAUUGUCGGCUUGACUACCUUAGUUUUCUUAAAAAUUGGGAAAAAAAAGUUAUUGUUUGUGGGGAAAAGGACAUCCACACCCCCCAAACUUUGGUGAAACGGGGCACCAAUACUCACAUAUAUAUAUAUAUAUAUAUAUGUAUGACUGUAAUAAAUAAAUAAAAAUAUAACAUUAAAAUAAAUGUAAUAAUAUAUAUAUUUUAAAUUAAUUUCAAUUUAAAAAUAUUUUAAUAUUUUAAUAUUUUACAAUAUGUUAGAUAUAUUUUGUUAUAUUAAACUAAAUAUUCUAAUAAAUAGAAUCGUAAUAUUAAAAUAAAUAUUCAAAUUUAAAUUAUUUUGAAUAUUAUGUAAAAUAAUAAUUUUCACAUUAUUAGUAUGUGAUUUUUUUUAUUUGUAAAAUGUAUUUAAUGCAAGUAUUUAUUUACAAUCUCUACAAUAAAUAAUAAUAUAUUAUUAAAAUAAAUAUAAUAAUUUACAUAUUUAAAUUUAUUAAAAUAUUUUAAUAUUGUUAGUUGAUUGCAUAGAUUACAUUAUUUAUAUAAUAUUUUUGUUUAUUAAAAAUUUUGAAGAUAAUCUUUUGGGGAUAAUAGAGGCACUUCUUCUCAUGUUUGAAUAUUGCAAAAAUAUAUUUGUGGUAUCAAACAAGUUUCUAAGGCUAGAAGGUAAAUUCAUUUUGACUAUUCUCUAUUUUCACCAGCUACAAGGUAGAUUAUAUUUAUCAGAUAUGUUAGGAAUCUCAUUAUUGGAGUUCCAACUUAUAAGCAACUUAUUUGUAAUUGUCAUAUUGUUAUGUGGUAAUAACUAACCCGAUGUGAUAGUUAUAGAUAAAUUAUCGCACCAAUUAGCUCAUAAUUCACUCUCGAAUGAAAAAUGUUGCAUAGACAAUAAGUUAUCAUUUUGUUUGAGAUCGUGUUUCCAAAGGUCAACUAUGGGUGUCCCAUGCAUUUUUUUGUCAAGAAACAUCUUGAUAAUGCCUUAUGCUAUCUGGAACUUUUAGGUCUAUACCCGUUAUGUUAAGGUCGGCUAUUAGGUCUAAUUUUUCUUUUAUUUAUUAAAAAAUAUUGGGUGUGGGUGUAAUUAUUCAUACUGGCCCAUUGAUUGAAUGGGUAGGAUAUGGGUACUAAAUAGUAAAACCCAUACCCGCUCAUAAACCCAUUUGAUUAUUUUUUUAAGGGAAAAUAUCCACCGUUUACCCAUUUUUUUUAACUUUUUUAAAAAUACACAAUUCUUUCUUUUUUUGGCUGGAAUCCACCUAAAGUUACAUUUUGUUUCACUUUUCCACUUCUGUUUGGAAUCCGUUAAGAAAACUAACGGAAACUUAAAAAAAUGACAAUUUUACCCCCAAAACGAAAAUUACAAUUUCACCCUAAAAAAUACAAAAAAUAAUCAGAUUUAAUGAUGAAUAUCAUUAUUGGUAUGUUAAUGAAGUACAAAAAAAUCUUAAUUACUAGAUAUUAUAACUCAAUGAAUAAUAAAACUCUACUCAUCUUAAAUUCAAUUGAUGAUUUGCGAGAUUUGGCUAUUUUUAAUACUACUGUUAUAAUUUAGUAUUCUAAUUAUAGACAUAUUAAAAAAAAAUCCUGCAUUUGAUGGUUGUGGAAUUAAUUUCUUUAUUGACCGAUGGGGAAAAUAAUGAGAUUUAAUUUGAUUAUUUUUUAUAAUUUUUAAGGUGAAAUUGUAAUUUUCGUUUUGGGGGAUAAAAUGGUCAUUUUUAAAGUUUCCGUUAGUUUUCUUAACGGAUUCCAAACGGAAGUGGAAAAGUGAAACACAUGUAACUUUAGGUGGAUUCCAGUCAAAAAAAGAAGGAAUUGUGUAUUUUUAAAAAAGUUGGAAAAAACGGGUGGACGGUGGAUAUUUUUUUUUAUUUUUUUAAUUAAUUUUUAAAAGCUAAAAUUGUUAAUUAAUAACUAAAUCUAAAUAUUAAAACCCUAAAAAAUUAAAACGUGAAUAAAUAAAGUUAGUGGCUUUAAGUUUGAAUAUUUUGAAACCCCAAUAAUGCCAAAAGUCGAUAUUUUAAAGCCUAGAAAUAAUUAAAUAAAGCAAAAUGUCUGCCGCUAGCAUAGAAAUAUGGAAUAAGAAAAAUUAAAAAUAUCGAGAAAAGAGGAAAACGUGGGAGUGGUACUAAUUUGAGGUAGACAAUCAGACAUACAUGCCGUUUGAAACUCAAAGAAUAAGGAUGAUGUGUCCACUCAAAUUUCAAUUUUGAUUGUUGCAGUAUUGACUAAAAAACGACGGAAUUUCUUUUCAAAAUCCUCCAUCUUGAAUUCAUAGGGACAAAAAAUAAAUUUAUGGAUGGAAAUAAAUAUGCAGUAUUUACGGACAAAAAUAUUCGGUUAUUGAAAAAAAAAAAUAUACUUCUAAUAAAAAAAAUCAAUUAAAAUUCUUAACAUCAUUCAUCAGUAGUCAAUCAUCAAUCACCAAUAUUUCAUCUGGUAUUUCUUCAUAUAAAUAUUGAAAAUUUCCUUCUUGUGAUUUGUUUGUGGUUUUUUAUUUUUCCAGUGGUAAUUCCCCUCAUCAAUUCAUUGUUCUCAUGCUAACCUAUUGUUGUGAUUUGUUCUUUUUUUUAAUAAAUAUAAUCUUGUAGGUUUAAUAUGGAGAUACAUUUUUUAAUUUAAAUGGAUUUAUAAUUUCUAUUUAAUAAUAUAUUAAUUAAAAUUGAACUUAAUAAUCAUUAAAUUAAAAUUUAAGGGGAAUAAGGGAUAGGAGAAGGGGACGGGUAUAUAUAUUUGUUAACGAGAAAUCUUGAUUCAUACUCAUUCAAAUUCAUAAUAAAUAAGAGUUGAUGAUGGAAAUAUUUACUAUUAAAUAGGUACGGGUACAGUCGUACAGAUAUUAACAUCACCGCAUAAUACCCGUCUCGUUGCCAUUCAUGGGAACGAUGAAGAGGGGAAAUGGUAUACUUCAAAUUCUCUCUUUUUCUAAUUUUUAUUAUUAUUAUAAAAAAAAUUAGUGGGCGCCAGUAGUAAUUAAUAGCUUCGGCGCCCACUUACUCAACAAUAAACAAAUGGCAUGCCACCGUAAUCUUAAUCUUUUGAGUUUUAUUUAAUUCAUUAAUUGACAUUUUAGUGAGUCAAUAGCUAGAGAAAAAGUGAAAGAAAGAUAAAAAUGGGAGAUAAAAAGAUUAAUGAUGGCCCCUUACACUUGUGGUCUCUCCAUUUCAUACGCGGCUGGAACUGAUCAUUGUCUCAGAAUUAUCAGAAAUAAUAAGGUGGAGAACGGAUCAUUAUUUAAUCUUGUCCGUCCAUUUCCAUAAAAUUAAUCCUAGCCUUACGCUCAUGUCAUCUGUCUACUUCGGUUGGACUGUGAGAACGUGAUCUCCAAAGCUAAACUCAUCGCAUGUUGUUUUUAAUAGAGUGCAUGAUGCACCGUGCACGGUUCACUCAGUCAAUCCAUUCUUUCCUUCAUUAUUUUAAUAAGUAGUACCAUGCAUUUUAAAUUUUUUAUCUUAAAAAAUUAUUUUAAAUAAUAUAGUAUUUAUUAAUUAAUUAAUUAAUUAAUUAAUACAAUUAAUUCGUUCAAAUUUUAUAAAAAAUCAUUAAUUACUUAAUAAAUUAGAUAAAAUUUAAAAUAAAAAAUUUAAAUAAUUUAUAAUUACUCUUAUCCCAAUUUAAUAGAGCCGUGUAGACCCUUGGAAAAUUAAAAUUACUUGUUUAUCAUAUUUAGCACCAGGAUUUGAUCGAGGCUCUCUCGUGUUGAUGUGCGUCUUCUAUUCUAUGGACUUGUUAUUACUAACGACUAUAAAUUAGGGACGAAAGAUGCACCUUUGGGGCAACCAAUUACAGAUCUACUUCAAGAAACUCACAAUCCCUAAUCAAUGGUAUUCACAUUUUCUCAAGGUCUCUUGGUUACCCGGAAGGCGCCAGAACUAAUAGUUCCGGAGAGGCCAACACCACGAGAAGUGAAGCAAAUUUCAGAUAUAGAUGACCAAGAAAGCCUAAGGUUCCAGAUACCACUACUAUUCUUUUACAAGAAUGACCCUUCACCUUCAAUGCAAGGAAGAGACCCUGUUAAGGUCAUUAGAGAAGCAAUAAGUAAAGCACUUGUGUUUUACUACCCUUUAGCUGGCAGGCUUAAAGAAGGUUACAACCGCAAGCUUAUGGUGGAAUGCAAUGCUGAAGGAGUCUUGUUUAUUGAGGCUGAUGCCAACUUCACACUUGAGCAGCUUGGAGAUGAUAUUCAGCCACCGUGCCCGUAUUUGAACCGACUGAUUUAUGAUGUUCCAGGCUCUGAAGGCAUUCUUGGUUGCCCUUUGUUGUUAAUUCAAGUGAGUCUCUCUUUACUUUAAUUAGUAUGUAACUUUAUUUUCUGAUUUUAGAAUUGAAAGAAAAUAGUAGUACAGUAUAUGCUGAAGAUUUGUUAGGUGCUCAGCUGAGUGGCUUGAAGUAAUUUAUUUAACUAACUACUCGGGUUUGAAUAAUCUUGAGGGAAGAAAGGGGUUAAAAAUAUCAAUUUCGACUUUGUUUACUAAAGAAGAAAUUAAUAUUAAGUUUAGAUUAAAAAAGUAUCAAUUCCUACAAAUACAUAGAUUUUUCUUGAAAAUUCUAAACUUAAACUCGAUAUGAUUGUUGAACAAAUGAUACAAAUUCAUCCAUUUAAUAAUCAUAUAAAAUGUAAUUAAUUUUAAUAUAUUAUUUUGUAUCGGUUUUAUUGAGUUCGCACGUUUUUUAAAAAAUUACUAGUCUUACUAAUAUUGAUAAUAAAGAUGUGAAAAAAAAAUAAAGAGAUCUUUAGUAACUUUUACAUUACAUAAUGACUUUUUGAGGUAUAUAUAUCCUGUUUUGCUAUCGGAGGAUUCAUUUUUGUGUUUAUAGGUGACGCGUUUGACAUGCAGAGGAUUCAUUUACGUUUUAACCACACAAUGUGUGAUGCUUUUGGUUUGGUACAAUUCUUAAAAGCCAUAGAGGACAUGGCACGUGGGGAACGUUCACCAACUUUAUUUCCAAUUUGGCAACGGCAAAUCUUAAAUGCCAGAAAUCCCCCACAAGUAACAUGUAUCCACCAUGAGUACGAUGAAGUAAACACCAAUGAGGUUCCAAGUGACAACAUGGCUCACAAAUCGUUCUACUUUAGCCUAAAAGGGAUCAAAGCUCUGAGAAAUCAGCUUCCUUUUCACCUUAAAGAUUGUUCAACAUUUGAGCUAUUAUUAGCGUUUCUAUGGAAAUGUCGAACAAUUGCACUCAAGCUACAACCUGAAGAGAUUGCUAAAGUUUGUUGUAUCGUUAACGUUCGAGGAAAACGUUAUAAAAUGGAUAUUCCUCCAGGCUAUUAUGGCAAUGGUUUUACAUUUUCGGCUGUAUGUUCAAAAGCUGAACAAUUGUGUAAGAAUCCAAUAGGAUACGCCGUUGAAUUGGUGAAAAAGUAGGGAUGGCAAAAUUCUCCACGGAUUUGGCAUCCCAUGGAGCCCCACCCCAAAUGGGAAAAAUUUUGAAUAAUUUUUGGAGAAUGGGGUGGGGAGUGGGGGGAAAAUAAUCCCCAAAUUCUUAAUGGGGUAGGGUUUGGUUUUGUACUCCCCACCCCACCCCUACCCCAAUCCCCAUUAAAUAUAAAUAUGUUUUUAAUUCUUAUUUAAUAAUUUUUAUUUUAUCAAUUAUAAUGUCAAUUAAUGUUUUUUUAAUUUUUAUGCAAUAUAAACAAGAUAUGAAUGAAAGAAAAUCCUAUAAUAUUUUUCAACUCUGAAACAUUGUUAUAUUUUCUUUUCUCUUUUAAGGUGCUACGCUCUUUAAAUAUUUUUCAAUUUUAAUAUCAUUUUAAGAUAUUGUUUCAAACUUUUAGAUAUUUUUUUAAAAGAAUUUAAAUACUUUAUAAUAUGAUGAUGAUUUUAUUUUAAGUCUCUAAUUUUUAACUUACUAAAAUAAUAUAUUUAUACAUAUUAUAAAAUAGAUAAAUGGGGAAUGGGGUGGGGAUGGGGAAAUCAUUCCCCACAUGGGGAUUCUCCAUCCCCACCCCACUAAAUUUAUUGGGGAAUGAGGUGGGGAAUGGAGGCAAAAAUUUCUAACGGGGUGGGGAAUGGGGUAGGCCUCCCCACCCCCACCCCACCCCAUUGCCAUCCCUAUGAAAAAGGCGAAGGCUCAAAUGAACGAAGAAUAUAUAAGGUCUGUGGCGGAUCUUAUGGUGAUCAAAGGGCGACGAAUCAAGUUCUCGACUAGGGGAAAUUUCAUUGUUUCGGAUCUAAGGAAUGUUGGACUCGGAGAUGUUGAUUUUGGGUGGGGGAAACCAAUUUAUGCUGGAACUGCUGGCGCUGUAGCAGUGAUCAGCUUCUUUACAAAGUACCAAAACAAGAAUGGAGAGCCUGGAAUUCUUGUACCAAUAUGCUUGCCGCAGUCAGCUAUGGAAAGGCUUCAAGAAGAGCUAAAGGGGUUUAUGAUUCAAGGAUCUAUGGAGGAUUUAUGCAACAUUAACCAGACUCAGAUUUUCAGCAAGCUUUAAGGGAUAUAUCUCCUCAGUUUACGUAGUAGCUUUUUUUGAUUAUAAACCAAUAAUGCAAGUUAUGCGUCCUCUCAAGUUAUGUCUAAAACUAAAUAAUGUACCCAUUACCUUAACUUUUUAAUAUGCCACGUAUACGUUAUUAGUCAUUUAUGAUUCAAAUAUUUAUUUUCAUAAUAAUGAUAUACUUGAAGUUUGUAUAUUAAAUAACGUGUUACCAACAAUUGACCAUCAUGUAUUUGGUAUUUGCAGCACUAAUGAGUAAAUGACAUGUUAAGUUUUACAUCAUCUAGAAUGCAAACUUUGUAUUCCAACUUUAUAAGCAUAUUAUUAUUCUGAAAGCUAAGAUGAGUAGAAAAUCUUAGUUUAAAAUGAAAGUAGAAAUUCCAUGUGUCUAAACAGACCUUAGUAAACAUCAAUAUAAUAACCUAAUGAAAUUUGGUAGUUAAAGUAUACAAGCAAAAACUAAAAAAGGAACAUAAAUAUAAAUAUGCAUUUCACUAUUAUGGUGCAUUUACUAAUUGCUAACUAGAAUAGGCUGGAAUCUAAAUGGGGAAUGAGAAUUAGAAUAAACCGGUAGGAAUCAAAAUCGAAAUGACUUAUAUUGUCAUCAAUGUACUUAUUUUUGUCUGGAAAUUGGAAUAUUGUUAAUAAUAAUAAUAAUAAUAAUAAUAAUAAUAAUAAUAAUAAUAAUAAUAAUAAUAAUAAUAAUAAUAAUAAUAAUAAUAAUAAUUAGGGGUGUUUAGAAUCUAAUCUGAUCCGUUCAAUCUGUCUGAUCCGUAGAAAUGCGAUUCAUAAAAAUCCGAUCCGUGAAUUGGAUUGGAUUGAAAAUUUAAAAAUCUGCAGUCGGGUGGAUUGGAUAUGGAUUUACUAGGGGUGGCAAUAUGGGUCAUGAUUCGUUUAUUCGAUUCGAUUCGAUGCGAAUUAAAUGGGUUUGAGUUUGAGAAAAUUGAUUCGUUUAAUAAAUGGGUGAAUUCAAUUCGAUUCGCUAAUUAAACGAAUCGAAUGCGGGUUUGAAGAUUUUGAUUCGUUUAUUCGUUUAAGAUUCGUUUAAUAAACGGGUCAUAAACUAAUCAAAUACAGGUCGAUUCGUUUAAAAUUUGUUUAAUUAAAUUACUUUUUUGUCUUUAAAUUUAUUUGGAAACUUUUUAAAAUAUGAAAGUUAAUAUUGUAAUUUUAAGCAUAACACAUAAACCCAAAAGACCAACCCUAAUUUUACACUUCACACGCACUUUUCCCUCAUCUCCUAGCAACUCGGCCGCCACUGCUACAUUUUGCCAUCUUUUUAUCUUCAUUUCCUUCUCCAAAUCCUUUUCUUUUUCUUUUUAAUUUUUGCAUCCAGCAAGUGCUACAUUUUGCCACUGCUCCAAAUCCUUGGAUUUGUGUGAGUGUGAUAGGUAAAGUUUUGUCUUGUUUAAUUAUUAUUUCCUUAAAAAUACUACAAAUUUGCUAUAUAUUUGAUAUUUUAAAAUUUUACAAUGAUUAUUAUCAAUAUUGCAGUAUGUUUAAUUGUUAUUAACAUUUUAUUUAUUUUUUGGUGUCGGAUUUGUGUUUUCAAGGUGAAAAAGACAAAUGAAGAGAAUUAAAGAAAUUACCUUACUUUAUAAUUUGAAUUUGAAUUAUUGUUAUUUGUAUUAUCAGGGAUUUGUAAUUUGGUAUUUGGAUGACUGCAUAAUAUGGUUUGAGUUACUUGUAUUUUGUUGUGGGAUGUUAAACUCGUGAUUUUUUAUAUUUUAUUUUGCUUAAUUUUGUUUAUUAAUUAUAUUUUUCUAAACGAAUUGUAAACGAAUCCUGAUUCGGUUUGAUUCGUUAAGGAUAAAUGAAUAAUAAAUGAAUUCGGAUUCGAUUCAAUUCGUUUAUCAAUUCUAUUAAACGAAUUAAACGAAUCGAACCGAAUAUUCGUUUAAUAAACGAAUCGAAUCUGAAUCCUGAAAUUUCAAUUCGUUUAAUAAACGAAUCGAAUCCGAAUCCGUAGAAUUUUGACCCAAUUCGUUUACGAUUCGAUUCGAAUUCGAUUCGUUUAUUCAUUUUGCCACCCCUAGGAUUUACUUCCGUGAAUUCGCAAAAAUUUACGAAUCCGAAAAAAAUAAAAAUAUUUAUUUUAUAAAAAAAUGAACUUGUAAAUAUGACAUUAUACUUACUAAUAAAUAAAUAAGUUAAAAUAUAGUUACAUUAAUACCAUAUUAUGUUUUAUUUGAUAAUAUAUAAAAAAAUAAUUAAAUAAAAAUAUAGCUUCCUAAGCAGUUAAUUUUCAUGUACUAAUCUAAACAAAUGAGUUUUUUUUUUUUGGUAUGUUAUAUUUUGAAACUUUGAAUGUAUUUUCUACCUUUAUUUAAAUAAUUAACUUAUUUAAAUCUUAUUUAAUUUUGAAUUUGAUCGGUAGUAAAAUUAUUUUUAUAUUAAUUUUUUUUAUUUAGUUAGUUCGUGGAUAGGACAUGAUUAAAAAUUUUUAGCCCACAAACCAAUUUGUAAAAUGGUCGAUCAGAUGUGGAUUGAGUCAAAUCCGCAUCCGAUCUGCAGACGUAUGGAUUGGAUUUGGAUUAAAAUUUAUCAAUCAAUGAAUUAGAUUGGAUUAAAAUUUUAUAAUCUGUAAAAUUAUGGAUAAGAUAUGGAUGGAUGCCCAAUCCGCUAAAUCAGAUUCGCGAACACCCCUAAUAAUAAUAAUAAUAAUAACAAUAAUAAUAAUCAUCAUCAUCACCAUCACCAUCACCAUCAUGAUCACGAUCACGAUCACCAUCAUCAUAGAAUUUAUUUUAAACUCAUUGUCGAUAAAUUAAGUUGUUAUUCAACAUUUAUGCUGUACUAGUUUUCAUAAUUGAGAGCCCAUUAUUUUAAGGUUAAAAAUAAAAGGAAAAGGCACAAAAGUUACUAAAUGGGACCUAAGCCAUUUCUUGUCGCUGGUUGUGUUAGGUUCAGAAUCUGAUCUACAUAUACAAAGGCUUAUAGAGGAACAAUAACAGAACUGGACGUCAGACAUCAUACUUGAAGCGAACUCUUUUAAGAUCCCUGAGACCUCCUGGUGGUGAGGUAAAUGUUGUAUAUACACCAGGCUCGUCUUGGUCAACCUAUUCAUUGUCAUUCGUGAUUCACAUUCUUUCGUUCUGCUCCCAUUUCUAGUUGUUGCUUCCAACUGGCCUUGUUUGGAAGCUACGAUUACUGGCAGUGCUGGACCUAUCAGCAAGCAAAAGGUUGUUUGAUCCAUCUGUGUCCCGUUCUUGAGUUGCUGUUUGACCACCUAGCCGGUCAAUUGAAGCAUUCGACACACCUAUGGAAGCAGGACUGGAACUGAAGGAAGUAAAUAUCGGUGAUUUAAUGUUCCGUGCUGUUCCAACUGGCAGUCUCUCAGCCAUAUCCUCCAACUAUUCAACAAAAAGUUGCCUUGAGUAAGAAUUCAAUGAUGUUUGGAAGCAGAGAAAACUUAAAUGAAAAUAAGAGAAUUCAGAAACUCUUUCUUCGUUUUAUUAUCUCAAAUCAUUAAUCAACUGAAUCUAUACAUACUUCUAUUUAUAUACUUCAGUAGUAAUUAGAACUAAUUCUCUACUAAUUGCAAGUGCUAAUCAGCUGGUUAUAACUAACUAAAACUGAAUUACAAGCACAAGCAAUACUAUAACAAACUCUACUAAUCUUCACGUGUGCAAGAGACUAUAUAACCACCAGGCUCUAGCUGGUAAGCCAUGUCAUCAACCUGUAACAGCAAGCUGCAGGUGUUGCAAUCCUCUGCUGCACUGACUACUCUGCUCAUGUGAGCUUCCUUAACAUCCCCUCUCAAGCUCAAGGGUCUGCUGAACACAUUGAGCUUGGAACGAAAAUAACUAAACUUAGGAAAUGACAGGGGCUUAGUAAGGACAUCUGCAACUUGCUCUUCAGUGGGAAUGUACCUCACUUCCAAUUCUUUGUUAAGAACCUUGUCUCUAAUAUAAUGAACAUCUAGCUCUAUGUGUUUUGAUUUUGAAUGAAAAACUGGAUUUCUAGCUAGAUCUCCAGCACUCUGGUUAUCACACCAUAGGACAGAAGUUGGUAAUUUAGUGAUGUUGAGCUCAGAGAAUAAUGAUUGCAGCCAAGAAAGUUCAGAGCUGGCUACUGACAAGGCUCUGUAUUCACUCUCAAUACUAGAUUUUGCUACAAUGGCUUGCUUUUUCGAAGACCAGGAAACCAAAUUAUUACCAAGGAAAAUGCAAUAUGCUCCAAUGGAUUUUCUGUCAUCAAUAUCACAUGCCCAAUCAGCAUCUGAAUAUCCUGUUAGUCCUAUAGUUUCCAGAGUUCCCUCCUGCUGAAUAUAGAGACCAUAUGUGACAGUAGCUUGAAUGUAUCUAAGCACCUUUUUACAAGUUAACCAGUGUUGAAGUGUAGGAGCACUGAGGUACUGACUAAGCUUAUGCACUGAAUAUGCAAUAUCUGGUCUAGUUAGGAUUAAGUAUUGCAAACCUCCAACAAUGCUUCUAUAGAGGGUUGGAUUCUCAAAUUCUGCACCCAAAAAACCUUUUGCUGACCUUUCCAACUUGUAGCCUGUGCUGAAAAGAGUGUCAGCUCCUUUGCAGUCUUGCAUGGAGGCUUUAGACAGCAGAUCCUUGAUAUACUUGGUCUGGGAGAGAUGCAUUCCAUGAUCUGUAUAAUUGACUUCUACACCAAGGAAAUAUGUUACUAGACCCAAGUCUUUUAAUGCAAAAGCUUUGCUGAGCUUAGCAAUAAAAGAUUCCAACAAGUCUAAAUCUGGUCCAGUGAUCAGAAUGUCAUCCACAUAUAUUAAGACAAGAAUUAUGCCUUUGACAUCAUGCCUGAUAAACAGAGAAGUAUCAGCCUUAGAAUUAGUGAAUUUCCAGCUUGUAAGACAUCCCUUAAGCUUAUCAUACCAGGCUCUUGGAGCUUGUUUUAAGCCAUAAAGAGCUUUGUUUAGUUUACAGAUGUAUCCUCCAUCUGAAACAAAACCUUCUGACUGUUGCAUGUAUACAUCCUCAGUGAGAUCCCCAUUAAGAAAUGCGUUAUUGACAUCAAUUUGUCUAACAUUCCAGCCUUGCAUGACUGCCAAGCUAAGAAUAACUCUGACAGUAGAAGAUUUCACUACAGGACUAAAAGUUUCUAAGUAAUCUAUCCCAGCAGUUUGGUGAAACCCUUUUGCAACUAAGCGAGCUUUGUACUUAGAGACUGAACCAUCAGUAUUGUAUUUAGUUCUAAAGACCCACUUGCAGCCUACUAACUUAUAUUCUGGAUUCAUUGGUACUAAGCUCCAGGUUUUGUUUCUAAUGAGAGCAUUAUAUUCAUCUUGCAUUGAUGUCUUCCACUUAGUAUCAGAUAAGGCUUCUCCAACAUUGGAAGGUUCUAGGCUGUUAUGAUCUGUCAAGAAGGCCUUUGGUUUGAAUAUGCCAGCUUUAGCUCUGGUAAUCAUAAAAUGAGUGUUUAUGGUUGCAGCUGAGGGAAGUGAUCUGGAAGGUGAAGUUUGUAGUAUUGCAGGUGAAGUUGUAGUGUUUGGUGAAGUAGAGUUUGGUGUAGUGUUUAUGGUAGCAGCUGGUGAUGUUGCAUGGCCAAUGGGUGAAGAUAUAGUAUUAUUUUGUGAAAUCAGUGAGGCGGAAUUAACUUGUGAUGUAGGAAGAGGAAAUGAGAUGAUGUUGUGAGUAGAACUUGAGGCAUGAGAAUCUGUAUCUGCAGGAGCAGCUGCUAAAGGAUUCUGAUUGCUAUUAGGAACUGAGAUGUGAUAGACUUGUAAGGAAUUAUAAAGGAAGUCAGAAGAUUUAGAUGGCAUAGACUGUAAGAAGGUAGGAUCAGUAGAAUAAGGAAAGGAAGUUUCAUAAAAAAGAACAUGACUAGCUAUGUAAAUUCUUCCUGAUGAAUAAAGACACUUAUAGCCUUUGUGUAAAGGGCAUUUAGAAGUAUGGAAAUGAAACUUGUGAUGAUUGUAAUCUCUUAAGAAAGGAAAACAAGCACAACCAAAAGUUUUGAGAAAUGAAUAAUCUGGUUUUUUAUGGAAUAGAUAUUCAUAAGGAGUUUUCAAGGAAAGAACAAGAGUUGGAAGUUUGUUUAUAAUGUGGGUAGCUAUAUGAAAAGAAUCCCACCAAAAUUUUAUAGGUAACUUAGCUUGUGCAAGCAAGGUUAAACCCAACUCAGUGAUGUGUCUAUGUUUUCUUUCCACAAGGCCAUUUUGAUUGUGAGUAUAGGGACAUGAGUGUCUAAAUUGAAUCCCCUCUGUUUGAAGAAAAUGAACAAAUGAUCUGUACUCACCACCCCAAUCAGAUUGAAGACACUUGAUAGGUUUAUCUAAUUGUUUCUCUACUUGAGCUUUGAAAACUUUGAAUACUGGAAAUGCUUCAGCUUUGGUUUUUAAAGGAAAAAUCCAGGUGAAUCUUGUGUAAUCAUCUACAAAGCUGAUAUAAUAUUUAUAUCCUUGUAUAGACAGUGUAGGAGCAGGCCCCCAUAGAUCUGUAUGUAAGAUUUCAAGUGCAUUUUUGGUUUUGGUUUCAGUUACUGGAAAAUGAAGUUUAUGCAUUUUUCCCAACUUACAAGCAUCACAAGAAUCAAAACCUUUAUUACCAUCGAUGGUUUUAAAAGAUAAACACGAAUUGAUAACAUGAUUCAACACUCUAGCAUUGAGAUGACCUAAUCUUUGGUGUAAAACCAUAGUACUCAACAUAUAAUCUGAGUUUUGACUACAUUGUAUUUCAGUAUGUAACUGAGAAGCAAUUUUAUUCUGACAUUUGGAAUCAACAACAGAAAACAUGGAAAUAGGUUGAGUUGAGACUACUGACUGAACAUGAGCAAAAAAACCUUGGUUUGACAGAUAAGGAGAGGUUUUAUUUGAGGAGACUAAUAGCAAUCUGUACAAUCCUUUUUCAGCUUUGCCCUGUAGCAUGAUCAAAUUCCUCACCUUGUCCUUAACAAAACAGAAAUCAUUAGUAAAUUCUACCACAACAUCAUUAUCUCUGGUUAGUUUUGAUAUACUUAUAAGGUUUUUGGUUAUUUUAGGCACAAGAAGAAUAUUAUUUAGCUUAAGACCAACAUGAUUUAUAGAGCUUUGCAUUCUCAAAACAGCAGAACAUGUAUGUGUUAUGAAUAAACCAACACCAUUACCAAUGACAAGUUUAGAAGUACCUGCAAAAGGUUCAGCCAUAUUCAUAUUGCUCAUAUCAUUAGUGAGGUGGUGUGUAGCACCACUGUCAAGAUACCAAUUAGUAUCAGCUGGAGCAUCCAUGUUGGCUAAAUAGGCAGCCUUUGGUCCUCUAUUUGGAGGUGAUCUGUAAGAGCCUGAAGCCAUGAAUUCUUCUAGCUUCCAACAAAUGUUUGCAUUAUGUCCAGGCUUGAGGCAGAUUUGGCAGGUAGGUUUGGAAGUAUUCCACUGAGGUUUAGAGUUCAUAGGUGGUUUGCCAUUGUUAAAAUUGUUAACUCCAGUGUUAUUGUUCCAGUUUCCUCCUCAUCCUCCUAUUUGAUUACCAGAUUGAUAACCUUUGAACUGAGUAUUAAAACCAGUACCAGCACCAGCAGAGUUAGUGCCAAAAUUUCCUUUGUAAUAACCACCAUUUCCAAACCCAGAGUUAUAGCCAUAACCACCAAAACCUCUUCCACCUGACAUGUUUCCCUUCUUAACUCCUCUAUUUUGAGCAUAAUUUGCCUCAAAAAUUUUUUUCAUAUCCACACCAGCAAGCAUUUGUGAUUGUUGUUCAAUCCUAGCCUCUUGAGUUAAUAGCAUAGCAUAGGCUUCAUUUACAUUCAUUUUACCAACUCCUACUUGACCAGUAAUGUAAGUAGCUACUGAAUUAUAAUCUGGUCCUAGGCCAAAUAAUACAUGCAAAAUCAUAUCAUCACUACUUAAAGCACGUCCUGCUGCAGCCAUAUUAUCAGCUAUGUUUUUCAUCUUAAUGAAAUAAUAUGUGAUUUUCAUAUCAUCUUUCCUUGUUGAAUUCAUCAUGUAUCUAAGAUGUAAAAGUCUGGAUUUAGAUUGCGAGCCAAAUUGUACCUUAAUAGCUUUCCACACUUUAAGUGACGUUUCCAGGUUGAACACUACACUGAUGAUUCCUUCACUCAUUGAAGAGAGCAACCAUCCAAGCAGCACCUGAUCUUGAGAUCUCCAUGUUGUGAAUUCUGGAUUCUCCACAGAUCUGAGUUCAUCAUCAACUCUCUGAGCUGUAUGAGAUGGAGGUGGAGUGACUACAUCAUCAAUAAACUUUUCGAGCAUGUUUCCACGAAUAGAGGCUAGAACUUGAGAUCACCAUAUAAGAUAAUUGGACUGAUCAAGCUUAACUGGUGUGUUAAAGGUAAAGGAAACAGUUGUUGAAUUUGUAGCAUGAUUAAGAGUUGGAAUUGAGGAAGAAUAAGCAAGAUUAACAGACGCCAUUAUUGGCUGGCUCUGAUACCAAGUAAGAAUUCAAUGAUGUUUGGAAGCAAAGAAAACUUAAAAGAAAAUAAGAGAAUUCAGAAACUCUUUCUUCGUUUUAUUAUCUCAAAUCAUUAAUCAACUGAAUCUAUACAUACUUCUAUUUAUAUACUUCAGUAGUAAUUAGAACUAAUUCUCUACUAAUUGCAAGUGCUAAUCAGCUGGUUAUAACUAACUAAAACUGAAUUACAAGCACAAGAAAUACUAUAACAAACUCUACUAAUCUUCACGUGUGCAAGAGACUAUAUAACCACCAGGCUCCAGCUGGCAAGCCAUGUCAUCAACCUGUAACAGCAAGCUGCAGGUGUUGCAAUCCUCUGCUCCACUGACUACUCUGCUCAUGUGAGCUUCCUUAACACCUUGCUUGGGAAGUCAAUGACUUAUUCACUUCCUUUGCUGCUCUGCAUUUUGCAGUCUCUUCCCCUGCAAUUGCUAUUGCCUUCUUCAACUGUUUAGUUGUCCUUUCCAGCUCAACCUCUUGAAGUUGAGCUUUCCGAGUAAGAUUCUCCACCUGCGAGAGAUAGAGAGAAAUCAGCAUUCUGCCAAAACAGAGAAAGGAAAAGUUUAAUAUUCUAACGCUCAAUAACUAGCUGCAAAAUGCAAAUAACAAUAUUCUAAGGCAUUAAAUAAACAUGUUUGGAUCUUGAGGUCUGGAUUCCAUCUAUUCAUCAUUUUCUUGAGGUUGCAGCUUCUAAAACCCAGAAAGAUGCCUGAAGGGUGUAAAUUGGACUAAUAAAUUUGAAGGGGAAAAGAAGAUCUCUACACAAACUUCUAGCCCUUAAAUUUUCAUGAAGGUCAAACAGAUUGAAUUCCGAAACUAUUAAGUUUGCAACGCCAUAGGCAAUGAAUGGAAAGGAACGACUACAUGUGAGCUUUAUUUUCGUUUUGCUUAUUUCCAUUGGUCGUCAUGUGGAUUUUGGACAAAGUUUGCGUUGAGUUAUAUCUCAUUAAAUAUGGCUAUGAUCCUUGAAUUCUGAAUACUAAGGAGCAUUGCUACGUAUACGUAGCUAAUGAAAUUUGGCUCUGAAACUACUAUUAAAAUUGAAUUUAAAUAAUCAAGCAGAUAACCGUGUAAAGCAUCUAUUUGCUGAAGCUAUUAUUAAUGCAAAAUGCAAGUAUUUUAGAAAGUUCAUUCAAUUAAUCGCUAGCUAAAGAAUAGCAAAUACAUGUGCUCUUAAUUUAAUAACCUCUUGGCUAAGGCUAUCGUUAGUCCUUUUUGCAUCAUCCACGACGAUUUUAGGCGAGGCAAGCCCUCCAAGAGUUGGGGUCGGUGUUGUUAAACGAGGUGGGCUGGGCCGUCUUGAUAUUGACGAUGUUGCUCGUGAUACAACUCUCGACCCAGGAACAGAAGCUUAGCAGAACUUCUCGUAUGAUCGAAACACGAGACACUCAAUAAUACAGCCUUACUGAAGGAAAAAGAAAGAUUAGGUAAAUCAUUACGCCUUCUGCAAGCUAUCAUUGCUACCGAAUGGAGAAUUCAAAGGAGAGCUUCUCCGAGUGUAUGUUCUGGGACUAUUUGCUUCUGAUGGAAUUCCAUCACUCCUUGACUCUGUUCUCCACUUUCGAUGAUGAUUACGUGAAAUUAAUGCUUUUAAUCCACUAAACCAUACCUCAGCUUCAUCUUCAUCUUUGCAAAUCUAGUAAUAAAAUUCAGAUCACUAAUUUGUAAAACUUUAACAAUCAAAUUAUCUUUAAACCAUCAAUAUAAACACAAUGAGAACAGGUUACAGAGGAUCUUGUAAAAAAAUAAUAAUAAUAACUAGCAAAAAAAUAGUAAUGGAAAAUAAUGGAAGACCAUUUGGCCAGGUGGUUAUUUUAUUUUGAUGAGUAAUGAUGCAUUUUAUUAAAAAUGCAUAGUAAAUAGAGGAAGGAACAGUACUACGGAAUCUAAGACAAGUUGGAAAGAGUUAUUGCUAUAUUACAUCAAUAUUAAACUAUUGUUUGAUUAACCAGAUAACAAGACAAAAAUAAAUGUUAUAUGUAGGAUGAUAGAACCAGUGCAUAAUCGAAUUCCGUUAGGAAGUUUUCAAUUAAAUAUCUAAAUUUGUUGCAAGAUUGUUAAUGCACAGGUAUAAUCCCUUCUCAUGUAUUACCUGCAUUUAAAUUCAUUUCAGCGAUGCCGAAAGACUUAUAUCUGAACUUGCUGGACAUGCUUUUUCUCUUGUUGAUUUCUAUGUUGUUUUUAUAUUUGUUUUGUAGAUUAAGAGCUUAAGGCUGCCAAUGAAGUUUGGAAAUCAUAGGGGCUUUGCAUUCGUUGAGUAUGUAACAAAGCAAGAGGCGCAAAAUGCACUUGAAGCACUUUCAAACACCCAUCUCUAUGGUCGGCAUCUGGUAAGCUUUCUACCAGUUCUUAUAGAUAUUCUCUGUUGCACAUGAUCAGAUAAUAUCUAUAAUUGCCACCACAUUUCAGGUGAUGGAGAGAGCAAAGGAAGGGGGAAGAAUUGCGGGCUCGAACUGCUGCUCAGUUUACCAAAUGGGUUUCAAAAUUUUCUAAGAAGAGGAAGCACAUGACAAUCUUCGAUGAAGGUAGAAUGAAGUUUGAAAGGAUUGCUGGGUAGAGUGCUUUAUAUGAAAUUUUCUCGUGUAUUGAGAGACAUGAGGUUUGUUAUGUAGUUAGUUUUAAGGUUUAUUAAUUAUAUUAUCAGUUAUGUUGGCUCCAUUUUUGUCCGUUGGGAGUCGAUAUCUGUUUGUAAUUGUUUCUUGUAGGUGAGGGAACAAAGCAUAUUUUGUAGAAUUUCUUGAUGUAAAUCAUCUAGAUAUGUCAUAGAAGAGUUAAAAUUUUCAGAAAUGUCUUGUUCUUCUACUCCACUGUUUUUCAUUGUUUAAUGCAAAAGUGUUGAUUGCCUCUUCUAAUUCACUUGGGAUUUAGUUCCCUCCUAAGCAAAAUUUUAGUUGGAUGCAAAUGGGUUAUAUGAAUUUAAAAAAUUUCAGAUAGUAUCCUUCAUUGCUAGAAACCAAGAUUAGCAUCCGUUUCAUCGAUGCUGGUAUUGUCAUCACAAAUACUUCCAGGUCCUUGCUUAAACUAACUACAAUUCAAGAGGGCGUCGUUUAUGCUAACUUCUUCUCACGUUUGUAGAUUAUGAAAUUCAAUUUGUGGUAUCAUUCAAGUUUCAAGGGCUAGGUACAAAGAUGUAAAUUCCGAUUGGCUAUUCUCUACUUUUACCAGCUACAAGGUAGAUUAUAUUUAUCUAAGCAACAUGUUAGGAAUCUUAACAUUGGAAUCCCAACAGAUAUAAUCGCUUAUUUAUAAUUGUGACAUCCUAAUGUGGUAAUAACUAACCUAAUGUGACAGUUACAGAUAAAUCGUUGCACCAGUUAGCUCGUAAUUCUUUCUUUGAAAAAAAAAAUAUUUAUAUAUAUUGCCACAGAUAACAGGCUAUUAUUUCGUUUGGGAUCAUUCCAAAGGUCAACUUUGGGUGUAUUAAUUAUCAAGCAGCAGCUUGAUAAAGCCUCAACAAAUCCACUAUCUACACUCAAAUGUUUUGCAUAUCUUUAGUUGACGAUUGGUGUAAUUGAUCAGCAACUACAAUUUUUAGACAAGUAUGUAAGAUUGUAAAUAUACAUGGACCCUUAGGAAAUUUUAGUAAAACAAGACGUGCCAUCGUGAAAAUGAGAUCUCUUUAUUGAUUAAUUCGAAGUCUUCGUGUAGAUAUAGUAUGAUCGGUCACUUGCACAAUUCAUUGGAUUUCUAACGUACAUAACAGAUACUUUUGUUAUUUUUCUAGGUGACAUAAUUGGUAAAUCUACUAAAGCUUGCAAGCAAUCUUACGAGUCUCCGUGAUAUCAAAUAAAUCUUCUGUUGAUCCUUGAAUCAUUCUCUUUAGCUCUUCUUCAAAUCUCUUCAUACUCGGCCUCGGCAAACGUAUAGGUAUGAGAGUCCCAGUCUCCCCAUCUUUUUGGUACCUGUUUAAGAAACUAAAAAUAGACUUAGCACCAGCAAUCCCAGCGAAAACUGGUUUCCCCCACCCAAAUCAAUUCUAUCAAAUCCAACCUUGCUUAAAUCGGACACAAUGUAGUUCCCCUUAAUCGCGUGCCUCGGCCGUCGCCCUUUGACCUCCAUAAGAUCCGCCGCAGAUCUUAUAUGCUCUUCACUCAUUUCAGCCUUUGCUUUUUUCACCAAUGCAACAGCAUACCCUAAUGGAUUGUUGCAUAAAGCACCAACUUUUGAAUGCACAGCUGGGAAUGCCACUGCGUUACCAUAAUACCCGGAAGGGAUAUCCAUUUUAUAAUCUUUUGCUCGAGCGGUAACUAGACAUGAAAAUUGAACAGUGUCUUUAGGGUCUAGUUGAAGAGCAAUUGUUCUACAUCUCCACAUACAAGCAGCCAACAACUCAAAUGUUGAACAAUUUCUAAGGUGUAAUGGAAGUUGAUUUUUGAGGACUCUCACUUCUUUGGGACCAAAGUAGAAUGAUUUGUGGUCCAUUUCAUUUGGAUUGGUAGUUAUGAAAGUAUCUGAAUUGUUAUUUAUUUCUUCGUAUUCUAAGUGAACACUUGUUACUUGUGGUGGAUUUCUAGCACAUAAGCGUUCCCGUUGCCAAACAGGGAAUAGCGAAAGUGUAUUUGCACCUCUUGCCAUCUCCUCUAUCGCUUUCACAAAUUGCACCAAACCAGAUGCAUCACACAUUGUGUGGUUGAAACGUAUCGCAAGAGUGAAUCCUCCACACAUCAAACGAGUCACCUAUAUAUAUAUAUAUAUGAGAAACAAAGAAAACAUUAAAAU